RNAcentral lists this long non-coding RNA (142525 nucleotides) under Eucalyptus grandis. RNAcentral describes it as "long non-coding RNA (EGRA_LNC004203)". The record is from RNAcentral. Lineage: Eukaryota; Viridiplantae; Streptophyta; Magnoliopsida; Myrtales; Myrtaceae.
AGGAAUAGAAGGGAUUUUAGGGAGAGAAGUAGGGAUGCUCGGCAUUGGCGGCAAGGUGGUCGGCAUGGUUGGCAAGCUUGGAAGUGGUGGCAGAGUAGUCUUGGGCAGGCCUGGCUGUGUGGUGGGCAGCGUCGGCAGUGUGGGCUGAGGCAGGGUCGUCGGGAUGGCAGGCAUUGGUGGCAUGGUGACUUUAGGCAAUGUUGGCAUGGCUGGUAGUGGCGGAAGCGACGUCGGGUUUGGUAGAGUCGGUAUUGUGGGAAGAGACGGUAUGGAUGGCAUAGUUGUUUGCAGCAGAUGACGAGCUCCGAAGCUCAUAUUGAUGAUUGAGAAAAUUAGAGCGACGAAGAGUACAAAGCUUUUUGAGAAAGAAGCCAUAUUGGUAUAUGGAGUCAGGAUAUUGUGCUGUGAUAGGCUCAAGGACUUGAAGCCAAUGAGCUGAGAGGAAUGGAUUGCUGAUUGUGUUGGAGUAAAUGGAGGGAGGAGAUGGCAGUUUAUAUAGCAAGAGAUAGUUAUAUAAAAAUUUAGGGUUGUGAUUAUAAGUUGGUGACUGGCCUGUGGGUAUGGUUAGGAAUAAACAGAACAAUCCUCAUUGGUUCUUUGUUAGCUCACCUUCUCAGCUCAAUCUUCCACAGGAAUAAAUAAUGAAGAAGGGGUCAAACUUUGUCUUCUGUUCCGUUCGGUCGAAUGGUCGUCAUCUCAUGAAAGUCAAGCUUCUGAUCUGUGUCCUCGUGGAUGGUAACUAGAUAACUUGUUCCAGAACUAUUGCUAACUGGGGUUAUCGAUAACUUGCUUCAGGAUUUUAACGUACUAAGCUAGGGUUUCGAUGUGUUGCCUUAACAAAUACCUUGUUACUCCGGACAUGUCAAUGCUUUUAACUGUGAUCAUCUUUGGUUUACUCCUCGGACUUGAAGAAGUAAAAACUUGUGGGACUUCAUUUACUUCCGAGUCUAGCUUUUGUACGAAGAUAAGUUUAUGAUCAUGGAAACAUAUGGCAUUGCGAAGUCAUCUCUCUCUCUUUCUCUCUCUCAAACUUGGAGGUCUAACGAACAUCUUUUCAUUUUUCUAAAAAUUUCCUAGUUUAAAAAGGUUUUGUAAAGCACAUUAGUUUAGUGAAGUAUAUGUUUAGUUGUAAUAACAAGUAAAAUCAUGCACCGACAUUAAGGUUCCCUUGUUUCACAAAAAAUGAACGAUUCAGAAAACCAAUUUUUUUAUUUUAAAAAUGAUCACUUAUAACAAAUACAAAAAUGAAUAAAUAAAAAUUAUUUUAAUUGUCCAUGAAAAUACUUAGGCAUAAAUUGUUGUCGAUAAUAAAAAAAUAUAUUCCAUUGAUUAAUUAUUUCAAACAUUAUAAGCAAUCAUUUUCAAGAAAAUAUUUUUCAAAUAAUUUUUUUCUGUAAAAAAAAAAAUAGAGCCUAAAUGGUUGAAAAAUAUGGUGACAUCUUAAUCAAAUAGCUAAUAUUUUUGUCUUCAAUUUAAUUUUUGUGGUUUUUUCAUGACCAAGUAUAUUUACGUGGCAAGUUCAGGGUUAUUGGAUCUAUAUAUGUGUGUGUAAUUUUUGUUGGAAUUGAUACCAACAAGGACCAUUCGAUACAAAAUUAAAGGAAAAAUUACACUUUGCACCCAAAAGGCAUGUGCACAACAUAUGAUAGCGGGAGAAGUUCACGGUAUUAACAAGUGUAAGAAAAUGAAACUUUUUAAAGUUCGGAAUUUAACGUUCAAUAACCCUAAAGCUGAGGGUUCAAAUUAAAUUGUGUUCCAAAUCUGUGAACAUAUAUCUAAAAAUACAUAAGCAACAGCCUGCACUAUAACCAUACUAACGAGUAAAAGGGUCAUGCAGGACAACCCAGAUCUGAUUUUGUCUUCUUCCCCUUUCACGUAGAAUUAAUUGCCGCCAUGACAACGAUAGGUAUUUGGUAAAAGUUGGCACUAACGGGGGGAAAUUUACUAUUAGUUUCUCCCUUAGAAAGGGAAGAAAUAACAAAAUCUCAUGGUUUACAAUCAAUUCAUUUCAUAUUUCUUCUUUUAGAUAACAAAUUUUCACAUUUAGAUGAUUUGUCGGAUGUACUAAUACCCUAUUACAUUCAUCUAGAAAUCCUGGCAUUUUUCAACGGCAAUGGAUUUCCACAACGUAGAAGAAAUUAACCCCAAUUACUUAUGUUGCUAAAAGCAACGAUUAUAAAUUAUCUGAUUGGGCAUGCACACGCACGAGUAAUAUGCCAUUUGAUUGGAAUGCAAAAUAUACGGAUUGCCGUAAGGUGUCAAUUCAAUAUAGUUGUAGCGCUUUUCAUUUCAGUUGCUUUUCUAUCUGAAUCUUUUUCUCAUCAUAAAUCCAGUUGAUUGUAUUGCACGAACCAUUGAGCUAGAAUCAAUGGAAAGAAUACAAUAACUUGAGCCAAGUCACCAGUCAAUACAUAUAUAUGAAUGAUAUAUAAAAAGCAACAUGAAUGAUAAAUAGAAUCCCAGAAGACAUCGUAACACACGACUCUGCUUUUGGAACAAUUCUACAAAGAAAAGGAGGCACUCCAACAAAUUGAAAAUACUCUCAGGUGACCUCGUAUGGUACUAAAAUCUUCAGGUGCUGGUGGCUGGAGGAGGAGCAAGAAAAGGAAUAGAAGGGAUUUUAGGGAGAGAAGUAGGGAUGCUAGGCAUCGGAGGCAAGGUGGUGGGCAUGGUUGGCAAGCUCGGAAGUGGUGGCAAAGUAGUUUUGGGCAGUGCUGGUUGUGUGGUGGGCAGCGUUGGCAAUGUGGGCUGAGGCAGCGUUGUUGGGAUGGCAGGCAUUGGUGGCACGGCGACCUUUGGUAAUGUCGGCAUGGCUGGCAACGGAGGCAGUGAUGUUGGUAAAGUUGGCAUGGUGGGAAGAGAUGGAAUGGAUGGCAUAGUUGUUUGAAGUAGAUGACGAGCUCCCAAACUCAUGUUGAUGGUUGAGAAAAUUAGGGCGAUGAAGAGAAUGAAGCUCUUUGAGGAAGAAGCCAUAUUGGUAAAUGGAGAAUGAGUUGUGUGUUGUGUAUAGGCUCAAGUGAAGAAAGAUUUCUACUUGCGAUGGCAGUAUGAGGAGAAUGAUUGGAGUUAAUAUAGCAAGAGAUGGUGUUGAAAUUAGGGUUGAGAUGAUGAGUUGGUGACUAGUCUUUUGGUGCGGGUAGGAAAGAAAUGGAAGAUGAGAAGUUCAUUGGUUCUUAGUUAGCUCACCUCCUCAUUUCCAUCUCCCACCGGCAAAAGAGAAAGGUCAAAUAGUUGUUCUCUUCUGCCAGAUGGCAAUGUGUUCAUGAAGUCAAAGCUUCAAUCGGAUCUUUCGUCUACAAGGAAUGUAACCAUGCUCCAUAAUUGACAAAAUUAUUUAAAAAAUCCUAAAUCUUAUUCCACCAGUUUUUUCCCCAGGCCCAGCCCUUCCGCCUCCUCCUUCCUCCUUCUUCCUCUUCUCUGCAACUCGCGCGCGGAGGACGUCGACGCGCGGAGGACAAUCUACGGCAGAGAGAGGGGAGUAGGCCGGCAACGGAUGGGACUCGCCUUCAAAGCGGAGCAGGUGGGGUGGGCGGCUGAGAAGAUGGCCGGUUCGCCCGCACCAAGGCCGGUCGGCACACCAAGGACCGGCGACUGAAGCCUCCGUCGACCGCCCCCCUCGGCUGAAGCCCCCGGUGACCACGGUGCCUUCGCCGGAGUCACCGUGCAUACAGACGUUUCCCCCUCCUCCUCCCUUGCGCCGAGCUUCGGUAGGUUCUGGCGAGUUUCGCCGGUUUUCGACUUGUCCAAAUUUUUGGGAACCAGUUUCCCGAGGACCUCGGCUCGGAGACGAGCGAGGCGGACGGACGCAGCCCGAUCUAUCGAGCUCGUCCGCCGUCCGACGCCACCGACAGCCGGGUGGGGAACGCCACCGACAACCCCCGUCCCUUUCUCCUCGCGUUCUGUUUUGGGCUCGCAAGACCGGGCUGGCGUUCUCCAGUUCGUGCGAGUUCCGGCCUCGCUUGUAUACGUGCUGCUAUCUUGGUCCAUGCUUGUUGUUUGUCAUGAGUCCCGGUCCAGGUUUGAGUCUCGGUCUGGGCGGAAAUCUCUCGUUCCAUGCUCCAUGCUCCAACUGUUCGAUAAAAUGCCUCAACUAGAUCUGCGAACAUCUUCUUAAAUUUGAUAUGCUUUCUGGAAAUAUUGGUUGUUUCGUACAUCCUUUGUUCAUGCCGUGACAGGAUCCUGGAGGGGUCUUUGCCGAACACCACUCCCAAACAACAAAGUCCAGGCCGGAACGCCCUUUGCCACAGUCAACCGAAAGUACGCAUUGACCAGAGCUUCGAGAGCCGCCGGACCGAUUGACCAGAGCUUCGAGAGCCGCCGGACCGACGUCGCCGGCACCGCCACCCUUCAUCAUCACCGGCCAGGAAUCGGUCACUCGCGAAGCACGACAUGCACAGGGAAACGUCGAAACAAGAUCAUACGAAGCGAAGGGGUAACGGCGAGGUUCCAUCAAACCCCACUUAACAAGCAACGACGGCUGAAAACAAAGAGCAGCCGCGCGAGUCUCACUCGGGCAUUGAUGGCGCCCGCGAGACGUCCCGUCCGUCGCCAGCUACUCUGCUCCGCUUCGGUAGGGCGUCCUUCGCGCGCGCGAGAUGCAGGGGGUUGGGCCAAAGGGAAUGGGCCUUGGGCCCGCUCGGGGAAGAAAGGAGAAGAGAACCGUGGGCCUUCUCUUUUUAAUACAUAUAUUUUAUUUAUCCGAAAUAAGGUAAAAUAAUAGAAAAUAAAAUAAAAAUAAAACUUAGUAGAUGCAAAUAAUAUCAAUGUCUAUGUGAUGCAAAAAUAUUCUUUAUUAGGGCCAAUUGAUCCUUAAUUUUCUAUGCUAUUUUUAUCCUAACCAUUUAAUCAAAAUUUAGAUGUCAACAUAAACUUAUAUACGAGGAGUUUCAUUUGGCCAUAAAAAAAGGAAAAUGUUGCCUUAAAGAAAAAUGAAUAAGUUAUAAAGUUACUCUGAAAAAUUGGUUUGGGGCUGAUUUUGUCUUCAAUAAUUUGAAAAACAGCUACUUUUAUCCAUAAAAACAAGAAAAUUUUACUUUCACAAUGAUAUAAUGAUUUAGUUUUGAUUUUGAUAAAAGUAACAGGAAAGAACAUAAUUUCAGGAUAAACCACUUCCAUAUUUGUAAGAAUUAGUACAAUAUGUUCGAUUUUCGAUUUCCGAGUGGUAAGUGAACCAGGAAUCAAAGAACUAGACCAAGAACCUGUGUUUAAUCAAUGCCUAUAACUCUGGAUGAUUUUUUUCUCUCUUACAUGUACAACAUUAAAAGACUUUUCGCCUUUUUUUUUUUUUCCUUUAAAGAGUUUUCACUUUAGAUGGCUUUCUUUUUUAUAAUAAAAGAACCUUAUCUUGCCAAAUUAUGACCCCAGCUCGCCGAUUGUUGCUGCUCAGAAUGAUAAAUUUGACGGUAAGAUGUUUCUCAGUUCGUCGUUUCAAUUUCUCCACCAAACUUGAAGUGCUUUUGGGUUAUAAAAAUGACUAGGGUCUUGACUACUUUCGGUUAAUUUUUGUUGAAAGUUAGCUCAUGGGAAGAUUGCCUGAUUGACUUAUUAUGCGAUUACCACGAUAAGAUUGUAAUAAUGCAUAAAUUAACUUGUCCUGUUGAUUAUUUUUUAACUGCACCUCCAUUGCAUCUCUCAUGUUUACUCCAGAAAUGGAAGUUAACCAUUUGAAAUAAGAAGUUACCCAUCAUUAGGAGCCUGCCAGAUUCAUGAAACUGCUCACCACAGGUUUGACGAAAUGCACAAACCAAGUCUGUAUGGAGUUUCAGUGGUCAUCUCUUGGAAUCCUGCUCACUUAGUCUCUCAGCAUCACUUGCUUGUUGCUACGUUCACCCCCUCCAUUAUCUCUCUCUCUCUCUCUCUCUCUCUCUCUCUCUCUCAUGUUGGUCCUCGAUGGUUGGCAUGGAUGCCAAUCAGUAGUUCUGGUCAUUUAUUUGCCAAUCUUUAAUCUGUGACAUUAGUAAAUAUUUUAGGAGGUGGAGAAAAUUGCGAAGAAAAUGAUGUUCCAUAUAGUUAUCUGGAAGAAUAGAUGUGAGGUGAAGCAAAUCUGGAGAAAUAGACUUCUGCAUAUUGUAGAUGAAAAGUAAGAUGAAGGAGAAGACUUUGUAUGAAAAAUGACGUUUUACCCUUUCCUGUGAAUUGUGAGUAUGAGCGAGCAUGAUCAUAAAAUACUACUUAAUACGAGAAUUGUGGAAAUUAUCAUAUCGGUUGCAUGCUAUCAAGACUUUGAUCCUAUAUCAAUUUGAAUAUAGUGGAUAAGCAGAGAAAAUAUAACCUGACUAUUUUGAAGGAGAAAGAUGGGAAAUUUUUAUGAUUGAAUUGGCAAAAGUACAAUAGGUUUAAGAUUUUUUGAACAAUUUUUCCUUGAAAAAUGCUAACUAGUGUCGCAAGAAACUUUUGCCUUCUCUUUCACAGUGUAUGGAUAUUGACAUAUAAAUUCACUUACAGCUCAGUUUCAAAUUCAAAUAGCAUUUAAAAUUUUGACAGGCUCUUUUUGCUUUUAUCUUUUGCUGAAUACUAAACAAACAAGUGAAGUUGCUGAUUUGAUGUCCAAUAAUGAGUGAAAUUGCCAUACUUUACUCGUCCCUUGGUAUUAUCUAACAUAAACUACACUAUAGUAGCUCCCAAAAAGUACCAUAAAAGCAACUGUUAACAAGAGAUACGCUUAUGACAAUCCUAGGAACACAAGGAAAAGGAUUAGAGCUACUCCAUGUCUGCAAAACAAAACAUCAGCUUGAUCUACUACACACAACUAUUAGCUAUUCAAAGUUUCAGAUUGUUCCAUCUCGUUUCUCAUUUCCGAGUGCUAGGUACUGACUCUUCCUAUCCGGACGACUUGAGUACUUUCAUCUUCUUCUUCUGGAGAAUCUCAGGUUGGCCUGGCAGUCUCUUCAUAAGAAAUUCGAAGACCAUUUGUCUAUUCGCUCUUCGUAUCUUCCUGCACUUGUCUACCACAUACAGUCCGUCAUAUGUGAGGGUGUCAUUCUUAUCCUUACGGAUCACUCUCACUGGCCUGUUCCUCUUCAUGCUGUUCAUUAGAGCUAAAUUCCCUCGAGUGAGCUUCUGAUCUUCAGCCUUCUUGUCAUGACCAGGCAUUCCACCCUGGCCCAAAUAAACCAGCUCUUCAGGAUGUGUCAGAUCAUCUGCAUAAUCCCAGGAAGCGACAACACUUGUGGCUAGGAUGUCUGGGUGAGGUCCCAUGUAAUUGAUACCGUUCUGAGGAGGGCGAUGGAGCCCGACAACAGCGAGUUCCAUCCUAUAAUAGAAUUUGUCUCCCACUUCCACUCCUGGAACAUCUCCGAUAAAUUGCAUGGCGCCGUGGACAUAUCCUACUCUUUUCUUGAUCUCUUUUGCAGCAUGAAAAUCUAUCCUUCUAAUGCACAUGCUCUUUUUACCUGCUUUUGAUUUAUCCCGGGAGAGCUCGCGACAAAUAUCUCUGUAGAGCCUUAGAGUUGCAAUCACUCUCUUUCUGGCUGAAUCAUGUCUGUCAUUGCGAGUGACAUUCGCAUUUCUGAGCUCAGAACACGGAGGGCUUGCUAUCCCACUAUCUGAUUUUGGAACAGCAUGCAAACUUUCCGGACCAUCUGGUUUGCUUUCCUCUAAGUAGUUCCCGAUGUAGCACCUGUCAAGAGACUUCCUCUUAGAACCUUUGUUCUUCAUAACAGGGGAUGCACCAGGAGAGCAUUGAACAAUUUUCUCGGCCUCUUUGAUUGUUAUUUGGGUGUCUCUAUUUGAUCCGUUGACGUUGUUGCAAUGAUCGUAAAGGGAGUUCUCUUUUCUAAGGUAUUCCUUAUUAAUUGUCCUCAUGGAAGAUGUUUGAACUUUUAGUUGUGAUUGUGACCCUGCUUCCUUAGCACCAACACCUUGACCAUCAGCAUGAUCUUUGUUCCUGCGCCAUUUGAAGACAUGUGCAGUUGCCAAGCUCUUGAUUGAAGAAUCACAAGAUUUGUCGGGAAUGAAUUCUUCUAUGAGGUCUUUUACCCGGGCACGACUUCCGCAUCCUGGAGGGAAAUCUCUACAAGUCAACAAGCACUUCUCAGAGUGAGGAUCUCUAGUCAUAUUCUUCAUCAAAAUACUGCUCUUAGAGCCAUCAAAAGGUGAUUGCCCUUGCAAAGCACAGUUUUUCUCAUUUCCAUGCCACAUGAUAUCGCGUGCAUUCAUAGAGCUCUUGACCAAAGCAUUGGGAAAUUUAUUAGGGACAAAUUCCCCUUCUUCUAUGCUCUCUGUCUCGUUUUUGUCCUCCACAUUCACCAUCAUACCAGAAUGGUCUUGCUUCAAAUUGGCUGUCUUGGAAGGAAAUAGUGCUUGUUGAUGCUGUGCAAGGCUAGGAAGAGGGGAGUCACUUCUGCAUCCUGCGGGUAAACAUGACAUACUCUUUUCCAGAGUAGAUUGUCUGAUGCUUUUCAUCACAGUGUUGCUUCUGCAGUCAACAGAACCUGAUUGAGACUGCAAAAUAUAUGUGUAAUUGGAAGAAGAUCCUAAAGCUGGAAAAACAGUUCUGACAGAAGAAACAUCCGCAGGCAUGGCCUUCUUUGACAUCUCUAGAGUCUUGUGAUUCAUCUUCUUCUCUUUAUGUUCUCCCAUGAGAAGACCAAUAGAAUGCUUUAAAAAAAAAGAACAGAAUAUGUCACCAUAAUAGCACCACUUUUUUGUAAUUUUUAAUGUUAUCACUUAAUUUGUGUAUCUCUUUUCAGUGUAAUGUCUGGAUUUUGUUGUCAAAUUAACCAUUAUUCAAACCUUGUAAGAAAUGAAAUUAUAGAUGGUAUCUCGGAUAGAUCAUAACUUGGCAAAAGAAAUUAUAUAUGCUUGUUGACGAAAAAAGUAGCUGCAACAAACUUGAGCAUGCAUCUCUAUUCCAUAAUUGUUUAAAUGAUAUUGGAAAACAUACCAGUUAAGUAGUUAAAAAAUGAGUUGACUGAAAUUGAAUUUAACUAUACUGACCACCUGGCAUUAGGGAUGGGCAUGGUUCUAUGGUAGCAUUGGAAUCAAAGAUCUAGACCAAUGGAAACCUAUAUGAUUCCAAGUUCUUAAGUAUGUAGGGUAGAGUUCGGGUACAAAAAAUUGGAGAACCUGCUUCGGCGAGUAGAUUUCGAGUUCUAGGUACGUGUAGAACCUGGAACCUAGAACUUGAGUCAAAUUUUUGUGUUUUUCUUGAUCUAUAUCUUUGCGCGAUCCUACGGUAUUCCAUAGCGUCCAAUGAUAAGUGUAUAACCUGAAACAAGUAUUCUAAGUUUUAAUUUUAUGACCGAGACUUUUACUUUACUAAUAUUUCGUAUUCUUCGUGUGUCUAAAUAUAAGUUGUGGUCAGUGAAUUAAAGUAAUAAGUGGUGAUCAUUAAAUGUGGUGAUUCACUGUAAUCGUUCAAUUAUUAAUAUAGGUGGAACCUAUGUAGUUCUUAGAAUCGAUCUUGGAACUUGUGAUAGGUAGAUUUCAAAUUCUAAGAUAUGCAAGGGAAGUUCCAGAUUCCAAAAAAUGAAGAACCUAUUUUAAUGAGUAGUGUAGGUUCUAAGUGGAACUGUAUGAAACCUUAAACCAUUUACCCCUAUUCAGCAUUGAAGCUGGUAAGGACCAUAGCUUUUCUCUGAAAGUCUCAAAAUUUAUUCUACUUUUGGAAAUGACAUGGGCCACAACUUCUCAUUUCAAUAGCUAAUUAAUAGAAUAUCCUUUCACACGGGAGAAUUACCAAAAAAGUCUUAAAACCUAUUGUAAUUGUGUCAAUUUAGUCAUAAACUUUUUUUAAACCAAUUUAGUCCUAAACUUUUUACAAUUGUGCCAAUUCAGUCCAUCUGGCCAAAAUUGGCGAACGCUAAUGUGGCAUUUUUUAAAUAUUUUUUUUUUCGAAUUUUUUAAUUUUUUUUCUCUAUCUUCUCUUUUCCUUGGCCGGCCGGCGCCGGCUAAAGGCGAGGGCCAACGAGGUUAGCCUUGUCGGCCACUGGCGAGGGCGAGGCCCCGCCGAGGCAGAGGACGAGCUGGUAAGGGCGGAGGCGGCGCUUGGUGGUGUGGGGGAGGAAGGUGAGGGAGUGGAGGAGGACGGCAAAGGCAGAGGUAGAGUCAAUGGUGCGGUGGGAGGAGGCGAGGUGACUAAGGGGGACGUGCUCGACGGAGGCGACGCUAGCGAGGGAGGCCUGCUUGAGGGAGCAAUCCUCGAUGCAGUUGAGGGCGACGACGAGGGGGAGGGACAAGGGGUCGGCCUAGUCGUCGCAGAGCUUCAGCGACCUUCAAAAAUGUCCCAAAUCCUGUAGUGCUAAAACCCUAAUCUCGCCCCGCCCCUCGCUAUCCGGCGUCGGCCAGAAGAAGGAGAAGAUGGGAAAAAAAAAGAAAAAAAAAAGAAUUCAACAAUUCAAAAAAUAUUUAAAAAUAUGAAAAGAAAAUAUUUAAAAAAUGACACGUAGCCGGACGAUCGGCGUCCACGUCAGCGCCGACCAGCCAAUUUUGGUUGGAUGGACUGAAUUGUCACAAUUAUAAAAAAAAAGGUUUAUGACUAAAUUGGCCCAAAAAAAUUAGGACUGAAUUGGCAAAAUUACAAUAUGAUUAAGAUUUUUUUAGUAAUUCUCCCCAUGCUUGAAGUCCCACAUUCAGGAGAUGAGUUAAAAAUGACGAGAGCAAUAUUGUUUGACGAUCAAACUAGGCUUUGCAAAUUACCUGCCUCAAAGCCGUUAUUGUUGCCGAGCAAAGUUUGGACGAACAAGAGAAUUCAAGGGCGAGAAACCUCCAAUCAAUCAACCCAUCGAUCGUUACUUUCAAGAUUCACUCAAAGUUCCAUUCCGUUCCUUUUAGUAAUUGAAGAGCGCUUGUACUGAGGCUCGAAUACUAGAUUGCAUGAAAUGUCUCACAAGUCCCACGAAUUUGUUAAGUUCAAACUUUUGACAAGAGAACAAUGCGGGAUGUUUCUAGCGCACUAUCCAUGAACCACGGCACUCCAAAACAAGAUUAGGUCAAAAGCAGAGCACAUGCAUGACUUACCCAUAUUUUGUCCAAAACAUCAUCGGAGUUGAAUCGAGAAACGCACGCCACGAGCCAAAGCAAGCCAAGCCUCAAAACCUGAAGGUGGGAGGAAAAUGAUCAAACCCUUACAGAAAAGUUCCUUUCAGUCUAAAACGAGCGAUGCUCUCUGCCAACAGGGCUAAGCAGUAAGAUGCAGCGUCCGGACCUGAACCUCGGACGAGACUAUCAAAUCCUAGACAACAUGGAAGAACGAGAAGAGAGGUUCCCGCUGAGAAGAAAGGAGAAUGCAUAAAGGUAGCUGCGUUUCGCCUUUCCUUUUGCUCUUACCGAGUCGGACGACGAGUCGCCGAGUGAGCUGCAGAUCACGAGUUUCGUGGAGCUGACGAAGCAUGCCAGAGGAAAACGACGGCCAUGGUUGAGAGCGAAGAAAGCUUUCCUCAACCUCUGCAAAAUCUCCGCUGAAAUCUGGAAAUGGGAAGUGGCAUGAGCUUCUCUCACUCUUACAUACCGUCAUGCAAUAUGUAUUCUGUUCGUACAACUCCGACUUUCGGUUCAAUUACGUAAAUAAAUUAAUUAAUAUAUAUAUAUAAUAUCGUGUCUGAAAAUUCGCAUUUUAGCCCGCCUCUUACUUGACCUGAUUACGAGAUUCACCAUCCGUAUUUAGAUUUUCCUUACCAUUGUGUCCGGGAAACAAAUACAUCUCACCUCCCCCUCCAUCCACCUAUUAUCUCAUCAAUGCUUUAUCUUAUAUUAAAUUAGACGGAACACGAUACGCGUUCGAUUUUUCAUAUCAUAUAAAUACAGUAAAGCAUCUCAAAUCUGCUCCAUCCAUUUGAGUUCUGAGUUUGGACAAAGAAAUUUUUUCUUUAUGAUCAUGUCUCUUCUAAUGUGGUAUGAGAUGUUAUUAUAUACGCUCAACAUAUCGUUCAAUGAGUUAUAAUUAAUCUCAUGUUUUGUUUGUCCAUUCACAUUUCAAUUUGGAAUUUAAUUACUUAAUAGCGCGUUUUGUAAAUGAUAAAUUUAGUUACUUCCUUCUAUUGAGGAAAAAGAGAACAAAAAGAGAGAAAUUCAGGAAAAUUUUGAAAAGCGUAUGCAACCAAACGAAUCGAGGAAAUGGAGAGAGCAGCCUGGAAAAUAUUACCGCGUGGCCGACCUUUAGUUUUCUGCUUGUUGACGUCAAUUUCAGGCUUCAAAAGGAAACUGCAUUGGAAUUAGGCUGGGUUCUACUUUUUCCAUUUUUGGUACUCAGUCAUCAAAGCUAACGAAAACACGGGACAACACAAUUUACAAAUUUAAAAAAAAAAAUCAAAUUUUUUCGGGAAGCGAAAAAUUUCCAAGAUGGGAAUGUUCAAACUUUCAUAAUACAAUAUAACGCACUCAAGACCACCCGCGAGGGUGGCUCCAUUGGUAGGCUCCAGGACUUCCAUGCUGGAGGCCAGAGUUCGAAGCCCUUGCAAUCCCACCAUAACUACUCUAAGCCCAUCACCUUCUUCUUCCCUUAUUAUAUUGAGAAUUCCAUUUUUAACCGAUUCACCCAUCAACAAAACCAAGCUUAGACUGAACAUCACCGUCAUCCAUCUCCAGUCACAGGACCGCCGCGGCCGUCCGUGGCCGCACAUUCACAAAACCAGACCGUCCCCCUGGGGCGACCAGUCUCAAAGGUCGCCGUGUUCGUGCACAGAACAUAAUUUCGAAGCGAACAUUUACGAUGCAGAGCAAUUCUUGAUGACUUGUUCAAUGGAUCUUCGACACUACUAGUUCGCGAGAGAGAGUCGUUCAGUAAUCAUUGCAUCAUAACACGAACAAGGAACUAACAGAUCGACUCGUAUAAAGAGGGCAUGGCGGGUUUAGUUGACAGACAAAUGGACAUGAGAAUCAAUGGGACUCCACUCGAAUUUGGCAAACCUAUUACAUCAAUAGUUCAGUUUCAAACACGUAACGAUUACAUUUUAACAGUCAACAGAGCUAAACACACGCCCCAAUAAUGAAUUAGACGAUUCUGGGAUUAACUUUAACGUUUCGAUUCAAUAGUAUCGCAUCAGCAAAGAUUUAGAUCAAAUCGUCAACAACAGCCCUGAUACUAGUCGGUUUUCGCAUAAUAGUACAUUAGUCUCUGUUCUCGAUCAUGGCGGUACCGAGAUGGAAGGUUUCCGACCUUGCCUUGCCGAGGAGAAAUCCCGAUGGCGGCUAAUGGUGGAAACCUGCACGAGGAGGUUCUGGAUGGCAUCUCCGAUUACGGAGCUUCUAGCAGGAUUGGCCACUUCCAGUCUCCUCUAGCCAGAAACACAGAUGAACAUUGGAGCGAUCGGGUACUGCUGCUUGGCGACUGAACCGGGCGUACAAGAACUGUGGGCGUGUCAGAUUGGGUACUUACAGUGCGUGAGGGAUUGCGAGGCGCGGGCGUGGUCCUAGUGAUCGAUGGGGAUGAGUCGAGACUCAUUCCGAUUAAUCUAUCCAGACGAUUUCUUUCAUCUUCCUCUUCUUCUGGUGAAUUUCCGGUUGGCCUGGCAGUCGCUUCAUUGUAAAUUCAAAGACCAUCUUCCCUUUAACUCUGCUUGUCUUCUGGAACCGGUCUACAACAUACAGUCCAUCGUAUAUGAAGCUGCCAUCCCAGUCCUUACGGAUCACUCUCACUGGCUGGUUCCUCUUCAUGCUGUUCGCUAGUGCCAAAUUCCCUUGAGUAAGCUUCUGAUCUUCAGCGUACUCCUUGUCACGACCGGACAUUCUGCCGCCCUGGCCCAAAUAAAUCAGCUCGUCAGGAUUUGUCAGAUCGUCAGCAUAAUCCCAGGAAGCAACGACGCUCGUGGCUAGCGUGUCCGGUCGAGUUCCCAUGCAAUCAAUGCCGGCCCGAAGAGGACGAUGGAGACCGACAAUGGCGAGCUCCAUCCUGUAACGGAAUUUCUGUCCUACCUCCACUCCUGGAACCUCUCCAAUGAAUUGCCUGCCGCCGUGCACGUACCCGGCUCUUCUCUUAACCUCUUUAGCAGCCAAGAAAUCAAUCCUCCUAAUGCACCUGCCCUCUUCACGUGCUCUCGGUUUUUCCCGUUCGAGCUGGUGACAAAUUUCUCUGUAGAGCCUUAUAGUCGAGAUCACCUUCUCUCGGGCUGAAUCACGUCUGCCAUUGCGUGUGACGUUCUCCGCCUCUUUCAUUGGCGUUUGGCGCGAACCUCUGGCCAUAUUCUCCAGCAAAUUACUGCUCUUGGACCAAUCAAAAGGCGAUUGCCCAUGCCAUAUGACGACGUGCGCAUUCAUGGAGCUCUCGACCAAAGCACCGGGAGAUCCAUCAAGGAUGAAUUCCCCUUCUUCUGUUCUUUCUAUCACGCGUUUGCCCUCCACAUUCUUCAUCAUACCCGAAAUUGAAAAAGACGAAGUUCAGAUCUUGAACAACCACGGAAGCACAAGAACAAGGACGAAAAGUAACUCUCUGUUUUGCCCUUUUUGCUCUUCACGAGUCGGACGAGGAGUCAGUCGAAUGAGAGCGUUAGGCAUGCGGAACCAACAUCGACAGCCAUGUUUGAGAGCGAAGAGGAGCCUCAUUUUCUCCUUCAAUCAUGCAGAAUUUUCCGCUGUUGUCUGGAAAUGGCACGAGCUCAUCCUCACGUUCUUACAACCAACAACGAGAGCAUUGGGGAACCGCACGAAUCCCAUUUUCCGUGGAUCUAAAAAAUGACCGCGCUAUUUCCACCACAGCUUUGUUCUUUGCGGUUCCGACAUUCUUCUCUUUGUUCUCUCUCCUUUCAGCAGAAGCUGCAUAUGCCAGCCUCACAAUGUUAUAUAUUUUCAGAUGUAUGCAAUUUUCUGGCUGAAGAAACUAAAAUUAGUAAAAAGUUCGUGGGGGUGAAGUAGACCCAUUUUUCAACCCAAAACCAACAGAGCAAUACUGUGUUGAUGCGGCACCCAACUCGUUGUUGAUUCAUCCUAAUUUUUUGGUAAUUUAGUGUUUGUCCAGACAUUUAACUCGAAAGUUGUGCGAAAUUCAUUAGUGUCAGUCGGAAAAAGAUUUAAGUAUUCACACCUUGCUAUAAGUCUAGGAAAAGUUUGUGACUCCGUUAUUCAUUUGAAGUUCAGAUCUCCAUAUUGGAAUUUUCUCUCGCUGUAACUUAACUAAGAAAGAUCGGCAUGAACAUUGGGGUGCUCGUGCACCCUUCCAGACUGCAAUCAUCAGAAUGAAAUUAGACCAAAUGGACGUAAGGGAAGAGGUGAAAACGAGAGGGCUAUGCAACGACGAACAUUCAGGGGUGAGCGCCAGGUUGGGCUCAACUAAGGUGGAAGUGAACCGCUUUACAAGAGCAAGGGCAUUGGUUGUCACUCUGAACAAAAUCCUCCACCCUCUGCGCCCCACUCCAAACCUGUGUGGACGGUGUUUUUGCGUCAGCACGUGACUCACCCACUUAUCUACAUUGCUCACGCCACACAAAUCCUAACCCAUGAACCGACCCGACCUCAGCACCGAAGCUUCCUCACCGACUUGACGGGCCAAUCCAGAGUCACCUAGUCUUUAGAUGGAACAGUUUAAGAGAAAAGUAACUAAAAGAAUAGAGCUUGGGUUGGGUUGACUACGCCGAGUCCGGAACGGGUAUGGCUGACUAUCUGAGUAAAAGCUCAGAUUGAUUGUCAAAAUCCAAGAACAAGUCGAUCUAAAGCCACAGUAAAAGCUCUCCCUCAAAGAAAUCGAUUAGGUGGGAAUAAUUGAGAUUAUACCACGACAACACGUCCACCAAACAAGACUAUCUGAGUCAACACACAAGUGUAGAACAUCCAAUUCAAGAGCAGGCAUAUCAUCUUUCACCUUGCUGAAAGUAGAUGUCCAGAAGAAAGCUUAAAGAACAGCCAUGGAAUGCUAGUAAGUAAAACUACAUUAUCACGACAAAAAGGCCAUUCCACCACUGCACUUCAGAAGCAUUGUUCUUAGACUUUGUUGAAGGCGACGAUGUCACAACUCUGAAUGUAUUCAUUGAUAGGCUCAGCUUGAAGAUUGUUGACACCUAAAUUUUGGCGACCCAUUUAGUCAUUUAUCGUCUUAAAAAUUAGGGAUUAAUUUUAUCUCUAAAAAAAUAUUAAUUGCAUAGCAUAUAGAUUUAGGUGCAUUUGUUUUUAAUUUGCAUUUUUUUUUACAUUUAUUUAUUGGACCGGUGGCUGAUGGGUUGAAUUAGCAGUUUUGGGUUUUAAAUUAGCAGGCUGGGCUAGGCUCACGAAAGGAGAAAAUUAACCCAAGCCCGUCGUUAUGUUUAAUUAAUCAUCUUAUGAAAAAUUAAGAUUUGAUGCGAUAUUAUGAUGAUUUUUGAAAAUUAAAAAAUAAAUCGCAUUGUAAUCUUAUCUUUAUCAAUAGAUGAUGAAAUCAGGGGAGAAUAUUUUUAAGAUAAUAAUUUUUGUGAUCAAGAGGUUAUAAGCAAUAUUCGUGAGAUGAAAGUAUUAACAAAAAAAGAUCUUGUUUUGUUUCGCCUAUAAAAGGAUGCGUACGGAGAUCAAUGAGGGGGGGUGUUUUUUUUUAGGUUUUCUCUUCGUCAAAAAGAAAAAAAAAAAAGUCAAAGGAAAAAGGGAAAACAGAGGGAAAGUGACGUGAGAGAGACAGGUGAGAGAGAGAGAGGAAAAGGGAAAAGCAAACACAAGACCCCUACGUUUCGGAAAAGACGCAGCAUUACGAGCUAUUCGUAUAAGUGAAAGGGAGGGGCAAAGUGAAGUAAAAGAGAAAAGCAAACACAAGACCCCUACUGUUCAUCUUCUCCUGGAGUUCUUCGCUGUUGAAUUUCCGCCGGUUCCUGCUGCGUCCCAACCCGUGCGAUCCGACACCAUCCCUCGUCGUCACCAACCACCGCGCCUGCAGCACCUCCAAUCAGUGACCCGCCGCCUCGUCCAAGCUCCGCCCUGUCUCCACCGGUCUCUGCCCGCCGGACGCUGCAGUCUUGCCACACCGACGCCGCCUGGAAGCCGAGGCCAGCCGCGGCCACCUCGCUCGAAGCCCCACCUUUGUCCGCCCGAGCUCUCCCGUUCGUGUCGCGCUGACCCACGAUUUCGGUGACCCAUUGCCGCCCAACGCCUCCCUGUGCCGCGCCGACCCAAGUUCCUGCUGUUCGUUGCCGCCGGAGACCGUCUUCGCCGCCGCUGCGACCCAAAGCCCGCUGCAGUCAAGCCCGAGCGCCGCUCGUCGCCCAGCAGCCGAACGCUGCUCCCCGGCCUCGCCUGAAUCGCAACGCCUGCUGCUCGGAGCCAAAGACCCGUGAUCCACCUACUGUUCGGAGCCGAAAACCUGAGCCAGAUCUGCCCACCGCCUGCACCGCGUCGGCUCCGAGCCUCCCCCGACGACUGCUGCUGCUGCUCCCGUGCCGUCCCUGUCUCGCCUGACCCGCGACCAACCGUGCCUUCCCUUCGCCGGAGCUGCCCUGCCGGACCGACGCCAGUUGCCGUAGGUGACCUGCCACGAGCAAUCCGUGCUUGGGAAGGGAAAAAGAAAACAGAAAAAAAAAAAAUCAAUUAGGUAGUUUUUCUUUUUUAUUUACUUUAUUUUAUUUUUUAUGUUAGUUUCAUUUAUUUACUUUGUUUUUUAGUAGGAUUAUUCUUGAAUGAAUGGUUGAGAUUAUGACAUGAGACUGCCUCUGAAAUUAUGGAUUGACAAUCCGAUUUUCGCGCUCGAAAUCCGACUCGCAAUUCCUUACAAAAAUCGACAAUCCAAUCUCAAGCCCAGGAUUCGACCGAAUUCACAUUGGUGUCAUAGAAUUACUUAAUUUAGAUACUAUAUGAUUAGGUAUCAAAUGAGCAGGCUCGACAAAACCCUUGUAUAGCUUCUUCGAUUUCUCGAAAAAGAGAAAUAUGACCGACAGUUGUUCGAAUGUAUAUACAAAUAAUUUCUUUUUUUACACUUCUUACUAUUAGAUAGUGCCCAUAAAUUUCAUGAUAGGUACCCAAAAAAGUUAAGUGCUAAAAAAAUAUCAACUCUAUAUUUUUUAUGAUUAUAAUGUCUUUAUAUCAUCAAACAGAUGAAAUCCGAAUCCAUUUCUCGAUUCGAUUCACGAUUUAGUUUAAAGUUGGCCAACUCGAUCUCAUGCGCGAGAUAUGGUUUGUCGAUUUUUAGAUAUCAAUCUUAUCUUGUUUGAUUUUCUGUUAUUAAGUUGGUUGAGUCAAUCUUAUUUUUGUAAAGAAAAUCCAAAAAAAAAUGUUGAAUUAAGAUUAGGUUUGGUUUGGUUAUUAUCUUUUAUAUUUAGAAUAAGAAUUUUACUUUAAAUCGUGGAAAAGAAAACCAAAAGAAAUUCAUUUAGGAUGUUAGUUUUAUCAUUAUUUGAAUUGCAUUUGAAAAUUUUAAUUUCUUAAAGAAAAACACAAAAAAAAUCAUUGUGCAUAUUAGAUUAGAAUUGCAUGUUUCAUUUUAAAUUUAGAUCAUCUUUUUUAGAUAAAUUGCAUUUUAGAGUUAGAUAAUGUCUUAAUCCCUAGUUUAAAUUAGAUAGAAUCUUAAUCUAGCUAGAUCAUUUCAAAUUUCAUAAAAUUUGUCUUAGGAUAAAUUAGUUGCAAUUUCUAGGAUAGAUUGCAUUUUUAAAAUAAAAAAUAUCAUUUGCAUGUCAUAUAAAAUCAUUUUAGUGAUUAUUGUUAGGUUCAUUUCUAAUUAGAAAUUGACCGUCAUCAGAUUAGGUCAUUUAAUAAAUGUCGCGUGACAUAUAGCUCGCAUAUUAAAUUGCAUGUUGCAUGUCAUUUUAGUUGAAAUAAUUUUGUACGUCAUUGCAUUGCAUUGCACGUCAUUAGAAUUAAGUCAUUUUAGAUAAUUUAGAUUGCAUAUUUAAUUAUUGCAUGUUCAUUAAGAAAUCACAAAAAUUCUUAAUUUAUUCAUAUAGUUUAGGACAUAUUGCCAUGCCAUAUCAUUUCAUAUUAGAUUAAAAGCAUUCCAUUGCAUAUGGUCUAUAUUUUUGUUGAAAAAGAAAAAACAAAAAUUGAGUAAUUGCUUGUUAAUUAGAAACCAUAUCAAUGGUUGUUGAUGUGGAUUUUAAUUUAACACUGCAGAUGCUUUCAUUGCUUUGAGGUAAGUCCUGCAUUAUUUAAUUAUUUUCUUGGGUGUUAAAUUGAUGGUUUGCGCACUUACAUGAUUACCUCACAUGUUAGAGAGAUAGAUUAAAAUCAAUUUAAGCUGCCUGCAAAACUUUUUUUUAAAUAAAAGAAAUAGUACCGAAAGGGCGUUAGAGAAAUCUAGCGUAAUCAAGUCCUCCCCGUACUCAAAUCUCUGGUUCGUAGGAGUAAAGUGAAUCUCCCAUUACUUUACUUGGGUUUCUAAUCGACCCACCAAAAAUAGAUUAGUGGAGACUCCUAAUUUAAAAAUCAAUCGCAUGUUAAGAAUUUAAACCUAAGUCGCGAAUUGGUAUAAACUUGGGAGAGCCCGAGUUAAGUUUAGGCUUAACAAUCCAUUAGCCAAAUCCUAGGUGGUUCAACCCCAAAAUAUUGGUCGCGACAAAGAUGCUCCUUGAUGAGGGUGUCCACUGAGACAAGGUCAUCCACAAUGGUCAUCAUGAUCUGCAACUUCUUAAUCCCGUAACCCACUGGAACCAGUUUCGCUGCUAGGAAGAAAGCAAAAGAAAAAAUCCUCAUAAGGGGAUAAACAUGACAUUCAGUGACAAAGCAUUAUGGUCAUACUGGCGAUAUAAUGAGACAGUCAAAACUUACAAGCUCCCAAGAAGAGCCCAGGCAUCUCCACACUCCUAACAGCCUCUUCCAGCUUCUUCAUGUCUGUCUCAUCAUCCCAAGGUUUCAUAUCCAAGAGGACAGAUGACUUUCCACCUAUAACAGGAACCGGAAACACACACAAGCCAAGAUAUUGAAAUAACUGAUGAGAAUUUUAUUCCAAAAAAAGAAACAAGUUCAGGCUAGCAAGCAGCUUAAUCAACGUGAUAAAUAAGUUUCUAAGAAUUAGGUUUAACACCUUCAAGCAAGCAAGCUGUAUACAUCUAUCUAUCUUUUGUUUUCUUUAUCGCAGAGCAAAGUUCACUUACUGAUCAUAUCAGGUAUAAACGUAAAUGAACCAGGACGCAUCAGCCCCCAAGAGUCAAGAUAUAACAGCUGCUACUAUUGCAUGUAUUUUUUUUUUUUUUAUUAACCCAGGAGAGAAGUGACUCCAAGAAAGUGAAUUUAGGAGAAUGAUUGCAAAGUUACUUUCUUUCUUCUUUGUGAAUGCCUUUUUGGCUGCCUCCCUCUCUUCUGCAGCUUUCUGGUCCUCCUUUGUCUCUUCACCAAAGAGAUGCAAGUCAUCGCCAUCCUCAGCAGGAGCAGCCUGGUGAAAAGAAAAUGAAACAUCAAAUCUUGACCAUUCAAAAUAGAAACGUCAGCAAAAGUCAAAACUCUACCGAGUUAAAGCGAAUCUUAAAGAGAUGCAUUCAGUUACUUAGUGAUCUAAAGGUCAACUUAACAUAAGGUCCUUGUUUCGAAACUUAAGACUAUCUAUUUACUCAUACAUGUAAUUCCACAGGACAAGAUAAGGACAACUUUCUCCACGAAGGCAAGAUAGUAGGGUCUAAUCACUUAGUCAUUAUUAAGUUGUUCAAACCUAGAUCAAAGCAAGAUCCCUAUUCUGUAACAUGUGUAGCAGUGUGCAUAACAAGCAUUCACUGAAUCAAAUGAAACAAUGUUUCUGAGUUUUACUCGCCACUAUGGAUAAAAUUCCAUCGGUGCUUACUGAAGAUUGGAAGGGAUAAUUUUGGGUUACAUAAAGUGUAAGAAGUUAAUAGAAUUAGCAAACGAAAGGUUAUAUAGCUAGAAGAAGCGAGGCCUCUAGCAACAGGACCACCUCAUCUGCCACGAAGGCUUUACAGACAGAACAGUCUCUCCUGAUAAUAGAAAAGCAUACCUCGAUGAAAGUAAAAUUGACAUUAUUGAGGAGAUUAGCCUAUAUAUAAAACAAGAAAAUCUGUAACAUCACUCAGAAAGCAAAGCUUAUGAUGCCAAAUUCUUAUUAAAACAACAACAAACUGAGCCUAUCCCUCAGAACGGGGUGAAUAAAUCCUUCUACACCAUUUCAUUCGAUUCAAUUUCUCAUCAAAGUCUUAAAAAAGAAGCCACUGCAUCAGUACAUAUAGCAUCCCCCUUAAUUUCUUCAACUAGAGCACCUUUGGCACCUACUCUAACACCAGCAGCUUUGCCAGGGAAGCUAAACAAUUGAACAAAAUAGGAGACAUUAGGAAGCAUUCGACUCUAAAAUCAAAAUAAAAUGCUAUAACAAGAUGAGAUGCAACAAUGCCGAAAAUUUCUCAACUUCAACAAAUUCAAAGUACACGACGCAGGCAUGCAUUGAUCUCCUCCCCAAACCAUACCAAGAAAAUCAGGCAAUCGAUAUUGUUGACCUUAAAUUGAAGAUAAGGGCCUCCGAACAUGCUUUCAUGCAAGUCUAUAAAUACAAUAGGCACUCGUAAACACAGAAAAAUCCUCGCUUUUCAUGACCUUUCUCGUAGUAGUAGUAGUAAUAAUAAGAGUAAAUGUCAUGAUUGUUGGGCCGGUUAUUCGCAUUGCAUACGCUUAUUAGCUUUUGAAAGAGUUUCAGUGUUACGCCUUUGGUUAGGACUAUUUUAUAAAUGAAUCAAUAGAAUAAAAUGAGAUUAAAAAACAACAAUAAAAGUAGACCAUAAUCCCCAAAAUUUUUGUCGAAAAAAAUACGUGCUUAGGCUUUUCUUUGCCAAGGAAGAUGAAUGUAUGAAUUAUUUAUUCACAUCUGAUAAUUCUAAUUAAAUUUAUGAUGAUAAUUAAGAUUUAAUGUAUGCUUUCUAAAAUUUGUUGGGCCAUGCAUCUUACUUGUUUCAGUUGGAAAUCCAUUAGAUGAUUGGUAAUAAACGAAAAGGCCGCGCCGACUUCAAGGUAGGACUUCAGCCAGUGUCCUGUGAACACUAAUUUUAAACUUUUGAAAAUUGGAACAGGUCUCCGAUUAAACAACCUGAUCUUGGAUCCAAGUUCCAAAUCUGAUGUAUAUUGUAACUAUUUCUGUUUCUCUGAGGGCACUGCAAGGGACACAUAGAAAAAAAGAAGAAGAAGACAAUUUGACGAAGAGGAUACCUCAGUGUAUGUCCGCAACAUGUUUGGAUCUACAGUGCAAUUUGGUUGUUAUUUAAGUUUUACGUUGUGUUACUGAAAACAGCCAUUGUUAUUAUCUCCACGUGCAAAAGAAAAAAUAGGUUUUGCAGAUUGAUCCAACCAAAAUAAUAGGUUUUGCAAUAUGACUUCACUGUUAAGUUUUGUGCGUCAAUUUGGUUGUUAUUUAAGUUUCAGGUCGUAUUACUGAAAACAGCCAUUGAUAUUAUCUCCAUGGCAAAAGGAAAAAUAGGUUUUGCAGAUUGAUCCAAACAGGGAACGCAACAACUUCGUUACUUUGAAUAUCCCUGACAUCAACGAGAUGAAUGGAAGGGUGUACAUUUUUGGUUCGAUCUUUUUCAUUGGUUCUUUUGUUGACAUUGUCAAGUUUUGGCUUGAGACUUCUAAUGGAUGGUUGAUUGGGACCAAUGGUGUGAAGACUAGAGGAGCUGGAUCAAGUUUUAGUGAUGAGAGGGACGGAGGUAGAGAGCAAAAACAGGUUGCAAUGGCUAUCGGUGUGAAAGGGAUUGCUGUAGAGAGCAAGACAGGUUUGGAGAUGAUGAUCCAAGCAGGGAAAGCGGCUCUGCCCAUUCGGGUGAUGAGGAUAACUCGAGCAAUCAUUUGUGGAUUGUGAUCAAGAUUUAGAUGACAAUGAGUAGGAGAACAACAGCAAGAACCACGACAACUGUGCAAGGAAGCUGGGUCUUAGCCAUCUUAGGCCUACUAUAAUGCAGGCCAAGCAAAUGGCUGGACAAGAUAAAGAAUUUAUAGGAUCGGUUUUAUUUGUUUGCUUUUCGUACUGUCCUCUUCGUAUUUCUUUUUUUUUUCUUUUAAAUAUGUUGAAGUAAACAUGGUAUGAGAAAAGAAAAUUUUUCUAUUCUACCGGUUCUUCUAACUACAUAAUUUUCUUCAUGCAGUUUACCGAUUCAUUCUCAUGACAAGUUUGUCAUGGAAAACAAUUGUCUUAUGGUUAUGUGGAACUUUUCUUGAGAAACUUCUGAUCUUAGCUAUUUGUGCAGGAUUCAUAAGAGCCAUUAAGGAGAUAGUUCUAGCUUGUGCCAUUUAUGCUAACAGGUUCUUUGUUGUGACAAAGAUGGCAUUCUAGAACCACAUAUGUUGAAUCAAGAAUGCCUUGACACCCUCUCAUGUGUGUUGCAAAAAGUCAUACGCUUAUAUAUUUUUUAGGGUAGUCGAUAUUUUGACCUUCACGAGAGCUCGAAACUAGACUGGGAGUUAAUGUCCGGUGAUCAUAUUGACGUGCCAAGUGCUUAUUUUAGAAGCACGUCGCUACAGUCUAUUUUGAGACUCCAAACAAUUUUUUUUGUCUGGAACAACAUUCAAAGUGCACUUCUAUCUAAAUCUUUUUUCCUAAUGAAUACUAUUCAUGAACUUGUUGCUUAAAGAGAUUUGUUUGUAAUUUAUAAUUAUGGACAGCUCGUGUUUUCAAUUGAAAUUAGAUCGAUUCAUAUACUCAGACGUGAUAAUGAGCUGUGGCAGCAACGAAAAGAACAUAAUAAAACGUGAGCAAAGUAAUGUGUGAUCAAUACAUAUCAUAGAGGUACGAAGAUACAUGGCAACAAACAUAAACAAACAGAAUCCCAAGAGACAUCUCAUAAUAAACAAACAUUCUAAUAAAUUCUAAUUAAAGAUACGCUGAGACAAAUGACGGAUCAAUGGUACUAAAAUCUGUAGGGGCUUGGUGGGCUGAGAAAAGGAAUAGAGGGGAUUUUAGGGAGAGAAGUAGGGAUGCUUGGCAUCGGUGGCAAGCUGGUCGGCAUGGUUGGCAAGCUCGGAAGUGGCGGCAAAGUAGUCUUGGGCAAUGUUGGCUGGGUUGUAGGCAGUGUCGGCAAUGUGGGUUGAGGCAGGGUCGUUGGGAUGGUGGGCAUGGGUGGCAUGGCGACUUUGGGCAACGUUGGCAUGGCAGGCAAAGGAGGCAAAGACCCUAGUUUUGGUAUAGUUGGUAUGGUGGGAAGAGUCGGUAUGGAUGGAAUGGUUGCUUGUAGCAGAUGACGAGCUCCGAAGCUCAUAUUCAUGCUAGCGAAAAUUAUGGCAAUGAAGAUAACAAAGCUUUUUGAGGAAAGAGCCAUAUUUGGAAAGUGGGCAAUAGAUGUUAUGUUGUGAUAAGCUCAGGGACUUGAAAUUGAUGAGCUGAGAGGAAGGGGAUUGGAGUUUAUAUAGCAAGAACUGUCGGGUAGAAUUAGGGUUGUGAUGAUAAGUUGGUGACUUGCCGUUGGGCACGGUUGGGAAAGAAUUAGAAGUUGAUGUCUUGAUUGGUUCUUUAGUUAGUUCACCUCCUCAUGUCAAUCUUCCACCGGCAUAAAGAAAGGUCAAACCUACUUUUUGCUGUUUGACCUGCCAGAUGGCAUUAUGUUCAUGAAGUCAAGCUUCAUUCGAAUCUUUGUCUUAAUGAAAGGUGACUAAAUAAACAACUUAGUUUUCGGGAGUAAUCAGGUAAAUAACUUGCUUCCUCCUAAGUAGGGCGGUUAUUGCCGUACCAACUCGCUUCUUGAUUUUUGAACAUAUGGAGCUAGCGAUUCCAUGCGUUGUGUUGUGUGCUCCGCCGCACUUUGUAGAUUAUAUUUGUCUUAAUAUUUUUUACACUUGUUAGUUUCUAUCCGUUGAAUUAUAGCCUUUCGUGGGGAUGACCUUGGGAUGCAGGUCUCACUAUUGCGACCUCCCUUUUGACUUUCGACGCCCUCUUACAUCCCGGGCUCUCCAGAGCCACCAAUUGAUGAUUUAUGAUUCGAAUUUUUAAUCUGUAAGUUAAUUUUAAAUAGGAUUAUCCAUUAAUCGAUUUAAGACGAGUUGAUUAGAAACCCAAAUAAAAUAUCAUGAGAUAUACUUCACUCUUACGCGACCAGAGAAGAGAAUUUAUGACCAGGGACUUGAUUACACUAAUUAAUCACUAACGUUCUUCUGGUACCUAACUUUGUUUAAACAUCAAGUAAAAUAUUUAUACGGCAUUUUAUACUAAUAACAAGUUCUAGGAUUUUAUCCUUUACCCAAAUAGAAAGAAUAUGCAUUUCCAUGCAUCAUAAGGAAUAGAAAUCCAUGCAUCAUAAGGACGCAAUUGGAAUAAAUUGAUAUUCGCUUACAAGAAUUUAAACACGUUUUUUUUUUAAUUUUAUUUUAUGCAUUUUCACACAUUUUUUUUAAAAACACUCAAAAGACCAUUUUUAUUUUUUAUUGAUGGUAUAUUUGUAACAAAUUUUACCAAUUUGGGGUUUUUUGCAAUCGAAUAAAUAAGUUUUGGAUAAAUUUGUCAUAAAUAUAUCGGUUUAUAGUUUUUUAUGAUCAAUCAAAUAAAUUUGCUACAUGUGUACCAGUUUGAGAUUUUUCAUGGUCAAAAAAAUAAUUUGGGAGAAAUUUGUCACAUGUGCACCAAUUUAGGGUUUUUUUAGGUUUUUAGGUUAUUAACCAUUUUUAUUGUUAACCAUCGACCAAGGUGGCAUAGAUGGUAGGGCCUUGGACCUCCUCGGUGGAGGCUAAGGUUCGAAUCCCCUGCGAAGCAGGGAGGCAGUCUAGCUACUACAUGAUGACUUAAGCGUGACGUCGAGGUGGUGGUUUCCCUGCUAGCGUCACCUGAGGGUUUAUGGGAACAGCUGUCGCCCAGUAGCGGUUCCUCCAGCACAAAAAAAAAAAAAAAAAACCAUUUUUAUUGUUAUAUUUUUUAUUUUUUAUUAUAAAAAUAAUAUAUUAUUAAAUUAUAAAAAGGGACCAGGGUCGGAUCUUCGCAUCCGACCCGAGUUGAAGCCAGUCCAAGCCCUCCUGGUCCGGGCGCAGAGCGGACUGAGCGCAGCGAUGGGCUCGUCGAUAUAUUUUUAGUAAAAAGAACCCAGCCCGUAGUCCAUGCACCAAAUUAAACCUAAAACCUAGACCAAGCUGGCCCACACACGUCCGGCCCAAACCGACCGGAACCCUACCCGGCUAAGCCCCGCACCGACCCGAUCUGCAGCCUCCCCUUUCUCACUACACUCACGCAACAUCGGCGGAGCCAACUGAGGCGAGCGGCACCGGUCGCCAUGGCUGCGCACAGCGGAUCUGCAGCACCUCGUGUUGAGGGACCGGCGGAUGCGACGGCAAGGCGGCAGCAACAGUAGGGAUGGCAGUGGACGGCGUGGCUUGACUGGGGCGCCGCGGCAGCGUUGCGGCGGUGGUCUCGCGUGGCCAGGGUUUCCUCGGUUUGGCCGGGAGAGGACUCUCUCUCUCUCUCUCUCUCUCUCUCUCUCAGGUCCCGCCCAGAUCGAACGCCCUCAAAUCUCAAAUCGAAUCCUUAAAGAACAAUCCAGGACGUGCACAACAAUUAAAGGAAGGUCGGGGCCGGAGCUUGUGCGCCGGACGACCACGAGCUCUGACCUGGCCCGACCAAAGCAAGGCACAAAAAACGACCAGGGGGGUCUUCUGAGCUUGCAGGCCUUCUCCGUCUGGCGGGCUCGCAGACACCCUUUUCAUAGGCCGAGGAGGCCGGUGGACGGAGGCUUCGGCCACCGGUCCUUGGCGCGCCGACCAGACCUCCUCUCGGCCGAACCGGUGUGCUCUCGGUCGUCCAUUCCGCAGCAGGCUUAGCCCUGCUCUACGUCUUAGCUCGACGGCAUUGAUGACGCCUACGAGCUGUCCCAUCCGUCACCGGCCUACUCCGCCAUAGGUCGUCCUCGUGCGCGUCGUCGUCUUUGCGCGAGUUGCAGAGGCGGAGGGGAAAGGAGGAAGGAAGAAGAAGAAAAACAGAGAGGGAAGGCGGGCCGGAAAGGGCUUGGCCUUGGGCCUGCGUAAAAAAGGAAAAGGGGCUAGGGUCAGGCCCAGCCCCAAGCCAUUUUUCUCUUUUUUAAAAAAAGGGAAAAAAGUCACGAAAAAUCCUGAACUUUACCCAAAUGGACACAUUUAUCCCAAACUUUUUUUUGUGACGUGAAAAACCCCAAACUUUUUCAAACCAUGACACAUUUACCCCAAUUUUUUUUGACACAAAAAACCCUAAACUUUUAUUAUGUGACAUAUUUACCUCGAAAUUAUAGGGCAUUUUGGUCUUUUCAUUUAUUUUUAUUUAUUUUCAUUUUUUUCAUUUUUUUUCUCUUCUCUCUUCCCUCUACCAGCGGAGGGAAGCCGACAUCUAGCAAGGGCUACCCUCGACAGCGUCAGGCAAGGGUCACCCCUCGCCGACGUCGGGCUAGGGCGGCCUUCGCCGGCGUCGGGCAAGGGCCGCCCUCGCCUGCGUCGAGCGAGGGGUGCCCUUGCUAGAUCUGGUGAGGGCCAUCCUCGCCCGACGCCAACAAGGGCCAACCUCGCCUGCGUCGGGUGAGGGUGUCCCUGCCUUCGCCAGAUCUGGCGAGGACCGUCCUCGCCCAUCGCCGGCGAGGGCGACCCUCUCCUGCGUCAGGCGAGGGUGUCCCUACCCUCGCCAGAUCUGGCGAGGACCGUCCUCACCCAUCGUCAGCGGGGGCGGCCCUCGCCUGCGUCGGGCAAGGGUGUCCCUGCCCUCGCCAGAUCUGGCGAGGGCCAUCCUGGCCCGACGCUGGUGUUGGGCAGCCCUCGCCUGCAUCUGGCGAGGACGACUGGCGAGGGAGGCCGUCGCCCGACCCCGGUGAGGAUGACUGGCGAGGGAGGCCGUCGCCCGACUCCCGGCGAGGGCCGUCUUCGCCCAACACUGGCCCGGCGAAAGGAAGAAGAAGACAAAAAGGAAAAAAAAAAAAGGAAAAAAACAGAUUAAAAGACAAAAAAGCCCUUAGUGGGAUAAAUGUGUCACGGUUUGAAAAGUUUGGACUUUUUCACGACACAAAAAAAAAAAAAAAAGUUUAGGGUAAAUGUGUUGCUUUGGGCAAAGUUCAGGGUUUUUCGUGGUUUUUUUCCUAAAAAAAAAUUAUUUAUCUGAAGAUAUGGUAAAACAAGGGAAAAGAAAAUAGAAAAUUCAACUUAGUAGAUGCAAAUGAUAUUAAAAUUUAGGUGAUGCAACAAAAAUUUUCUGUUAGGGCUAGAUCGAUUCCUAAUUUUUUUUUGUAAUUUUAAUUAUAAAUAUUUAGUCAAAAUUUAAGUGUUAACACCCACAACACGGUAUCCCUAUUCGUUUCGGAUUGGUGAGUGCAUGGUGGAUUGCAGAAUAGAGAUAAGAUUUUAUUGUGAUGUUCGAUUUAAACAAAUAUAAUAUAUGUUACAUUAUUUGAUUUCAUGAAUGAGAUAAUAUUCAUCAGAAUACCUAAAAUGUUAUUGAAGUGAAAAUUACAUGAAAUAAAGUGAAUAUCGAUUAAUGCACAUAACUAUUCAUUUUGCAUUGUUUAAUAACCUUGAUAAAUUGUUUUGUUCUAGACAAAUUUACGUGAUUUUAUCUGAAUUUAAAACAUAUCCCACCUACCACCAAGUCAUUUUUGUUUUUUCGGAAAAUUAUCAAUUGCAUGUCAAUAUACACCCAUUGCACACAAUCCAUCUAUUAGAUCGCAUGAAAUUCAUGUGAGACUCACAUGAUUCAAUGGAUCACAUGCAUUAAUCCAACAUUUUCAAAGAUUAAAUAAAUCAGUAAUUAUCAAGAUUACUUGUAAUUAGUAGGGGGUGGAAUGAGCAGGUGUUGCUGGGUUGGCGCACCAUUCUUAUGGUGUAAAUCCGCCCCCAAACGAUGCGGGGCCCCGCCGAGCAUGGAGAAUCCGCACCCUAUGCCAUCCUCAACUUGUAUCACCGCUCAUACUUUUAUAUUUAUCUGAACUAGACGAACGUGAACCAAAUGAUAUUCCAUUAAAACUAUCGCUUAAGAUGCAACUACCUAACCGAGACAAGCAUUUUCCUACUAUUUUUGUUAUUUAUUUUCAUAUUUAUCAGUUUUAUUUUAUUUAUUUAUCUUUAUUCCUUGCGUCCCUUUUUAGAAAUCCUUUUUGUUCUCUCGUUUGUUUUCUUACUCAGAAUGUUUCAACCUUCCCAUUUUGCCAUGUCUAUCUUUAUCAUUCUUCUUCUUUUUUUUCCCUCAUGAGUUCACCUAAGAUUACACUCAAUUUCCCUGCUCAAUCCCAUUCAUCUUUUUCAUUCUUUCACUCUUUCCCUACCCGCCAAACAAAAUCCUUGUUCUGCCAUACAGAGAGAACAGCCCCAUAUGCUACAUAACCCAGACCUCUUUGCACAGCUACAUGAGAACAUCCACUAAAACGUAUUCUGCUGUUGAUCUGAGUCGGUGAAGGACUACCGAGCGAGAGAUGAGCAGCACUUUGGGGCUUCCUCGCAGAUAAAUAAGAACAAAACAGAGGAGCGUUCUGAAGCGGCGAGCGACCAGCAGCGAAUGAAGGGCGGCGGUUGAAUUUCACUUCCCAGAGAGGAUUUCUCGGUGAGGUCAGUGUAUGUGCUCAAGUGGUCUGGACUGCAUCUCUGGAUUUGAUGGGCUGGUGUGAAUGAGGCCAUAUGUUAGAUGGGUUUGACUUGUGAAUGAAUUGUAUUUAAUAGCCAAUGGGCCUACGGCAAAUGGGUUUGGGUACUUGCAUAGAUGGCUGAAUUGGACUCUCUUUUUAUUUAUUUGUUUAUUCAUUUUUUUUUCUAUUCUAGCAGAAAUGUAUGCUUGACUUGUAGCCAUCGCCAAAGAAAGUUUGACUUCAAUUAUGAAAAUGCACGCCUGUGUCUCUUCUGCUUAGAUUCAUGCGUAAAUGGAUCAAGGUUCUUUUUUAGGCCCGCAAAUGAAUCAAAGUUUGAGAUUAUAAGAUUAUAGUGAUUACAAAAUGAUGACAUAUGAAUUUUUUCACGAGACCAGAUCAGAGACACUUUUAUUUUGCUUCCAGAAUUCUUCCAUUUGAGAAACCACUGUCCUUUUGGAAUCUUUUUCAUUGAGACUCUUGGCUGCCAUUAAAAGAUUAUUUGCUUAUACUACAAAAUCCUCUUUUUCCAUGAAAAAAGUUUCUCUUCCAGUCACAAUAUUGUAGACUGAAGUGGACAUCUAAACGGUGAUCUUGUUAACAAAAUUUUGCUUAACUUCACAUACAGAACUUGCACCUAGGGGUCUUUCUGCAAGAAUUUUGAGAUUCGGCCUUUGCUAAAGAGUAGCAUGAUGUCAAAGCUUGCAAAAGACUACUACACUGCAUGAGAAGAGAAGAGGUCGCUUUACAUCAAGAAUCCUAUGAAAAGUAUUAUUAACAACAUGGAACACAUGAUAAACACCAAUGGUGACAAACUCCGGAACGCCUUUUUAUUAUGUUUCAUGACAUAGCUCCUUCCUAUACACAUCUCUAUCCUUGGUUUUUGGGAAUUUCUCUGAAUUUCCUGAAAUGCAGCUUGAAUCUACACAAGAAGAAUAAGAUUGACUAAUUAUCAAUCAAUGAAGAUAGCUGAGACUAUAGCAUCACAAUUUACCCCACGAAAGGUAAGGUACAAAUGCAUAAACAUCAUUUGCAGCGUCACCAAAACCUGGGGACAUAUUUUGCCAAAGAAUUUAGUUGUCUCUGAUUAGUUGGCAGUUGGACCGCAAUCAACAAAGACUUCAUUAGCUGGCCGAUGAAAAAGGAAACAACAGACUUGGGAGAAGUGAUCAAUUAGCAACACUUUCCUUGUUUUUGUUUAGGAACAAACCUGAUGUUAAUAAGAUUAGGCUGAAAAACUGAAGUGCCUAAACUACAUAAGAGAAUUGUACUUGUUACUUAGGGUGUGUUUAUUUCAUGAAAUACUCAACAUUUGGAAAAACAUUUUUUGAAAAAUAAUCGCUUGUAUCACCUACAAAAAUGAUUGAAUGCAAAUUUUCUUUCAAUACCUACAAAAAUAGUGUUGGUAAUGAAAACAUUUUCAAUUGACAAUUUUUUAAGAGAUAUAACCAAUCAUUUUUCAAAAAAUGUUUUCUAAAUCUUGAGUUUUUCUAUGAAACAAAUGCAUGUUUAGGCUCCAUUUAUUUCACAGAAUAUAUUUUCUAGAAAAAUAUUUUCUUACAAAUAUGUUUUCAAAUCAUUCAUUUUCCGUGAAACAAAUGAAGUUUUAGUUAUUUCGCCAUAUGCAAUUAGCAAAAUCAGCAAAGUGAUGGAGUUUGCUAAGAGGCGAAUUUCAACUUCAAAAAUUCAGUGUUCCAUACAUGAGAACAGAGCUUAUCAAACCACACCUAUAUGACAACAUUCAAGGGAUGUCAUCACACAAUAAACUAAGAGAAAUGGAGGAGAUUGUCAUCAUGCAUCCUUGUAGACAAUUUUUCAGGUGAAAUUCCAUGGCUCAAAUUUUAUAAGCACACAAGUUACUAUUUCAUAGUUAUGGUACGAAUGGCAAUGCAUACCUCCCUCUACAAAGCCUUAUUGAGUUCAGGAGUGAAACCAUUAGUAUGCAACCGUAUCAAGCAACUUUGCAAUAGGAUAUCAGAUGAGGAAAAAAAAAUCAGCAUGUACGCAUUUCAUAAACAGAGAAGUAGGAUCCAAAGAGCAUACGCAAAGCAGAUUUAAUUGAUAAAAAAAAAAAAAAAAAACUACACGCAUAGUCAGUCGAGUAUGUGCUUUUGCGAUCAGAUCAAGUGUUUGGAUCUUCAAAGCAUCAACACUCCUCAGGGACUCCAGCUGGCCCACAAGCCUCGUCAAAGUUGGCAUGCGAGAUGGGCCUCAGUUGCUGCCGAUGCUUCCUUUGCACAAUCCCUCUUCUUCAUUUUCGGCCGAAUUUUUUUUUUUUUUUUUUGAUGGGUCUCUGUUAUGAAAUUUGAAGUUCCUCUACAAAGUUAGCCAGACCCAGAUCAAUCACGUGAUAGUAUUAUGCCAUGGCCACAACAGGAUCAAACAGGAUAGAAACUAACUAGCAAAUUCUUGUUCUCCUUGCUCCAGCUUGUUUCCCUGAACCAGCGAAAAUUUGUCGCAAUUACACAAAAGUCAUCGACACAGCUCAUUGAGUUGAAGUCCAAAGUAAGUUUUGAUUAUUACAUAGGCCAACCAGACCAAUCACAAAAGCAGCACCGGUUUACCUCGCUAGAAUAUAUAGGAAGCUGGUCUAUAAUAAUGCAGGAUAGACUAGCCAAAACUACUUAAUCACCCACCAGAAAAAAAAUGACCCUUGAUUUUUAUAAUUCAUGCUCAAGGGAACAAUAAGAAACUUGACAAGGUUUCCAAUCAUCACGGAGAAUUGAAAGGUGUUGUUUUGAACAGGAUAUUAUCUACUGUUAAUCGAAUUUGAUGCGAAAAAAGAGCUCACAAAAGAAUUCAAAAUAUCUAGAUGUUGCAUAUUUAGUAAAUCUCCAAUUGAGAUAGGGAUUUCUCUAAACGAUCACAAAGACCAGACACUCAAUUUUUUCAGCUUCCUCAAAGAAUUGAUUGCCACCAAUACAAAUGAGAAUAAGCCAUCAAAAAAUGAGUUGAUCAAUAAAUACCUUAUAAUUGCUGCUUUGUCGCCUCUACAAAUUAGUUGAGGCAACAUGAAGAUUCAAGGUCUUGAAGGAUUGAGAUUUAUUCAAGUGGAUUGUUUCCAUGAAAGAACAAGUCUUUCUAGGUGGAUUAGGUAAGAAAGCUCUGGCAAUACGGGCCCUUGAUAAGAAGUUCUUAGGUAUUCUAAGCUCAAAGGAAGCUCUGGUAAAGACUGAAGAUUGUAACAGUUCCAUAGUGCAAGGUGUUGGAGAGAAGAAAGAUUCCGAAUGCUUUCUGGUAGGUCGGAUAUCAAAGACACACUAAUGUCUAGAUAUUGCAAAUACUGUAAAUCCCCAAUUGAGUUAGGGAUUUCUCUCAAUGACCUACAACAAGCACUCAACUUCUCUAGCAUCCUCAGAGAACCAAUUGACGUAGGAAUCUUUGUAAUACCAGAAUUAUCUAAAAUAAGCUCUCGUAGUUCUUCUAAUUCGCCCACUUCUCUCGGUAGCUCCUUGAGACUGCCACAACCACUCAAUUCCAAGUAAACAAGGCUCUUGACUUUGCCAAUAGAAGGGUGGACCUGCAUCAGUUCUUUGCAAUUCUUGAAGAUGAGAAUUUUUAACUCUAUGAAAGCGGAGAGAUCAAGUGUACAUCUUAAAGAAUCAAUAAAUUCAAGUUGGAUAACUUGCAACCGCUUUGCCACCUAUACAAAGGAGAAUAAAUUGUCCAAAAUGAGUUGAUCGACAUAACGAAACAACCAAAAAAUCACAAAAAAUAGCUUUUUUCAAUCUUACCAUGAUUGAAUUCCAUCCUUUCCAAUCAUUUGUGAUCGAACUGUAUGACAAUUGCAACACCUUUAACUUUGGUAGAUGCAAAUCGUUUGCCGGAAAAGAUGGAUUGAGUUCAAUGUGAAGCCAAUGAAGCCACCUUACUUGAGAAAGGAAUUCGUUUAAGUCUUCACUUGCAGUCGUGUCCCCCAAUCGAAGGAACCUUAACCUCUGUGACAUUCUAAAUUGCCAAUUUGUGCGUGCCUGCAGCUGUUCAGCGGCCCCACAAUCUAAAAAUGGAUAAACUAAGAAUCCGUCGCAACGAUUCGUCUCUAUCAUUGCCGUACGCUGCAUAUCAAAUCAAACGACUAUAAGUGUUUGGAUUGGCUUUUAAUUUUUAAUUUUUUUUUUUAGUUUUUGCGUUUUUAAAUCUUGAUCUCGUACAAUUUGUCAUCCUUUCAACCUUAGCAGAUAAAUGUUAAGACCUAUACUCACAUUUAAUUUUUUGAUGACCUUUUGAAAUUUGAACAGUAUUUUAGAUUUUGACAUGAAAUAAAAAAAAAAUACUUCUUACUUUAGUAAAUCUAAGUGAAACACACCUCAAUGUUGUACCUCUUGCUUUUUUUCGAAUUUUUUGUUGCGCAUGCAUUUUAAUGUUUAUUUGAGCGAAAUACAUAAAACCUUUUAGAACACACAAAUGUUGACUUGUAAAUUUUCAAAUAAUUCUUUUUUACAAUUUUUUGAAAGAAGUUAUUAAAGAAUGCCUUGGAGUCACUUACUAAGCAACCAAGUAAUUGCUUAGUUUUCAAUUCAUUAACUAUUGUUGUGAAGUGUUUAAUCAUUGCUUUGAAAAUCAUAUAUAUAUAUAUAUAUAUAUAUAUAUAUAUAUAUAUAUAUUUUCAGAAAGUAUGUUUAAAAAGUGCUGUGACUAGUUAAUAUCUUAGAUUUGGGCGGAGAUUGGUAAAAGUUGCUUUCAGACCAAGUGAAAAUGAAUUAAAUAACUUCCUUCAAGAUAUUAUGGUUAGAUUAAGGUUUCUAACAUGUGGAACAAAAGGUUGUCGAUGCUGGCAAUAUCUUUUCUCAAACAAACUCUAUCAUACGAAAGUUUCUGGAGAAACAUAUUUAUUUGUAUUUACCAAAAAGAAGAGUGAAGGUAUAUAUAUGUCAGUUUGCAUAAGAUUGGCACCAUUUCCUUUGGCAUCUUAUAAGUCAAAACAUCCAGUUUAACUUUCCUGCUAGAACAGAUCAUUUAAAUAGUUGAAGAUGGUGAAAAAAAAAAAAAAUUCCCAUAUGGCUCUGAUUGACUUUAAUAACAAUGGUCGUUUUCCCCUCAAAAUUUCAGUUGGUCAUCGACAGUUUUCAAUAAUGAUCAAGUAUCGAAAUUUUAAAAGCUAGAGCCUUAAUUCCAAAGACACGAAGCUCCAUUUGAACUUUUUGUUGGAUUAAUGUCUUGAAUUUGACCACAGAUAAAUCAAGCUCCGACUCGACGUGGAUAUACAAUUCGGAGAACGAAGGAUUUUGGAGCUUUGACAUAGAGCAGACGUUCAGAUGAACAGACUGAGAUGUACAUAACAAAGGUCACAGGUAGCCAAAGCUACUGGCCAGUGGCUGGUCCAUGGGUAUGACUCAGCCAGUUGCUUGAAUAGCGGAGCAGUGAGAUGAUUAAAUGGAACCCUGCCACAUUUGGUUAGGCGCCAACGAGACAUGUCUAGUGAGUUGUUCUUUUUCUUUGAAAUUUAUUAAAUGAUCAAGUUCUUUACGAUUCGAAAUUAGAAAUAAGUUAAAGAAAGCAAUGUCAGGUAUGGCUGACAGUGCUUUGAAAGAUUUGGCCGAAGUGUCUAUAAGAGGCAAUCCUACGUAGCUCGUUUAUUGGUUAAGGAAAAUGCUUGUGUAUGUAGAUUAGCCACAUGAUUUGAGUUUGAUUCUUCGUACUAUUAAGCAUAAAUAAUUCCCUGUUUGAACUAUCCAGUCGAACUUAUUAAGCUUGUGUCUCACUUGGCAAUAAGAUUUAAAGGAGUAUUUCAAAGGCACAAAAUCUAUGUAAAUCUUGGUAUCCAUUUUCGUCAGAUAUGUUUUCUAGAGGCAUCUUAAUGUAAAUUGUCAGUGUUUAGCAUGGCAUGCUUUUCUAAGAGGUGAAUCAGAAAUUAUAUAUAAGGACUUAUUUAUUAACAUGCAUUUCUGGAGAAAAGUAAUUCCAAGACAGUGGUGCCUCUCACUCAACCUAUUCAAGAAAAAGCACAUGUGAGACAAUAAAGAAAAAAUCGACGUAGAAAUGGCGUUAUUUUUGCAGUUGAAGUUUGCUAAUGCUAUGUGCGUGCUUUGUUAACAUUAGGCUUAUUCUUAUGUGAACUUUGCAACUUAAAUUUCGAAAAUGAUAAGGAAAUGAUGAUAAGAAUUGGGGAUGAUGUGUGUUGAGAGGAUAUAAUAGAACCGCCAAAGGUAUGGGAUGGGUCGGUUAGAGAAAAAGUGCUAAACUAAGGUGAGAAUUUACUCUUUCGCCAUUCGUUUUAUGAGUAGAAGAAUGCUUAUACAAGGUUAAAAUUGGAAGGGACCUAAAUUGAGACCUAUCUCACUUUUCUCGUCAUCCUGUUAAAUUAGAAGACUAAACGUGGAGUGCGCUCCACGCACAAUUACGUCGGCUUGGGCUGGUGACACCAAUUGAAGUUCCAAAAAUAAAACAAUUCCCUCUUUAAAAAAAUGCAAAGCACACGUUAUUAUUAUUAUUAUUAUUUCUUUUUUGACAAUUGAUUAACUAUAUUUAGAUGGUGGGUUGUGAUGGUUAAUGGGGGUUUUCACUUUUAAGAGCUAAAAGACGAAAAUAGCCCGUGAAUUCAUUUAAAGAUAAUUCAAGUUGCUGUGAUCUUGAUUUUAAAGUGAUUUACGUUAAGAGACUCAAAGAGGAAUCACUCCCUUUAAGAAUAGUGUAUAGAUAAGUGUCAUAGGAUGAAUGUGGCAAGUAAUGCAGGAGACAAGCUAUGCAGGUGACAAAUGAUGCAUGUGGAAGUUAAACGCAGAAGGCCUUAGUACGUGACAAAGUGAAACUUAUCGCACACAAAAUAGGAAUUUUCAGAUAGUAUGGGCAGCUUUACAAGAAACCGAGUAUUGUCGACCAGAGGCAUUAGUAUAAAAGGGGUAUUCAGAGUCAAAAUCAGACACUCACAACACAACAGAGAGAUAAGAAUACUGUUUUGCUUUCGAGCGCGAGAACCGCGGAGUGAUGUCAAUAGCUCUCUCCGAUGGACUUAAGUUCGGCGCAAUCGAUCGACCCGGUUUUCAGUCAACAGUACCAAAAAUUAAGGAGACAUUGUUUUGUUUUGGUUAUUUGAAAGAGAUAAGAAUACUGUUUUCUACCUAAAGUAUUAAUUUUUUUUAGUCGACAUUUUCUUUUUAUUGUGUUUAAUUGGUUAUGGUAUGGGAAUCAACAAAUCGGUUUCAUGCGGACUUCGGGUUUUUGUGAAGUUGUAAGAAACUUCAAAAAGAGUUGAACAAGUAAAAAAGAGAGCAACGUCCACUAAUCUUAAUCUUAUUAAGAAGUGUCUAUGCGAGCCUAGACAAGAGAGGUUGGUAUACUACACUAAUAUCUUUGUGCUUAAUAUAUUAAUUUUAGUCUUUAUGCCUACGUAUGGCAUGAGUUCACCACUAAUUGACCCAUUCCUUUCUUUUUUGGGAUAAGUGCACUGGAAAUCCCAAAAUUUGUAAUAAAAGUACAAUUGAGUUCUACCUUUCAAAAAAUACAAUCACGUCCUAAAACUUAUCAUGAAAAUGAAUCAAGUUCUAAAAUUUUCAAAAAUUACAAUCAAAUUCUAAAACUUAUCAUGAAAGUUCAAUUAAGUCCUAGAAUUUUGAAAAAGUGCAAUCAACGAACGGGCAUCAUUAAACUAAUUUCACAAGUUUUAGGAUUUACAUGUGUAUUUUAAAAGUUUUAGGACUCAAUUACAUUUUCCUUAUAAGUGUUAGGACUUAAUGAUACUUUUUCGAAAUUUUAGAAUUCAAUUACAUUUUUGUCGGAGUUUUAAAACUUCUAAUGUACUAAUCCUUUUUUCUUUCACAAGACUUUUUGUUAGAAAGUUCCAAAUUGAAAGAAUUAACUAGUGAAAACCAAGAAUGGAAACAGUCACUAAAAUCCAGCUAAAAUCAUCAUCUCAUGCUAUCUUUCAUAAUUUUACUUAUACAUUAAUUUCUACUUUACAUUACAUAAGAGAGAAGUCUCUUAUAUAGAAAGGGGGUCCCAAACCUCAAACUUUUGUCAAAAGUUUCCACGCGAUACACAUACAUUUUACCAAAAUGACAUAUAGAAGUAAGAUAUAAAAUAGACAAAAUCAUAAAUUAAAUAGCCGAGAAAUUUGGAAAUUAGCCCAUAAAUAUGCCACAAUCAAAUUAAAAUUCCCUUACAUCUUACAAUCAAUUAAUUUGUUUCCUAAAAUAAUUAGCAUCUUUCAACAUUUAUUUUUGCUCCGACUGAUUCGACUUCUAGUCAAUUCAAACACCCCUAUAGUGAGCUCUUUUUGCUGAUGUUAAAAUAGUUAUUGAAUCAACAAAAGAAUGUGAUAUUGAAUCGUGUGAAUGAACUAGGGUUAGUAUCAAAUAAUGAAAUGACAUGAACAUUGACAAUUUAAGUAAAAGAUAAACGUAGUUUAAAAGUGGCUUCAUGCUGAAAAUUAUAGAACAAAUAAAAGGCAUCGAUAUAAUAAUAAGCAAAGGGCAUUGUCCCGAAAAAUAUAAAUAAAAUUAAACAACUUGGAGAGGAGAGAAAUGUUUAUUAGGAAAAGUCAAAAGGAAAAGACAACCGCAUGAAAGAAACAAAGAAAGAAAGAAAAAAAAAUCCCUCCUUAUCAUAACACCUAACAGGCUAACCUUAUCCAUGAGAUGAACAAGGUCAAUGCGAUAAACCUUAAAAAAAUGGUAAAAUUUUUCUAAUAUAAUUCAUAAAGGGAUUUUUACUAUCGUCUCUAUUAAAAGAAAGGAAGAGUGAAAGAGAGAUAAAACUAGUAGAGGGACGCGUGUCUAGAAUUUAAAAUAUAUAUAUAUAUAUAUAUAUAUAUAUAUAUAUAUCAAACAUUGGUUUUCAUAAGAUUGGCACCACAAUAUAUAUAUAUAUAUAUAUAUAUAUAUAUAUAUCAAACAUUGGUUUUCAUAAGAUUGGCACCACAAUAUAUAUAUAUAUAUAUAUAUAUAUAUAUAUAUAUAUCAAACAUUGGUUUUCAUAAGAUUGGCACCACAAUACAUACCGCCGUACUAGAAAGCAAGCACGUAUGCUAAACGUGAGAUAUUUUUUCAAUGUUACUGUUUUUGUUUAAUUUUUAGUUAUUUUAAUUGGCACUUAUUGCCAAUUGUUUUGUUAACCCGGAAAAUUUUAUUUAUCGGAUCUAUGAUGUUAUACUUCAUCUUUAUUCAAAAUUGAAGUCUUUCAGAUUAUCAAUAUUUUCGGCUAGAUAUGAAAAUUACAUGAUUAUAGUAAAUGAAAUUUUAGUGUAGAAUCAUAAUUAAAGGAUCUUAAAUUGAUUGUAAAUUAAAUAUUGGACAGAUGUAAUUUAUAUCAAUGAAUUUGAGCUAAAUAAUAUAACAUGUCAUCCUUAGAAUAUUUGUAAUCCAUAUCAGCUGUCACAGUUAAUCUAUGGAUAUGAAUCGAUGUUGACAUAGAAUUUUCCAUAAAAUGUGGGAGCGUUUGUCCAUAACAGAUAAAAGAUUAGAAAUUGAUCAAAUCAAUUAUAUAAAAAUAUGAGGACGGAAAAGAAAAGGGAGUGUCAUAUGUUACCUUCUUUUUCGUCAGUCCUUUGAAGGCUUCCUCGUCAACCCAUAGUCCGUUAUGUUUCAUGAGUGAUUGUCCUUUGUGGAAAAUGCUCCUUCCAAGAUCCCUCAGUUGAUCAUGCAUGCUUAAUUUACCAUCAUCUUCAAUUUUUAUCAAGCACCUCAGAUUCAACUCUUCAAUUCCUUGACUUGCAUAAAACUUAUAGUCGUCCCACAUGUACAUAGCAAAUUCAAUCUUUUUGUCAAUAAAGAAAUAGUCAAUAUCGAGGAAAAUCUCCUUAUUUUCAUAUUCUAAUGCAUCAUAACUUAUCUUCAAUAUGUUUUGGACGUCUCCAUAUGCUUGGUUUUUUAAUUGUCUCAGCAUAUCAUCCCAAACCUUUGGAUUUGUUUUUUUAUACAAGUAUGAACCUAUAACCUUAAGUGCCAAGGGAAGCCCACCAAGAAUGGAUAUGAUCUGACGAGAUAUAAUUGCAAAGUCACUUGAAGGAUGUUCCGUUCGAAAUGCAUGUUUGUUGAAUAAAAUGAAAGAAUGCACCUCAUUUAUCCUGCUCAUUUCAUGCUGGUAGUCUACCUCGAAUUUAGAUUGAUCAAGAACAAAUUUAUUUCUAGUUGUAACAAUUAUAAUACUUCCUGAAGCAAACCAGUAACCUCCUCUAGCCAAAGCAUCUAGCUGAUCCUUGUGAUCUAUAUCAUCCAAAAGAAUGAGAACCUUUUUCCUUGUGAAUCUAGAUUUGAUUAAGUGAAUUCCCCAAUCAACUGUAGACACUGCAUUUUUUUCUUGCAGUAUCUCAUAUAUUAGUUGACUCUGUAGAUACUUAAUACCGUGGCGCGAGGUCGUUUCUCGAAUAUCUGGAAGGAAGCAGACAUGAUCAAAUUUAUUCGAGAGUUGAUUGUAAAUGCACUUGGCAAGAGUUGUCUUGCCUAUCCCGCCCAUGCCAUAAAUUCCAAUCCUUCGAGCAUUGACGGAGGGACUAUCUAUGUGACUCAUAAUCUUCUUCAGCUGAUCAUCAAGUCCAACUAGUUCCUCCGCAACAAGUAGAGGAAAAUCUUUUCGUAACUCUCCUAGAAUAGUUUCGACAACACGUUCUAUCAAUUCUCCCUCAUGCCUGUCAAGCAACAAAAACAAUGAGAGACUCUGAACCUAGAGAUGGUCCAAGCAAAUCUUAUUCUUAUCAAGUCAGCCAGUCCCCGUUGGAGGUUGAUUUUAUUCGGUGGCGUUCAAGCUCUGGAAGAUUAAGCAUUGAUAUCCUUUGUGGGUGUAGUUUUUUUUAGUGAUCGAUAGUAUUGGCCGGACGGGUUGUCUUUUCUUUGUUUUUGGCUCUGCAGGGUAGACAAUUGUAAAAUUCUUGGGCGCCAUGGGAGAUUUGGUUUUAGCAGUUGCUGUUUAGCUUCCGGGGACAUUUUGGGGGAGUACUAGUUUUUGUUGUGUUUGGGCAUACUAUGAUUGUCCAUCGGGAUAUUUUGGGGAUUUCCUUGUGAGCAUAUAGUGGAAGUAGUUCAUCCAUAUUUCAUCGCUAUUGCAUGAAUAAGAAAACUUACUCAUAAAUAAUAAUAAUAAUAAUAAUAAUAAUAAUAAUAAUAAUAAUAAUAAUAAUAAUAAUAAUAAUAAUAAUAAAGUGGAAGAGAAGUACCCGCUAGCAAAUUCAUCGGAUUUCCAUCCAUGUAAGUUACUCACAUCUUUAAGUGCUUGUUGCCCUUCCUCAAUAUCUUUCUCAUCAAAAUGAUGCUUAUGCGAAUGGUAGGCCUCCCCAAAAUUUCUUUUCAGAUGCCGCACAUCCAAUGGGUCCACUUUGUAAAAAAUGGGCAAAACUAUAUGUGAAUUGCUCUUUUUGCAAUCCAUGAUAUGAAUAAGCUCACGGAGACACCAUUUGCUUGAAGCAUAAUGUCCAGAGAUGAUGGGAAUAGAAAUCUUAGAACAUGUGAUGGCAUCAAGAAACAUUGGACUAAAUUCCUCGCCAAUUCGGAUGCUGUUACAGUCCCUGAACACGCAGAUUCCUGCAGUACCGAGUCUGUGGUACAGGUGAUCGGUGAAUUCCUUUCGGGUAUCUGAGCCAUUAAAGCUCAAGAAUACGUCAUAUCGACUGCUACCUCCUUUAGUGGGUUUCGGAAGGAAGGAUGAAGGAGAGGAUGCUCCCUCAGUGCUCUCUUUUUCUUCCGCAACAAGCAUUGCUUUGUUUGCCUUGCUCAGGCUUUGCCCUUUCUCCAUGGAAGCCUGAUAGGCAAAAGUGAAGAGAGGGUGCCCUCCUGCUGCACAAAAUGAUCAAGACAAACAAAUGAAAAGGGUCGGAUGGAGAGCAUAUGCUUUUUGGGUGGAGAGCAUUUGCUUUAUGGACGAUUCCGAAUACAAAAUGUUCAACGAACGAGUCUACCUAAGUGGUUUCUAUUGAUUAAUCUAAUAUUGAAAGUUAUUGACUUGGAGCAGUGCAUCGCACAUUUUCUCUUUUUCAACGGCCCUCGGCUUUUAGAUGAGUGCACUUUUCCUAAUUGGGUAAAUUUUUCACCAAUCAUGUCUUUGAUCAGCGAAUUACAAGUUGUAGACGUUAAGUGACAUAAAAUUAAGUAAAGUGAAAAUAGUGAUGUUCAUAUUUUGUGAGACAUUAUUGAAUGCAUAUGAGUCAAAUGCAUCCCAAUCUUAGACAUGUGAUGUGAAAUACAGUAAUUUUAAGGAUUUAAAUAUAUUGAGCUCACAUGUAUUCAAAUCAUUUAAGAAUUUCUCUAUAGUGGUUCAACGUAACUAUUUAUUUGAAAUGAUUGUUAACAUUCAUAAAAUAUAGUACCAAAAUAUAAGUGGUCAAUCCAAAGAAAGAAAAAUUAAUAGAAAAGAUAAGUAAAUUUGUACGAAGUUAAAAAAAAAAUUUCUUUUUAGAAAUUAGGAACAUGAGGGAUGAAAAUAUAAACUCCCUCUCUCUCUCUAAGCACGUUCGCCAAUUCGCUGUCUCUCAACGAGAGUUAGUUCUACCCUAACCAUGGUAGCCUUCCGGGACCAUCCUCAAUAAAUGUGUCGUCCAUGCCUCUUUCCUGGCCCAUUGCUGGUGUUGACAGGGAGAGAUCCCUUCUUGGUCGGUCCUUAUAACUCAGAGCUCCCAUCUUUGACCGAAUCUACUUUUUUUUUUUUUAAAUCUUCUUUAUCACUCUUUCGUUUCCAUCUUCUGUAAAUCUGAACGGUAGUGAUCUUCUUGCUUUUUGAAAACUCACCGAAUCCCCUUUCGGUUUGAGCACGCGAGAAUCUUCUUGCACUGCUCUUUUUGUGCGCCCGUGAACUCCAACCCGCGGGGGCGAGGGAGAGCAUGUGAGAUAAGAGUGAACCGGGCGCAUGUACGCGAUAUGAGAGAUGAGAGGUAGGUUAGAUUAGAUGCAUGAGAUUAAGAUGAGUUAAAGGUUUUCUUAUUCCAAUUAAGCUUCCCUUAUCUCGUCCAAUCUUGAUCGAAUCUUGUAUCACGGUCAAUCUUGGUCAAAGCCAAACGGCAUCUUAAUUAGCAUUAGUUUUUUUCUUUUAAUUUAAAUUGGUUUUUCUUUUUCAAAAAGCAUCGCUUUGUUUGCCUGGCUCAGACUUUGCCCUUUCUCUAUGGCAGUUUGAUAGGCAAAAAUGAAGAGAGGAUACCUGCCUCCUGCAAAAAUAGAUUAUAAGAUAAAUAAAUGAAAGGGUUUAUUGGUCGAGUCUUUCUAGGCGGGUGUCUAUUGAUAAAUAUAAUAUUAAAAGUAAUGACUUGGAGCAGUGCUAUGCACAUGUUAUCUUUCCAAGGGGACUUACCUUUUAGAUGUGUGCACUUUGUUAACGGGAUGAAAUAAAAUUAACUUAAGUUAAAAUGGUGAUAUCCAUAUUUUAUCAGAUAUUCUUAAAUGCAUAUGAAUCCAAUGCAUUCCAACCUUAGAUGACGUGGAUUUUACGUGAGACCCAUCAAUAUCAAGGGUUCACAUGCAUUGAAUAUUUAUGCAGCAUUCGUCUAAGAAUUUCUUUAUAUUGGCUCCAGCCAUUUCUUUAAUCCGUGGUUCAAUGUAAGCAUCUAUUAAAAGCACAUGCAUAUAUCUUAUUUUUGCUAUCAUCGAGCGUUGAUUAUUGAUAUUCAUAGGUCUAGUACCAAAUAUCCGUAAUCCAUCAAAAAGAAAAAACUUAAUAGAAACCACAGGUAAUUUUCUAAGUCGCUUAAUAAAAAAUUUCUACUUAGGAAUUAGAAACAUGAGAGCCGAAAAUGUGAACUCUCUCACUGUCUCAGUCCGCCAUAGGGGUGUGCAUGGUCCGGGCGGGCGGUUCCCGACCUAGAACCGGGAACCCCCCGCUAAGGACCGGUUCCGAAAAAUUGGAACCGGGAUCCACCCAUUUGUUGCGUGGAUCCACCCGGGAACCGGAUCGCCGGUCCGGUCUGGUUCUCGGGUGGAUCCAUGGAACCGAUUUUGACGCGAAAUUUUUUUGGUUUUCAAUAUAAAACAAUUACGUGACAUCAAAGCAAGCUAAAAAAAGAAAAAUCAAAUUUAAGUACGUGGAACAAAGAUUUAUUUGUUGUAAUUAUAAAUGUAUCUCGUAGAUAAGAAAAAAUGCAAACAGAUGGAAUGCAACAUUCUCCCAUUUCCUACUUGUAAAUAACCAUAGAUGGUUAAAUUUUCUUUGACCAAAGGUAAAGGUUCCCUAGAGAGUGAGAUGAGAUGUAGGGUUUCUUUUAGUAAUUUUUUUUUUUAAUAUUAAAAAGGUUCCGGUCCGGUUCGGGUGGGCGGAUCCGCCCACGGAACCGGGAACCGGGAACCGGACCGGUUCCCUCAAGACCCACCGGUUCCGGGUGGUUCCGGUCCGGUUCCGGGCGGUCCGAGCGGAUCCCGAAUAUUUUGCACACUCCUAAUCCGCCACUUCGCUCUCUCUCAACCAGAGUUAGCUCUACCCUAACCAUGGUAACCGCCCAGGAACAUCCUCGAUAAAUGCGUCGCCCAUGUCUCUUUCCUGGCUCCGACCAAAAACAAAAACGUCUCUUUCCUGGCCCCAUUGCUGAUCGUGAAAGGCAGAAAAACCCUUCUUGGUUGGUCCUCAUCACUUCCCGCCCCCCAUCUUUGACCGAAUCUUCUGCACUUUUUAUUAUCUUCCCCAUCGCUCUUUCGCUUUUUAUCUUCUCUUAAUCUGAACGGUGCCGAUCUUCUUGCUUUUUGAAAACUCACCGAAUUGCUUUUCAGUUUGAGCACGCGAGAAUCUUCUCCUAUUCCCAUUUUAACUUUUGUUGAGCGAUUCUGAUCUUUUUUCCCUUGUUCAUCGAUCCUCCGUGCGUUCUUUCUGUGUGCCCGUGAACUCCAACCCGCAUGUGCGUGGGUGAGAAUGGGAGAUAAGAGUGAUCCGUGGGGAUGUACGGGAGAUGGGAGCUAGAUUGGAUCAGAUGCAUGAGAUUAGGAUGAGAUAGAGAUGAUCCCUAUUUCAACUAGGAUUAUUUAUCUUGGCCAACUUUGAUCAAAUCUUGGAUUCCAGUCAAUCUUAAUCAACCUUAGCCAAUCUUGGUCAUUUUUUGUCAGCCUAAUUGGCAUUAAUUUUUCAAUUUAAAUUAGUUUUUCUUCAAGCAACAAGCAUCGCUUUGUUCGCUUGGUUCAGACAUUGCUGUUUUUCCACGGAAGUCUGAUAGGCAAAAAUGAUGAGAGGAUAUCUUCCUGCUGCACAAAAAGAUCAAGAUAAACAAGUGAAAAGGCUAGUUGGAGAGCAUAUGCUUUUGGAGUGGAGAGCACGUGCAUUCUAAACAAUUCCGAAUACAAAAUGCUCAAGGAACGAGUCUUCCCAGGCGGGUCUCUAAGGACUCUUUCAAUAGUAGAAGUUAUUGACUUGGAGUAGCGCAAUGCACGUCUUCUCUUUUCAAUGGACCUCACCUUCUGGAUGCGUGUACUUUCCUAAUCGGAGGAAAUAUCCAUGAACUAUGUCUUUAAUUCACAUCACUUAUAUGUAAAAUAACUAAAGUUAAAACUGACUAUGCUCAUAAUUUGUGAGAUAUUUAUUUUUUGUGCAUAGGAGCUCAAUGCAUCCCAACCGUAAAAUAAUGUGGGUUUUUUUUUGGGUUCCACAAAUAUCAAUGAUUCAAAUGCACUGGGAUUACAUGCAUUCAAAUCAUCUAAUCUUUUUUUUUUUCAUAUUUGCUCCAACCAUGCCUUUGAUAUGUAGUUUAAUAUCAACAUCAAUUUGAAAGGACAUGCAAAUACUUUAUUAAGGGUGUUGAUUACUAACAUUUACAAAACCUAGUACCACAUAUCCGUAAUUAAUCAAAAAGGAAAAAAAAUUAAUAGAAACAAUAGUUAAAUUUGAAAGUCAUUGAAUAAGAAACUUUUAUUUAGAAAUAAGAAACAUGAAGAGACUAAGGCUGUGCAUGACAAUGCUUCUGUUCCAGGGAAGAUUUUUUUUUUUUUUUUUUUUCCGGAAAUAGUUCUUUUCUAUUUCUGCUCCGGGGAAUAAUUUCUGAGUAAAAGAACCCGUUUGGUAACGAUACAAAAUUUCUACUCUUGGAAUAGAAAAAGAAUAUAAAUGUGUUUGGUAACGCAAUAUUUUCUUUUUUGUAUUUGUUCAUUUUUUAUUCUUGCCGCCCACCGCUGGCCCGCCAGCCGCCACCACUGCAUGACCGCUGGCCGCCGACCGUCACCGCUGGCUGCCGACUGUCACCACCGACCGCCGCCGGAAGCCCAUCGGCUGUCGACGACCACCUGCUGACGGGUGGCGGGCGGCGACGGGCGGCAGCGACGUCGGGCAGCGACGGACGGUGGCGGCCGGCAACCGGCAGCGGCGACAACCGGCGGUGGCUCCAGGCAGUUGACGGUGAUCGCGACAAGAAAAGGAAAUAAAAGAAAAUUAAAAAAGAAAAUAAGCUUUCUAGAAAUUGUUCCCGGGAACAAGAAGCAACUUUUUUUUUGUUUCUCAAAACUGUUUCCAGAAACAAAAAAUUAGAGAAAUUGUUCCCGAUAAUAAAUAUUUUACCAAACAGGUUUCUGUUCUUUUUUUGUUCUGGAGAAUAAAAAAACAGAAAUUGGGAGAAAUAGGAGCGUUACCAUGCGCUACCUAAAGGUAAACUCCCUCCCUCCCUCUCUCUCUCUCUCUCUCUCUAAGCGUGUCUGCCAAUUCGCUCUCAAUGAGAGUUAGGUCCACCCUAACAAUGGCAGCCUUCCCGAGCCACACUCCCCAAAUGUUUCAUCCACGUCUCUUUCCUGGCCCUUAUGAAUGAUCGUUUUCUCUAUUUUUCUUUUAUUCUUCAUUUUAUAAACCUGCACUUAUACUCUACUAGUUUUAUAAAUUGCCCAUCGCCUUUCGAGUUUUCUCCUUUUUCUUAUUAUUGUCUACCGAAGCAGGUGUCUAUUGAUUAAUUUAACAUUGAAAGUUAUUGACUUGGAGCAGUGCAUUGCACAUUUUCUCUUUCCAAUGGGCCUCGGCUUUUAGAUGCGUGCACUUUCCUAAUUGGAUAAAUUUUCCACCAAUCAACUCUCUCUCUCAGUCCACUAAGGGCCUGCAUGGAAACACUCAUUGUUUAUGUUUAUGAAUUAUUUUUUUAUUUUUUUGUUCCUGGAACAAAAAAAGAACAGAAACGCGUUUGAUUACGUUUCUGUUCUUUUUUGGUUUUUUUUGUUCCCGGAACAAAAUUGGAACAAAAAAAAGAAACAAAAAAACUUACUUCUUAUUCUAGAAACGAUUUUGAAGAAACGCUUCUUCUUUUUUCUUUGGCCGGCGAUACCGUCGAGGGUCGGCGACCUCGCCGGAGCGUCACCGGCACCCGGCGAGGCCGAGCCUCGCCUUGGUUGGGCGAGCUCGGCCUCGCUGGAUCUAGGCGAGCUUGAGCUCGCCCAGCCAUGGCAAGGCGCCUCGCUCAGCCUCGCCGGAUCUGGGCGAGGCCGAGCUCGCCCAGCCAAGGCGAGGCUGCCGACCCCAUCGACCGGUCACCGGAGGCCGGUGACCGGCCGAAAGAAGAAAAAAUAAAAAAGAAAGGAAAAAAUGAAAAAUAAAAUAAAAAUAUUAAAAAAUUAAAAGAAACAAAAAAAGAAUAAAAUUUACCAAACAUGUUUCUAUUCAUUUUUUAUUCCCGGAACAAAUUUACCAAACGCAUUUUUCUGGUCAAAAAUUGUUCUCCGGAACAUAAAUACUUUUUUUUAUCUCUAUUCACUGGAACAAAAAAAGAACAAGAACAUUACCAUGCGGCCCCUAAUUCGCUCUCUCUCAACUAGAGUUAGCUCUUAUCCUAACCAUGGUAACCGACCAGGAACGUCCUCGAUGAAUACCCAUGUCUCUUUCCUGGCUCGGACCAAAAACAAGAACGUCUCUUUCCUGGCCCCAUUGCUGAUCGUGAAAGGCAGAAAAACCCUGCCUGGUUGGUCCUUGUCACUUCGAGCUCCCCAUCUUUGACCGAAUCUUCUGCAAUUUAUUAUCUUCCUCAUCGCUCUUUUGCUUUUUAUCUUUUCUAAAUCUGAACGGUGGUGAUCUUCUUGCUUUUUGAAAACUCACCGAAUUGCUUUUCGGUUCGAGCACGCGAGAAUCUUCUCCUAUUCCGAUUUUAACCUUUGUCGAGCGAUUAUGAUCUUUCUCCCGUUGCUUGUCGAUCCUCCAUGUCUUCUUGUUUUGUGCCCGUGAACUCCAGCCCGCAUGUGCGCGGGUGAGAAUGGGAGACGAGGGAUCCGUGUGCAUGUACGGGAGAUGGGAUCUAGAUUCAAGCAGAUGCAUGAGAUUAGGACGAGAUAGAGAUGAUCCUUAUUUCAACUAAGAUUAUUUAUCUUGACCAACUUUGAUCAAAUCUUGGAUUGCAGUCAAUCUUGAUCAACCUUGGCCAAUCUUGGUCAAUUUUUGUCAACCUAAUUGGCAGUAAUUUUUUAAUUUAAAUUAGUUUUUCUUCAAGCAACAAGCAUCGCUUUGUUCGCUUGGCUUAGACACUGCCCCUUUUCCAUGGAAGUCUGAUAGGUAAAAUGUUGAAAAUUUUCUAUAAUAUGGGUUUACAUUGAUUAAUUAAUUUUCUAUUUUAAAUUGUUGGGUUAAUAGAUAUUUUAAUAUUUGUUAAAUCUUAAGUAAUCUUAUUAAAUUGGAUUUUGACAUCUAUUAAUAACGAGUCUAAUUGAUCAGCAAAGUUCAAUUAAGUUCUAGAAUUUUGAAAAAGUGCAAUCAAGGAACGGGCGUCAUUAAACUAAUUUCACAAGUUUUAAGAUUUACAUGUACUUUUUGAAAGUUUUAGAACUCAAUUAUAUUUUCCUUAUAAGGUGUUAGGACUUAAUUAUACUUUUUCGAAAUUUUAGAAUUCAAUUACAUUUUUGUCGGAGUUUUAAAACUUCUAAUGCACUUAUCCAUAGUUAUCCCAUGCGUUCGGUGUACAUCUUACUUGCACAACCAAGUGCAAAUUGGGUAUUUCGUGUUAUUUUCUUUAACAUUAACUACUCACAUCAUCCGUUUUUCAAUCCGAUGUUAGCUAGCGAUUGAAGUGUAUCCUCAAAUUCACAAAAGAACCAAAGUAAUGAAAACCAUUACGAAUAUAUACGAUAAUGACAUUGACAUUGACAUUGACGACAAAAACUUAUUAAAAGCCACUCAACUAAAAAAAGGAGGACCCCAUAAAAUACAUGCAUUCAAAACAUCUAAUUUUUUUUUUUCAUAUUUGCUCCAUCCAUGCCUUUGAUAAGUAAUUUAAUAUCAACAUCAAUUUGAAAGGACAUGCAAAUACUUUAUUAAGGGUGUUGAUUACUGACGUUUACAAAACCUAGUACUAGAUAUCCGUAAUUAAUCAAAAAGGAAAAAAAAUUAAUAGAAACAAUAGUUAAAUUUGAAAGUCAUUAAAUAAGAAACUUUUAUUUAGAAAUAAGAAACGUGAAGAGAUUAAAGGUAAUCUCUCUCUCUCUCUCUCUCUCUAAGUGUCCGCCAAUUCGCUCUCAAUGAGAGUUAGGUCUACCCUAACAAUGGCAGCAUCUAUUUGAAAUGACCGUUGAUAUUCAUAAAAUCUAGUAUCAGAAAAAUUAAUAGAAACGACAAGUAAAUUGGUAUGUACAGCAUCUAUUUGAAAUGACCGUUGAUAUUCAUAAAAUCUAGUAUCAGAAAAAUUAAUAGAAACGACAAGUAAAUUGGUAUGUAGUUAAAUAAAUUUUUUUAUUAAGGAAUGAGAAAAAAGGUCUACUCUGUCUCUUUCAGUCUGCUAAUUUGCUCUCUCUCUCAACUAGGGGCGCGUUUGUUUCGUGGAAUACAUUUUCAGAGAAAACAUUUUCCUCAUUUUCCGGCGUUUGGGUCGCUCAGAAAAAUGAGUCAACGAAAAAUGUUUUCCUAGUCAAUAAAAAAUAUUUUCCUAACAAAGCUUAAAUUCAGGAAAAUGAUUUUCCAUUUGAAAGGAUCAGAAAAGGUUUUCUGAAUCUAUCAAAACUUAGAUUUGAUGCUUAAUUUACAAACAAUUAUUCUUAUAAAAAUAUAUUUUAAAAAAUUGAAUUUGAUUUUUUUUAAAAAAUUAAAAUUUGGAAAAAAUUUUAUAAAUGAAAAUAAAAAAUUCGAAUUUGCUUAUUUUUCUUUUUCUUUCUUGCUUUUUCUUUUUGCUUCUUCUUCACCUAUCACCGGCCACAAGGACGGCCAGUGAGCCUUGAUCUCACCAAAUUGAGCGAUCUCAUGGCCUUCGACAACAAGGCUUGAGCUUACCCGGGCCGAUGAGCCUUAAGCCUUGCUAAAUCGAGUGAGCUCGUCUCAAGCCUCGCCAGAUUGGGCAAGCUUGCAGCCUCUAGCGGCCAGCUGGCAAGCUCGCCGCUGGAGCUCGCCCCUUAUUUUUUAAAAGAAAGAAAAGAAAAAAUAGAGAAUAAAAGUAAAUAAAAAACAACAAUAUUAAAAAUUUAAAGUUUUUUAAAUUAAAAAUUUAUUUUUUCUAUGAUGAAGUGUGAAAUUAUUUUUAUGGGAUCAAAAUGACAGAAAAUAUUUUCAAUUAUACAUCACCAAAUAAAAGAAAAUAAAUUAUAUUCUUGAAAAAUACUUUUUUUCGAGAAAAAAUAUUUUUCUUUAUCAUUAAAUUUUUGGUGAAAUAAACGCACUCUAGAGUUAACUCUUCUCCUAACCAUGGUAACCGACCAGGAACGUCCUCGAUGAAUACCCAUGUCUCUUUCCUAGCUCGGACCAAAAACAAGAACGUCUAUUUCCUGGCCCCAUUGCUGAUCGUGAAAGGCAGAAAAACCCUGCCUAGUUGGUCCUUGUCACUUCGAGCUCCCCAUCUUUGACCGAAUCUUCUGCAAUUUUAUUAUCUUCCUCAUCGCUCUUUUGCUUUUUAUCUUCUCUAAAUCUGAAAGGUGGUGAUCUUCUUGCUUUUUGAAAACUCACCGAAUUGCUUUUCGGUUCGAGCACGCGAGAAUCUUCUCCUAUUCCGAUGAUAACUUUUGUCGAGCGGUUCUGAUCUUUUUCUCGUUGCUUGUCGAUCCUCCGUGUCUUCUUUUUGUGUGCCCGUGAACUCCAGCCCGCAUGUGCGCGGGUGAGAAUGGGAGACAAGAGGGAUCCGUGUGCAUGUACGGGAGAUGGGAUCUAGAUUGGAACAGAUGCAUGAGAUUAGGGCGAGAUAGAGAUGAUCCUUAUUUCAAGUAGGAUUAUUUAUCUUGACCAACUUUGAUCAAAUCUUGGAUUUCAGUCAAUCUUGAUCGAACUUGGCCAAUCUUGGUCAAUUUUUGUCAACCUAAUUGGCAGCAAUUUUUUAAUUUAAAUUAGUUUUUCUUCAAGCAACAAGCAUCGCUUUGUCCACUUGGUUCAGACAUUGCCCUUUUUCCAUGGAAGUUUGAUAGGCAAAAUAUUGGAAAUUUUUUAUAAUAUGGGCUUAGAUUAAUUAAUUGAUUUUCUAUUUUAGAUAAUUGAAUUAAUGGAUAUUACAAUAUUUGUUAGACCCUUAAGUGAUUUUAUUGAAUUAGAUUUUGGCAUCUAUUAAUAAUAAGCUUAGUUGAGCAGCAAAGUAUAGGCAAUUAUGUUUAACCGAAAUGCAUAAUAGGAGGGGUCCAGUCGACACCAUAUUGAUUAUGGUUUGCUAGAUCUCCUCUCUAGCCCAUAAAGAUAUAGGUUAUACCUAUGCUUAAUUCCAUUGAAAACUGUUAUACUGAAAUAGGUCAUAGAAAUAAAAAUCUAGUAUUUCAAAAGAUCUCUGAUUAUCAAAGUGAUCUAUUUUUUGUUUCAAGUGAAGCAAUGGUUCAAAUAAGUACGCUUUAAUUCCCCUGUUUUAUUGAUCUCGGUGUUUUACAGUUAUAUAUGGAUUCGAUUCUUCUUGAUUAAUUAGUUGUUUAUGUGGAUAAAUUUUCUACAUGUAGUAUCAGAGCAUGUCAUAUAUGAUUAUAGAACCCAAAAUUUUUUUUAUGGACAAAUUCGAAUUUUUUCUUUUUUAGUUGAAUAUGGGCGUUAUUUUUUCAUGUGGAUUUUUUUUAUUGAUCCUGAAACCAUAGGAUUUUUUUUCUACAUGUCGAGAUCUUUCCAUCCAUAUAUAAUUUGUAUAAUUUCGUUGAGAAUUGAGUGAGAAUUUCGAAUUUAAAAUUAUAUACACUUUGAAAAGUUCUAGAAUUUUUAAAUUACUUGUAAUUGAUUGCCGUUCUUUAUAAAUUGUUGCAUAUAUAUCUUUUUAUUGCAUUAAGAUAAGUUUUUUGGAUUUAAACAUGAGAAAUUCGAAAUUUGGCCAUGGGAGGCUUAGAUCCGAAAUUUUGAAGCUUGUACAUGAAAGAUUUACUCGUUUUUUCUUCAUUUAAUUCACUCUAAUCAAUUUAUAAUGAUGUUAUAAGUAAGACCCAUAAAUAUAUUUCAAGAAAAAUCAACUUAAUGGGUGUUUUUUUGUGUGUUCCAGGUCAAAACCGGGUCGUGUGACCGGGUUUUGAAGGGUUUUGGGACCCGGCUGGAGGUUGAAGAAGACCUCUAGCUAGGCUUGGGCUAAAAUAUGGGCUUUCACCCAUAUUCUAUUUCAAUUUCCAAGCCUGAGCCAAAAUGUUUGUAUUCUGAUUUUGGGCUACGCCCAUAAUCAUGAGCUUAAAUAAUGGGCAUAAGCCCAUUUUAUUUAUUCUUUUUCGUGUGGGCCUAUAGUCUAAUCUUGGGCCAUUUUAAUUAAAAGAAGGAUGGGCCCAUUCCAAGCAUCCGCAUGCGCUCUUGCGGGCCUGUAGGCCGGGCGAAGGUCAGGGCUCACGGGAGGGUCUGAAACAUUAAAAUAAAAAAAAUAGAAUUUAAAAAGAAAAUUGUGGCAAAAAUUGUUGCUUGAUAAAUGCAAUAUGAUCUUGGGAAGCACGUUGUAAAGUUCUUCAUAUUAUUCGAUGAAUUUUAGGCAUAAAUUUUUUGGAGUUCUCUAUUAAUAAAAAUUAGUAUAUACAAUAACUCACCCAAAGGGGGUUAUUGUGUAUAUUAAUUUGGAAAAUAGCAAGAAGAUUAAUUCCCAAAUUUAAAAGAUGGAGAUGUAUAAUUGAAAAAUAUUUAUCUACUCAAAGGGGAUAAAUAUUUUGAAAAUUAUAUGUAAUUCUCCUCUAUAUUGAUAUUAUGGAGAUGUAUAAUUUAAAGGAUUUGCCUGCCCAAAGGGGAUGGAUUCUUGACAAUUAUAUGUAAUUCUCCUUGUUGUUGUUUUAUAAACUUCAUGCUAUGGAAAAUAAUUGUGCAUUAUACACUCUGCCCAAAGAGGAGUUUACAAUGCACUAAUUAUUUUUGUUAAAUUGCUUAUUGCCCAUAAUUGAUCUUAUUGCAUUAUGUGUGACAAACAGUUACCUUCGCUAUAAAUAACAAUAAUGCCACGGUUGAAAUGUUAACUCGAUCAAACUUCAAGAGAUGGAAGCAAAAUAUAGAGUUUGUUUUGGGCAUCGUGGAUAUGGACUUGACUCUAUGUGAGGAUGAACCUUCUAAGCCUAAUGAUAAAAGUACUGUAGAUCAAAAGGAAAGCUUCAUUGUUAUGAAGAGGUCCAUUGUUGAGAAUCUCAUCAGUGGUUUGUCGAAAGAUACGAAUGCCAGACAGUUCCUUGAAACAGUGGGAGAAAGAUAUAGAGUCUCAGAUAGGCUGAAGUUGGAAACUUGCUAAGUGAGUUAAUGAACAUGAGGUAUAAUGCUGCUAUGGGUGUUAGAGAAUUUAUACUGAAGAUGAUUCGCAUUCAGUCCAAACUUAAGGCCCAUGAAAUUGUUCUUUCUGAAAAUUAUAUUGUAUAUCACGCCUUAAAUGUUCUGCCAACUAAUGAAUUUAGCCAGACUAAGAUUGCUUAUAGCGCUCAGAAUGAGACAUGGAGCGUUAAUGCCUUAAUUACCAAAUGUGUGAUUGAAAAGACAAGUUAAAGAAUGAGAAGUAUGAGUUCGCCUAUUUAAUUGCUAAUACCAAGUUAAAUUCAUCUAGAGGAAAAUGGAAGCCUAAAGGGUCAAAUGCUCAUGGUCCAAAGAAAUACCAAGACUUCAAGAAAAAUGGGAAUCCUGGGAGAAAUUGAGAUAGGAUUUCAAGUGUUUUCACUUCAAGAAGCAAGGUCACAAGAGAACUAAUUGCUAUAAGUUCCAAGAUUGGCUAAAAGCAAGAAAAGAAAAUCACUAAGGUGAGUUGGUUUGUUUUGAAUCAAAUCUGGUUGAUGUUCCUUUGGAUUCUCAGUGGCUUGAUUCCGGUACUACUAUUCAUGUGACUACUACCUUACAAGGUCUCACAAAUCUAAGGAAUCCAAACAUGAGGGAGUCAAAGCUUAAAGUUGGAAACGAUAUUGGAGUUGAAAUGGAGUGCAUAGGAACAGUUGUUUUGAAUUUAGAUUCUGGUUUUCACCUUAUUUUGAAUAGUGUCUUUUAUGUUCUUAGUUUUAGGAGAAACUUGAUAUCUCUUUUUUUGCUUGACAAAGUUGGAUAUUGUCUUUUUUUGCCAGUAAAAGAGUGGAUUUGAGUUAUGAUUUCAAAAUUAUUGGGAAUUGUGUUCUGUCUGAUGGAUUAUAUCGAUUAUCCUUAUCUCCCGAGAAACCAUAUUGUUCUUUCAAUGUCGAGAAUAAUGUUGCUAAGAGAUCUUUAGUCAAAGAAAGAUCUAUAUUGCUAUGUCAUAAGUAAUUAGGGUAUAUCUCCAAAGAAAGGGUAAAGCGACUCAUCAAAGCUUAUAUCUUCCUCCUCUUGACUCAGAUGAUAAUGGGACUUGUGUCAAUUGUGUAAGGGGAAAAUUGACUAAAACCAAAAAGAAAAGCGCUACUUGCAGUCAAAAUCUAUUAGAGAUACUUCAUACGGAUAUUAGUGGGCCAUACUCAACCAACUUGUGUGGAAAUAAAUAUUUCAUCACAUUCAUUGAUGAUUUCUCCCGUUAUUAUUAUGUUUAUUUAAUUAGAGAGAAAAUUUAUGCUCUUAAAAUGUUCAAAGUGUUUCAUAUUGAAGUUGAGAAACAAUUAGGAAAAAUUAUUAAGAUUGUUAGAUUUGAUCAAUGUGGUGAAUAUUAUGGGCGAUAUAUCAAAACUGGACAACAAAUGGGACCGUUUGCUAAAUAUUUGUAGGACUGUGGUAUUGUCGCUCAAUAUACAAUGCCUAGUAGUCUUGAAUAGAAUGGUGUAGCUAAAUGAUGUAAUCGCACACUCAUAAAGAUGAAACGAAAUAUGAUGGACAAUUCUAAUUUACCUGAAUACUUAUGGGGUGAUGCAAUUAAAACAACAACUUAUAUAUUCAAUCAUGUACCUAGUAAAUCGGUACCGAAAACACCUCAUGAAUUGUGGACAAGGAGGAAACCAAGCUUGAUUCAUUUCCGAGUGUGGGGGUGUCUUACAGAGGUGAAAAUUUAUGAUAUUUCUCAGAAGAAGACUAGAUCCAAGAUUACUAGAUGUUACUUUAUUGGAUACCCUGCCCAUUCUAAAGGGUAUAGGUUUUAUUGUCCUACUCGUGUCACUAGAAUCGUUGAAUCCCAAAUUGCAAAAUUCCUGGAAUUAGAUGUUGCUAAAAAGAGUUCUUCUCAAUCUUUCGAGAGGGAAGACCCAAACAAAACGGUCUCUAUUCCAUUGCCCAUCUUAAAUGAUGAUUCUAUGCGAGAGCCCUACAAAGUGGAAAUUCAACAAUUGGUUGCAAAUGGGUAUUCAAAACCAAGAAAGACAAUAAAGGCAACAUAGAGAGAUUUAAGGCAAGCUUAGUCGCAAAAUGGUACACAUAGAGAGAAUGCAUUGAUUAUUGUCGCGACCUACCCCUCGAGGGAGGGAAUAGAUUUAGGGGUAUCACCUAAAGGAAUGACCUAAGGCCAAUGAUUAGGUUCGGGUUCUCUCAAGCCCAUACCCCACGUGACAUUGGGAUUUUUUAAGGAAUUUUGCACAAAAUGAGUCACCACUAACCUAUUGGAGUCGGCUAAAAACCAAGUGAUGUAUGAAAGUGUAACUCACUUCCUACACAACCAGAUAAUCUAGGGUCGGGGACUUGAUUACACUAAUUGACCAAUUAGUGUCCUUUCGGUACCUAAUCUUGUUCAUUUUAAAAGAAAAUAUUUUUGUCAGGCAGUUUGGAUUAAUUUUAUACUUAUCCACUAACAUGUGAGGUGAUCACGCGGGUGCGCAAUUAUUAAAGUAACAAUCAUAGCUACCAAAAUCAUAAUUGCAGUAAAAUAAAACACGUGUAAUUAAACAUAAUUAAAUAUGCAAAUUAAACAUACGAUAUAAUCAAAAUCGAGCAAAUAGAGAUCUAAUUACACUAAGAAUGCAAAACAUAGCAAUUCCUAACCAAACCCUAUAUUUUUGGAUUUUUCGAAAUUUUUUAUUUUUUUUAAAAAAGAAAACUAAUUUUUCAACUUUUAAAAUUUUUUAAUAUAUACAUAUAUAUAUAUAUAUAUUUCUUUUUUUUGCCUGGGUCGGGUUGAUGCGGGUCGGGUCCGAACUGGGUUUGGUCCGGUAGGCUUGGGUGGGCUCGAAGCAUGGGCCCAACCCAAGAGGUCCCCUCCUCUCUUUUUAAAAUGAACCAGGCCCACAAGCAAAAACAGCCCAAACCCGGCCCGAAUUACUAGAAAACCUACCCAUUUCAUGACCCAUGCCCGACCCGAUUUUUCGUCGAAACCCUAAGGCUUCUUGGCUAUGCUGAUGAUUACGGCAACGAGCUUGACGAUGGUGGUGACACAGCGAGUGGCAGUGGCGACGCAGCAGGUGGCGGCGGAGGGCAGUGGCGGCAUCGCAGCUUCAAGCUGUAGGCGUCGCAGGGGCAGUGAUGGUGUGGCGAGGGCUGCAAUGGCAACGGCGUCCGAAGGGCAACGACGGCGUCUUAGCUUCAGGCUGCAGGCGUCACGGGGGUAGCGGUGGCGCGAUUUGAAGGGGUUGGACUAUUGGCGUCACAGUAGCAGCGGUGGCACGAUGAGGGUUGCAGAGGCGAUGGCGUCCGAAGCUAGAAGGCGGCGGCUCAAAUGGCGUCAGGGUCGGAGGGCGGCGGCUUGGACGCCUCUUCCCUCCUCGGAUCCUACCUUCUGCUCUUUUUUUUUUUUUUUUUUUUCGCACUCUGCUCCUCUCUACUCUCGUUUGGUCUCUGUUUCCCCCCAGUCCUCUUUCUCCAUCCACUUCAGAUCUAGGUUCCGGGGAAGACGGCAGUGAACGGCGUCGAUUGGGUGGCUCGCCGGCGACAGUGGUGGUGGCUCAAAGGUUCCUUCUCCUCCUACUCGCGUGCCCCCCUCUUUCUCUUGCUCCCUCUCCCUAAUUUCCCUCAAUCUUGAGCUCCCCCUCUUUCCUUCCUCCCUCUGCAAUUGCUGCUUUUUCUCUCUUUGUCAAUCUGUUCUGCCUAUUUCUAGGUUCCCCCUCCCUAGGGUUUCACGUGUGAAGAUGGGUAGAGAAGGGAGAAGCUCGACGCGGGCUGGGCCAAGGGGAGAGAGGAAAGGAGGAAGGCUGGGUUGGGCCAAGGCCAGAUUUGGCCCGACCUGGCCCCCUCGCAUCCCCCUUCUUUUUCAUUUUUUUAAAUUUUAAUUAAUUAAAUUUUUUAAUUUCUUUUUAUAUGCACUUGAAAAUUAGGUGUCAAUAAUUAUACAUAAGUUUUUUCUUCAGUGUCCACUAUAGACUCUUUUUGGAUAAUCAUGGCAUUGGUGGAUCAUUUUGAUUUAGAGCUUCACUAAAUGGAUGUCAAGAUAGCUUUUUUAAAUGGAGAUAUGGAUGAACAAGUGUAUAUGCAACAACCUGAACAGUUUAAAGAAGCCGAAAAAGAGCAUAUGAUGUGCAAACUUCAGAGGUCUAUCUAUGGUCUCAAACAAGCAUCACGUCAAUGGUACUUGAAAUUUCACAAAGUUGUGAAAUCAUUUGGCUUUAAAGAAAACAAGUUUGAUCAAUGCAUCUACAUAAAAUUAAAUGGGAGUAAAUAUAUUUUCUUAGUAAUUUAUGUAGAUGACAUUUUGCUUGCUAGUAGAGAUGUUGAUCUAUUGAAUGAUAAAAAGUUUUUUUUAUCUACAAAGUUUGAUCCGAAAGAUCUUGGAGAAACCUCUUUUGUUCUAGGCAUUGAGAUUCAUCGUGACAAAUCUAAGAAGGUUUUGGAGUUAUCUUAGAAAAUUUAUAUAGAUCGUGUUUAAAAGAUCAUAUGUAAACUUGCAAGUCAAGUGAAGCUCCUNNNNNNNNNNNNNNNNNNNNNNNNNNNNNNNNNNNNNNNNNNNNNNNNNNNNNNNNNNNNNNNNNNNNNNNNNNNNNNNNNNNNNNNNNNNNNNNNNNNNACGUAAUAUUGCUUUUGCUGUGAAUACUCUUGAAAGAUAUCAGUCAAAUCCAAGUCAUGAACAUCGGGUUGCAGCUAAAAAGGUGAUGAGAUAUCUACAACGGACAAAAGACUUCAUGCUUGUGUAUAGCAGAGUAGAGGACCUAAAGGUGAUUGGAUAUUCAAAUAUUGAUUUUGCUAGUUGUUCGGAUGACAGAAAAUCAACUUAUGGAUAUAUUUUUAUGAUGGCUGGAGGUGCUAUUUCUUGGAAGAGUACAAAACAAACCUUAAUUACAAACUCUACAAUGUAUGCUAAGUUUGUAGCGUGUUACGGCAUGUCAAUUCAACUUGUUUAGCUCAGAAAUUUGAUCUCAGAAAAUUGCAAGUUAUGAACUCUAUUGCUAGACCUAUGAUGAUCUACUGUGGCAACACUGCAACUAUGUUUUAUUCCAAAAAUGACAAGAUUAGCAAUGCAUUCAAACACAUGAAGAUCAAAUAUUAUACCGUUAAGGACCUGGUCAAAAAAGGAGACAUUAUGAUCGAGAAUAUUAGAACUGAGCCCAUGUUAGCUAAUCCUAUAACAAAAAGCUUACGACCCAUUUUGUUUAAAGAACAUGUAAAGAAUAUUGAUAUUUUAGAUUCUUUUGAUUUCUUUUGUUAGUGUGAGCUAUAUAAUUUAUAUUUCUAGAUACUAUAGUUAUAUGCAAACUGAAAAUGCUUUCAUGAUAUCUAUUAAAGCAUUUAUUUUCAAUGAUCAUUAUUGUUGAUUAUAUUAUUAUCAUUUCUCCCAUUCGCUGAGAAAUGGAAGUAUAAAACAAUAUCUUUAAAUAAAUUUUAAUUUAAAGAUGAUUGGAUGUCACUAAUGAUAAGAUCUCAUGUUGGAUUGUGACAUAGUUGUGCAAUUUCAUGUUGUUUAGAAAUUGCGUUAAUGCAGUUUCAUGUCGCUAAAAAAUUGCAUUGAGGACUGAUAAGAAAUAAUAUAUAUUUUGAUCACAUGUUGGCACUAUAAUGCUUAUUAUAUGUGAUUAUGGAAGGUCAUGUGUUAUGGUAUUUUCUUAACACAUUGAUCGUCAUAGUCCUAUACUAAGGUUAUACAUGAUUCGAUUGAUUUUAAGAUGCCGUUAUUGAAAUAUUAUUUUUUUAAAUUGUGGCCACAUAAAAUAAAAAUUUUAGUUGUUAACCUGAUAGUGUUGUUUUCAACAUAAAAUCUUUUUCAAAAAUAAAAAAUAAGUUAAUUAAUGUAGCACAAGUGGGAGAAUAUUGGAAAUUUUCUAUAAUAUGAGCUUAUAUUAAUUAAUUGAUUUUCUAUUUUAAAUAAUUAGGUUAAUGGAUAUUUCAAUAUUUGUUAAAUCCUUAAGUGAUUUUAUUGAACUGGGUUUUGGCAUCUAUUAAUAACGGGCAUAGUUGAGUAGCGAAGUGUAGGCAAUUGUGUUUAACUGAAACCCGUAAUGAAAUGGGCCCAGUUGACAUGCUAUAAAUUAGAGUUUGAUAGGUCCCCUUUCUAGCCUAUAAAAAUGUAUGUUAUAUCUAUUAGUUACUUAAUCCCAUUGAAAGCUACUAUACUGAAAUAUGUCGUAGAAAGAAAAAUCUGGCAUUUCAAUAGAUCUCUAAUUAUCAGAGUGAUCUAUUUUUCUUUUUCUUCAAGUGAAGUAAUGACUCAAACAGGUACACUUUAAUUCCGCUAUAUUUAUUGAUCUCGAUAUUUUACAGUUAUGUAUGGAUCAAUUCUUUUUGAUUAAUUGGUUGUUUAUGUGAAUAAAUUUUCUACAAAAAAUGAAGAGAGGGUGGCAUCCUAACAUUUCCGAGUACAAAUGCUCAAGGAAUGAAUCUUCCGAGGCAGUCUCUAAGACUAAUUCAUAUUAGAAGUUAUGACUUGAGUAGCGCAUGCACAUCUGCUCUUUCAUGGACUUCACAUUCUAGAUGCAUGUACUUUCCUAAUUGGAGGAAAUNNNNNNNNNNNNNNNNNNNNNNNNNNNNNNNNNNNNNNNNNNNNNNNNNNNNNNNNNNNNNNNNNNNNNNNNNNNNNNNNNNNNNNNNNNNNNNNNNNNNNNNNNNNNNNNNNNNNNNNNNNNNNNNNNNNNNNNNNNNNNNNNNNNNNNNNNNNNNNNNNNNNNNNNNNNNNNNNNNNNNNNNNNNNNNNNNNNNNNNNNNNNNNNNNNNNNNNNNNNNNNNNNNNNNNNNNNNNNNNNNNNNNNNNNNNNNNNNNNNNNNNNNNNNNNNNNNNNNNNNNNNNNNNNNNNNNNNNNNNNNNNNNNNNNNNNNNNNNNNNNNNNNNNNNNNNNNNNNNNNNNNNNNNNNNNNNNNNNNNNNNNNNNNNNNNNNNNNNNNNNNNNNNNNNNNNNNNNNNNNNNNNNNNNNNNNNNNNNNNNNNNNNNNNNNNNNNNNNNNNNNNNNNNNNNNNNNNNNNNNNNNNNNNNNNNNNNNNNNNNNNNNNNNNNNNNNNNNNNNNNNNNNNNNNNNNNNNNNNNNNNNNNNNNNNNNNNNNNNNNNNNNNNNNNNNNNNNNNNNNNNNNNNNNNNNNNNNNNNNNNNNNNNNNNNNNNNNNNNNNNNNNNNNNNNNNNNNNNNNNNNNNNNNNNNNNNNNNNNNNNNNNNNNNNNNNNNNNNNNNNNNNNNNNNNNNNNNNNNNNNNNNNNNNNNNNNNNNNNNNNNUAAAUUAAUUUAUUUAAAUUCAUAAAUAAAUAAAUAAUAAAAUAGAGCCUAAAAUGAAUCUAUACUAAUAACAUUAAUAAAUUUAUUCAUAAAAAAUUGGAAAGACAUUUUUUUGACUUUAACAAAGAGUUAUUGAUGAAUAAAUAACUAACAAGAGAUUAGAGUCAAAAUAAAUUUAUAUUUUUCUACGAUGAUCAAAAUUUAUCAUUAUUUAACAUCUAGUACUUUUAUUUUUCGAAAUAACUUUUUAACCCACCUAUUUAUUUAUUUUUUAGCCUUACCAUUUAUUAAUAAAUUUAUUUAACAUUCGAUUUUUUUGGGGGGCUAAAUGGGUCCCACCCAUUUAUUUCACCCUCUCCUUUCUUCCCCCACCCCCACCCACCGCCUAUGCUUGUCACUUCCCAAAAUUGAAGUCAUAUUGCAUGAGGCUUUCGUUUCUUCCCCAUAAGCUGUUAUCUCCUCUCCUUGCUCUUCUUCCUAAAACUGAAAAAGCAACCUCAAUAAAGUAACAGCCCAAAAACCCUAGCAGUCGCCUUCUCCUCUCCCUUGCUCGGUCUCUACCUCUUGAUCUUUGCUCUCUUUCGAGCGCCUCAUCAUAAUCGCUUGCCGCUGCCUCGCCUCCAUUCCCCCCUUUGCCGUUGUAACCUCGCGUCCAACCCUCCAUUGCGACAUUGUAGUUCUCCAUCUUGACGUUGCAGUCGGUGAUCGCAGCNNNNNNNNNNNNNNNNNNNNNNNNNNNNNNNNNNNNNNNNNNNNNNNNNNNNNNNNNNNNNNNNNNNNNNNNNNNNNNNNNNNNNNNNNNNNNNNNNNNNGUUCCACGAAAUCAAGGAUUCAAAUGCAUUGGGAUUCUAUGCAUUCAAAUCAUCUAAUUUUUUUUCAUAUUUGCUCCAACCAUGCCUUUGAUAAGUAGUUUAAUAUCAACAUCAAUUUGAAAGGACAUGCAAAUACUUUAUUUAGGGUGUUGACUACUGAUGUUUACAAAACUUAGUACCAGAUAUCCGUAAUUAAUCAAAAAGGGAAAAAAAAAAUCAAUAGAAACAACAGUUAAAUUUGGAAGUCAUUGAAUAAGAAACUUUUUAUUUAGAAAUAAGAAACAUGAAGAGAUUAAAGGUAAACUCUCUCUCUCUCUCUCUCUCUCUCUAAGCGUGUCCGCCAAUUCGCUCUCAAUGAGAGUUAGGUCUACCCUAACAAUGGCAGCCUUCCCGAGCCACACUCCCCAAAUGUUUCAUCCACGUCUCUUUCCUGCCCCCCAAUGAUCGUUUUCUCUAUUUUUCUUUUAUUCUUCAUUUUAUAAACCUGCAUUUAUACUCUACUCGUAUUAUAAAUUGCCCAUCGCCUUUCGAGUUUUCUCCUUUUCUAGUUCUCCCCCCCCCCCCCCCCCCCCAACCCAACAGCCAAAAUGUUACACAACAUAGGAGAUCGCUGUUCUGAAGAUUGUGGAAAAUUUGGACUUAUAUUAAAUCAGGAUUGCCAAUCGUAAGAAUAGGCAAAACCUGUCAAAUUAAUUCAAAGGUAAGAAAUUAAAAUUGAAGAUCAGAUUCUGGCAGAGAAUACAAGCUGGCUUUCUCAAUGAUCAUGGCAAUUAAAAUAAAAUCAGCAAAAAAUCGGCGCACUGUCCGGGAUCAGGGAAAGAUAAAUCAAGCGGAAGUAUGAUAAGAGGAAAGGGGCUGAAGAUAACAAUAGAGAAGAAAAAGGCAGAUUCGAAGGAUGAUAGUGUCGUGGGUGGAAGUGAUUUUUGGGCUGGAUCAGAGAGAUAAACCAGAUUGAACUUGGAUUGAAAAAUCUGAUCGUGAGAUUAAAAGGUAAAUUCCCCACUCACGCGAUCUAUCUCUGGUUUUUCGGCCUUCGGACGCUCCCCACUAGACGAACACCAUAUAUUCUGUUUAUACAAAAAAAAGAAGUAACAAUUUUUUUGUGAUAGACGAGUGAUGGAUUAUAAUCCAUCAAGUGAGAUUGGUUGAUGAAAAUAACCCAAGUCAUUGACCAAUUGAAAAUUAUAUUGGAUGGACAUCGACAUCUGUGUGGUGCAAUCAUCAUCAACUACUGAGUUGGUAAAAUUAAAAUGUAGAUAAGAAAGAGAAAUAAUAGUGGUAACUUACUGAAAAUUUGGGGAAAAGAAAUUGCUAAUAAGCAAUCCCACGUGAAGUAGUCAAGAGAUGUUCAGCAAGAGCAGCCGAUGGAGAAGGGUUAGCCAUCUUAAAAUUUGGUUCACUUGGAAACCAGCUGAGAGUGCAUGGAUUAAAAUGUCGAAUGAAGGCGCAGGUACAUAGCGAUGGUUAAGUAUCUUGAUGGCCUUGGAAGUUAGAUGUCCUUAUGGAUAAUGAAAGCCGGAGCAUGAACAAACCCGCCGAGCUCAACUUAGGAUAAUAACUGUUUAUAAACGAUUGUGACAAGUGGGCUAUAAAUACCCAUUACUUGCAUUGCCCUGCGUUUUGAUGAAUGCAGUCCUUUCAUUUUCCUGCUUUCAUUAUUUACUUUUAUAAUCCUUGCAUUUCAUUUUCUUUUAAAUAUGCCAAACUCUUCCUAUCCAAAAUCACCAAAAAGCUCAUUCUCAUGAGGAAAAAAAGCAGGAAUCAAAAUUUUUGGUGAAAGGUUUUUCACUGUCUGGGUAAACGCCCAUUUUUAUGCAACAGAUUCGUUCAUGGAGGAAGAUUGAAGAAGGUACGGAGUGGUGGCUGAAGCUUGUCCACGCCAUGAACCAUGAGUAAAUCGGCUGGUUGUGAGAUUUUGUGGGAACAUUUUCAAUUGUUUUAAAAGUUUAAGCUAUUCGAUAAAGAAAUAAUUCACUAUUUAAAUGUUUUAACACUCGCCAUCACGUUUAGCUGAUCUUUUUGCCUAGUAUUAGGCAUGCAAAUAUUUAAUUGAAGAGGCAAAUGAUGCCUAGGAAUUUGAAUUUGGAACCUUCGGUUUUGAUACCAUAUGGGGUUUUGUGAGAACACCAUCAACUCUUCUAAAAGUUUAAAUUCUUAGAUGAAUACGUGAUUGAUUAUGAUAGGUUUUUUUUUUUUUAAUGUUUUUGAUGGGUUUAUUUAAGCUCGUCCGCCCAUGUUGGGCCAAAACCCGGCCCAUAAGGGAAGGGCCCAUAGAAGAAAGCAGUUACUGUAAAACAAAAAAUAAAAAGGAAAAAUCUGGACAUUUAAUAUAUUUGAUAAGUUGGUUAUCAGAUAAGUUACGUAAUCUAAAGAUAAGUGAGAAUACAUUCUCUCGUUUUCCUAUGCUCUCCCAGUUUCUCCUUAAGGACAGUACGCUCAUUUGAAGAAAAGUAUUAGAAUUUCUCAUCAAAUUGCGACAACAGUGUUUAAUCUAUGGAAGACAAAGUAUGUUCGACUCUGUAAUGUACCUUAUGAUCGGUGUAACAUGUUUCUCGGCCACACUUCCACGUUCGUUGUUUUUUGGGGUUCGAUGAGAAGUGUCGGAUCCUUAUUUUUGGGAAUAUGUUUCUCGACAUUGGUAUCAGAGCAUUGUUCAUGUUUCUCGAUUACUGUAGAUGUUCAUAAAUUGUUUUUGAUUGAAUUUUCAUGAAAUGUUGCCAUUAGUCGUUGGGGAACAGAAAAUCCCGACACCCGAACUGUUCCCCCCUCGUUUUUGAUUUUCCGUAAAUCGAAACUCAUUUUUGAUAACAUAGGGUUGUAGCUCUUGUCGAUACGAGAAAAUUGACUGAUGGUUGGUCGCCGAGGGCUGCCGAACGUAUCGCCAGAAGAUUUGGCGUCAUCAGCGCGUGCAACGCACGUGCGAGCAAGGUGUUACACGCGCGGGGUAACCGCAUGCUCGUGCGUGGCACGCAUGCGACAACCGCCCGCGCAUGCGCGGCACGUGUCAACUAACGUCAUCGUGACGUCAGCCGGCAAUUGCCCCCGCAGGUGCAGGGCACGUGACGAGUCAUCGAUUUGAGCCGACCCGACCCAUCUUCGUUGACCCUUGACUUGCGUUGACCAUCGUUGACUGGCGUUGACCACCAUUGACUGGCGUUAAUCGGCAAAAAAGAGAGAGGAAAAUUAUGUAUUUUCUAUUUUGUUCGUUGUGGAUUAUAAGUAAUCCUUUUAUGUUCUGCAUUUGUUGCAUGAACCAUGAUAUGUUUUGCACACAUGCCUACAUUUCCGAGAACGAACGAAGAAAAUGUGAGACUUAAAUAACUAAAAACAUAAUUAGCUAAUUUUUUGUGGAAUGAUGGUGAUGUAGUAUCACACGUGGGCAAGGUUAAUCAAAUGAUAUAAAAAAUCAUCUGGAAUGGUUAUCCUAUGCUAGAUUUUAAGAAGGUGCUGGACUUAAUGAACACUUUUCCACUUGAAUGGCAAGUAGAAUUACAUCACCUAUGGGAGAUUAACAUGGUCGCGGAUUAUAGGAGGCUUGCAAUAGCUUUUGUAAGAGAGUACUAUAGAAUCAAGUUAACCAAAACUUCAACCAUUGGGUUGAGUGUCACAUGGCGCAUAAUUAAUGCGCCUUGGAAGUGGCAUGAGAGCUCUCCAAUGGUUUUUUCGUGGUUGACUAAUGUGCCUUCAAAAUUCUCAGAGAAUUUUACUAAGAGAUUAGAAGAGACUUUCCCAAUUUAUGAGAUAAAUGAGAAUAUUUUGGUUUUAAUUAUUUAUUUUAUUUUAUUCUUAGAUUAGUUUGAGAUGUUUUAGGUGUAAAUAUCUCUUUUUAUGUUGAUAUUUUUCCUCUAAAUAUAUUACUUAGUGUAAUGGACAUGUUUAAUUAUUGAAAGUUCAAUAUUAUCUAUUGUUGUAAAUUAAUAUGUUAAUUUACAAUUCUUUAUGGGAAGUUCAAGGAAGUUUUAGUGACUUUGCUAAUAAAUUAAUAUGUUAAUUUACAAUUCUUUGUGAGAAGUUCAAGAAAGUUUUAGUAACUUUGUUGAACUUAUUUUUUGCAUGAAAGAUUAUGUUAAUGAUAAUUUCAAGUUAGGAUUUUGGAUGAUGAUUGAAAACAUAGUGACCUUUUGAUUCUAAAACCAUAUUUGAAAUUAUUCAUUAACAUGAUAAGUUUAUGCAACAUUGAUGCAUAAAUAAUAGGCAUUAAUAAUUUGUAUAUAUGUGUUUGAUAUAUUCAAAUUGAUGGCUUCAACAAUUAAGAGCAUAAUUGCUGAGUUAAAUAAAGAGAGAAUUUGAAUGGAGAGAUUUGUGAAAUAUUGNNNNNNNNNNNNNNNNNNNNNNNNNNNNNNNNNNNNNNNNNNNNNNNNNNNNNNNNNNNNNNNNNNNNNNNNNNNNNNNNNNNNNNNNNNNNNNNNNNNNNNNNNNNNNNNNNNNNNNNNNNNNNNNNNNNNNNNNNNNNNNNNNNNNNNNNNNNNNNNNNNNNNNNNNNNNNNNNNNNNNNNNNNNNNNNNNNNNNNNNNNNNNNNNNNNNNNNNNNNNNNNNNNNNNNNNNNNNNNNNNNNNNNNNNNNNNNNNNNNNNNNNNNNNNNNNNNNNNNNNNNNNNNNNNNNNNNNNNNNNNNNNNNNNNNNNNNNNNNNNNNNNNNNNNNNNNNNNNNNNNNNNNNNNNNNNNNNNNNNNNNNNNNNNNNNNNNNNNNNNNNNNNNNNNNNNNNNNNNNNNNNNNNNNNNNNNNNNNNNNNNNNNNNNNNNNNNNNNNNNNNNNNNNNNNNNNNNNNNNNNNNNNNNNNNNNNNNNNNNNNNNNNNNNNNNNNNNNNNNNNNNNNNNNNNNNNNNNNNNNNNNNNNNNNNNNNNNNNNNNNNNNNNNNNNNNNNNNNNNNNNNNNNNNNNNNNNNNNNNNNNNNNNNNNNNNNNNNNNNNNNNNNNNNNNNNNNNNNNNNNNNNNNNNNNNNNNNNNNNNNNNNNNNNNNNNNNNNNNNNNNNNNNNNNNNNNNNNNNNNNNNNNNNNNNNNNNNNNNNNNNNNNNNNNNNNNNNNNNNNNNNNNNNNNNNNNNNNNNNNNNNNNNNNNNNNNNNNNNNNNNNNNNNNNNNNNNNNNNNNNNNNNNNNNNNNNNNNNNNNNNNNNNNNNNNNNNNNNNNNNNNNNNNNNNNNNNNNNNNNNNNNNNNNNNNNNNNNNNNNNNNNNNNNNNNNNNNNNNNNNNNNNNNNNNNNNNNNNNNNNNNNNNNNNNNNNNNNNNNNNNNNNNNNNNNNNNNNNNNNNNNNNNNNNNNNNNNNNNNNNNNNNNNNNNNNNNNNNNNNNNNNNNNNNNNNNNNNNNNNNNNNNNNNNNNNNNNNNNNNNNNNNNNNNNNNNNNNNNNNNNNNNNNNNNNNNNNNNNNNNNNNNNNNNNNNNNNNNNNNNNNNNNNNNNNNNNNNNNNNNNNNNNNNNNNNNNNNNNNNNNNNNNNNNNNNNNNNNNNNNNNNNNNNNNNNNNNNNNNNNNNNNNNNNNNNNNNNNNNNNNNNNNNNNNNNNNNNNNNNNNNNNNNNNNNNNNNNNNNNNNNNNNNNNNNNNNNNNNNNNNNNNNNNNNNNNNNNNNNNNNNNNNNNNNNNNNNNNNNNNNNNNNNNNNNNNNNNNNNNNNNNNNNNNNNNNNNNNNNNNNNNNNNNNNNNNNNNNNNNNNNNNNNNNNNNNNNNNNNNNNNNNNNNNNNNNNNNNNNNNNNNNNNNNNNNNNNNNNNNNNNNNNNNNNNNNNNNNNNNNNNNNNNNNNNNNNNNNNNNNNNNNNNNNNNNNNNNNNNNNNNNNNNNNNNNNNNNNNNNNNNNNNNNNNNNNNNNNNNNNNNNNNNNNNNNNNNNNNNNNNNNNNNNNNNNNNNNNNNNNNNNNNNNNNNNNNNNNNNNNNNNNNNNNNNNNNNNNNNNNNNNNNNNNNNNNNNNNNNNNNNNNNNNNNNNNNNNNNNNNNNNNNNNNNNNNNNNNNNNNNNNNNNNNNNNNNNNNNNNNNNNNNNNNNNNNNNNNNNNNNNNNNNNNNNNNNNNNNNNNNNNNNNNNNNNNNNNNNNNNNNNNNNNNNNNNNNNNNNNNNNNNNNNNNNNNNNNNNNNNNNNNNNNNNNNNNNNNNNNNNNNNNNNNNNNNNNNNNNNNNNNNNNNNNNNNNNNNNNNNNNNNNNNNNNNNNNNNNNNNNNNNNNNNNNNNNNNNNNNNNNNNNNNNNNNNNNNNNNNNNNNNNNNNNNNNNNNNNNNNNNNNNNNNNNNNNNNNNNNNNNNNNNNNNNNNNNNNNNNNNNNNNNNNNNNNNNNNNNNNNNNNNNNNNNNNNNNNNNNNNNNNNNNNNNNNNNNNNNNNNNNNNNNNNNNNNNNNNNNNNNNNNNNNNNNNNNNNNNNNNNNNNNNNNNNNNNNNNNNNNNNNNNNNNNNNNNNNNNNNNNNNNNNNNNNNNNNNNNNNNNNNNNNNNNNNNNNNNNNNNNNNNNNNNNNNNNNNNNNNNNNNNNNNNNNNNNNNNNNNNNNNNNNNNNNNNNNNNNNNNNNNNNNNNNNNNNNNNNNNNNNNNNNNNNNNNNNNNNNNNNNNNNNNNNNNNNNNNNNNNNNNNNNNNNNNNNNNNNNNNNNNNNNNNNNNNNNNNNNNNNNNNNNNNNNNNNNNNNNNNNNNNNNNNNNNNNNNNNNNNNNNNNNNNNNNNNNNNNNNNNNNNNNNNNNNNNNNNNNNNNNNNNNNNNNNNNNNNNNNNNNNNNNNNNNNNNNNNNNNNNNNNNNNNNNNNNNNNNNNNNNNNNNNNNNNNNNNNNNNNNNNNNNNNNNNNNNNNNNNNNNNNNNNNNNNNNNNNNNNNNNNNNNNNNNNNNNNNNNNNNNNNNNNNNNNNNNNNNNNNNNNNNNNNNNNNNNNNNNNNNNNNNNNNNNNNNNNNNNNNNNNNNNNNNNNNNNNNNNNNNNNNNNNNNNNNNNNNNNNNNNNNNNNNNNNNNNNNNNNNNNNNNNNNNNNNNNNNNNNNNNNNNNNNNNNNNNNNNNNNNNNNNNNNNNNNNNNNNNNNNNNNNNNNNNNNNNNNNNNNNNNNNNNNNNNNNNNNNNNNNNNNNNNNNNNNNNNNNNNNNNNNNNNNNNNNNNNNNNNNNNNNNNNNNNNNNNNNNNNNNNNNNNNNNNNNNNNNNNNNNNNNNNNNNNNNNNNNNNNNNNNNNNNNNNNNNNNNNNNNNNNNNNNNNNNNNNNNNNNNNNNNNNNNNNNNNNNNNNNNNNNNNNNNNNNNNNNNNNNNNNNNNNNNNNNNNNNNNNNNNNNNNNNNNNNNNNNNNNNNNNNNNNNNNNNNNNNNNNNNNNNNNNNNNNNNNNNNNNNNNNNNNNNNNNNNNNNNNNNNNNNNNNNNNNNNNNNNNNNNNNNNNNNNNNNNNNNNNNNNNNNNNNNNNNNNNNNNNNNNNNNNNNNNNNNNNNNNNNNNNNNNNNNNNNNNNNNNNNNNNNNNNNNNNNNNNNNNNNNNNNNNNNNNNNNNNNNNNNNNNNNNNNNNNNNNNNNNNNNNNNNNNNNNNNNNNNNNNNNNNNNNNNNNNNNNNNNNNNNNNNNNNNNNNNNNNNNNNNNNNNNNNNNNNNNNNNNNNNNNNNNNNNNNNNNNNNNNNNNNNNNNNNNNNNNNNNNNNNNNNNNNNNNNNNNNNNNNNNNNNNNNNNNNNNNNNNNNNNNNNNNNNNNNNNNNNNNNNNNNNUGAAAUGCAAGGGAUCGACUCCUUGCAGAAACCAAGAGUUAACCACCAUAGAGAGGAAAGCAUCUUGAGUGAAGAUAAUUUCAAGGGUGAAAUGUUAUAAUUAUGACCAGAAGGGUUAUUAUGCUCGCAACUGUCGUGAGCCAAAGAAAGUAGACACCCCCUGUACUCUUAAGAAUUUUGCUUAUGUGUCAAGUUUUAUAUUCUUAACUGAAUCUAAUCUUUUAUGAACUGUAGAUUCGGGAGCAAUAAACCAUUUAGCGAAGGAUAGAGAAUCUUUCAUGGAAUUUCGACGAGUACUGACUAGAACUAAGUGGAUCUAUAUAGGAAAUAACUACAGAGCCGAAGUAAAAGGAAUUGACACCUGCUAAUUGAACAUGCAUGAUGGACGCACUUUGUUCCUACAUGAUGUAUUAUAUGCUCUGGAGAUUCAUCGGAAUUUAAUGUUUGUUUUAAUGGUGGUAAAGCUUAGUUUUUGUUUGAACUUUCUUAAUAAUUGUAUGAAUAUGUAUUUGAAUACAAACUACUAUAGUUGUGGUUAUUUUCUAGAUGGUUUCAUUGUAUUGAAUGUUGACUGUGGUAAUGUCAAUGUUUAUUAUUCCCUUUUCACGUCUUCAAAUUCAUAUGAUAAUGAUGUGAAUGUAUGACAUGCUAGAUUUAGUCAUAUUGGCCAACAACGUAUGAAUAGACUAGCUAAAGAGGGCUUAUUGGGCAACAUUAAAAAAGUCGAUUUGCUCAUAUGGGAGUAUUGCCUAAUAGGGAAAACAACAAGGAAACCAUUUGGAAAAAUGUGAAAGAGCUGAAUUUCCUUUGCAUUUAAUCCAUUCUGACAUCUAUGGUCCAAUGAAUGUGAGAGGAAGGCAUGUGGCUGUUUAUUUUUAUUACAUUUAUAAAUUAUUAUACUUAUGUCUAUUUGAUUUCUCAUAAAUCUAAAGUAUUGAGUUGUUUUAAAAAGUUUAUGAACUUGGUAAAAAAUCAAUUAGAUAAGAAACUAAAAGUAUUGAGAUCCGAUUGAGGUCGAGAAUAUUUAUCUGAUGAGUUCAGAAAUAUAUGUGAUGAAAAAGGAAUAAAAAGAUUGUUUUCUAUUCCAUAUACUCAUCAACAAAAUGGUAUUGUGGAAAGAAGAAACAGAACCCUACUAGAAAUUGUUAGCUCCAUAAUGGCACAUGCUAACUUACCUAUCAUUUUUGGAGUGAUGCUUUAUUAACUGCUACCUAUAUACUUAAUCGUGUGCCUUCCAAAUCAGUUGUUUCUACUCCAUAUGAGUUAUGGACAAGUAGAAAAUUGGACUUAAGUUUUCUUAAAUCAUGCGGUUGUGCUACCUAUAGUCAUGAGCCCUCUCACAAAUUUGGAAAAUUGGGUCUUAGGAGCAAGAAGAAUAUUUUCAUAAGAUACUUUGAACACACAAAAGUAUAUGUGUUUAUAGGUGAGCAAAAAAGUGGGAGUAUAACUGAAUUCGAAUCAUGAGAUGUCACAUUCUUAGAGAAUGAAUUUCCUAAGAAUGGCGAAAUAGUUUAGGACUACUCCCUAUUUGAAACCUUGGAUCAAGAUAAUGAACUUAGUGGAGUUCGUCCAAGUGGGAGUAAUAUGAGAAGUGAUGAAUUUAAUUCAACUCACUCUUAAUUACAACCACAUAUUGAGACGAUAUUGUCAUUAUCUAAUCCGAGUGAGAGCAUAAUGGGGAAUGAUGUGCAAAGUAUACAAUCUCCCAUACGGCGAACAAAUCGCAAAAGUGUUCCCCGUCGACGUUUUGACAUUAAAGGGGAAACUUUUAUGGUUAAUUUACAAGAUGAAGAUGGGCCAAUAAAUGUAAAUAAGGUUUUAAAUUGCCAUAAUAAAGAAAAAUGGAUGCAUGCAAUGGAAGAGAAAAUAGAGUCAAUGAAGUCAAACCAUGUUUGGGACUGGUUGAUCUUCCGAAAGGACACAAAGCUAUUGGGAACAAGUGGGUUCUUAAAAUAAAGCGUAAAGUUGAUGGUUCAAUAGAAAGACAUAAAGCUUGUCUUGUGGCGAAGGGGUAUAAUCAACAGGAAUGAAUUGAUUAUGAGGAAACAUUUUCUCCUAUAGUGAGAUUUACCUCGAUUCGCAUAAUUCCGGUAAUAGUAACUAGUAUGGAUCUUAAGUUACAUCAAAUGAAUGUAAAUAUUGCUUUUCUCAAUGGAUAAUUAGAGCAAGAAAUAUAUAUUGAACAACUUGUUGGUUUCAUUAUGAAAUGUCAAGAAGAAAAGAUAUGUCGACUUUUAAAAUCAAUAUAUGGCCUUAAGCAGUUGUCGAGACAAUAGUAUAUACAUUUUCAUAAUACCAUAAUUGCACAUGAUUUUACAAUGAUUGAUGAGGAUCGUUGUGUAUAUAUCAAAAGAUCUAAAGAUCAAUUUGUGAUUAUAUCAUUAUAUGUUGAUGAUAUACUGAUUGUUGGAAGUAAUAUGGAGUUUAUUAAUACUGUCAAGAAUUGGUUAUCUUCUAACUUUGAGAUGAAAGACAUGGUGAGGCUGCAUAUAUUCUUGGAGUUAAGAUUUUAAGAGAUCGUUUGAAGAUAUCAUUAUCUCUUUCGCAAGAAAUAUAUAUAAAUAAGGUUCUUGAACGAUUUCAUACGCAAAAUUGUAAACCUAUAGAUACUCCUAUUGCAAAACGUGAAGGAUUGAGUCAUAAAAUGUGUCCAAAGACUCCACAAAAGAAGGAACGAAUGCAACAUGUUCCUUAUGCUAGUGCUGUUAGAAGCUUAAUGUACGCUAUGAUGUAUAUAAUACCUAACAUAUGUUUUGCAGUUGGAAUGGUGAGUAGAUACCAAUCCAAUUCAGGUCAAACACAUUGGAAAACCGUUAAAAGAAUACUGAUAUAUCUAAAGAGAAUUGCUGAUUAUACACUGAGUUACUAAGGAAAGGAUCUACGACUUGAAGACUAUUCAGAUGCUGAUUGUGGAGGAAAUUUAGAUGAAAUGAAAUCUACCUCUGGAUUUGUUUUCUUACUGAAUAAUGACGCCAUAUCAUGAAGCAGUAAGAAACAAACGUGUAUAGCAUUGUCCACAAUGGAAACUAAGUUUGUGGCAUUAUCAACAGCAAUAUAAGAAAGUGUUUGGCUUAAGAGAUUUUUAGAUAAUUUAGGUGUUAUUGAGAAUGUUGCAAACUUAUUGUUGGUUAACUGUGAUAGCCAAGCAGCAAUAGCAUACACUAAAGAUCCAAAAUAUCAUGGCAAGACCAAACAGAUAGAUACCAAGUAUAAUUUUGUCAAAAAUAUGGUUAUACGAAAAGAUGUGAACUAAUAUAGAUGUGUAUCAAAUCCUAUGACAAAGCUAAUACUUAGAGAUGUGUUCUGUGGGCAUGUGAAAUCUCUAGGACUGUGUUGAGGCUGAUGUAUUGAAUAUUGUAAUUUUCUUGAAGUGUUCACAUUUAAUGAUUUUAUAUUUUUAUUAUUAAUGUCUAUGAGUCUUUGUUUGACGUUUAUAUAUCUUAAUGCUUAGUGCAUUAUAUAAAAUUGAGAAAAUGUGUCAGACAGAUAAAAGAUUAGCCCACUCACAUGGAUAAUCGCCUCUAUUUACUAUGUAAUAAAUAGAGAUAAGAUGGUUUUUAAACUUAUUAUCUAGGUGAUAAUCGAGUGCUCAAGCUUAAAAUAUAUAUGUCACAUUAACUAAGUGUUAAGAUGAUGACAUAAUAUUUACUAUAUCCGAAAGUAAAAUAAUCCACAUAUUUUACUUCAUUUGUCUAUGAUGCCAGACGUGAGUUUUGAUGAAUUCCGUGAAAGAGUAGUUACGUGAACUCAAGUUAGACAUUAGGUAUGUCUGAACUAUCAUCUAUACGGUAUUGAAAGUGUAGACAUACGCUCCAUGGAAAAUGAGUUAAUAUUGUAAUACAUAUUUCAUACUACGUAUGCAUGAGACGACUAACAAGAGUGGCAAAAGUUUUGAUCUUAACUUUUAUGCCGUGUGAGACUCUUGAGGAAAAGAGUUCAUCAAUUAAGCGCCCUCAUGACUCUUACUUAUUCUCAAGAUUUCUAUUCAGUGUUUGCUAUCUUAGAAUGUUGCCAAUUAUCAUGAAUUAAUUCGAUCUAAUGGGACAUUUCUAGAAAAGCAAGUUGAUUUGAAAUUGAGAGUUUCAAGGGAAAAGGAAGAUUGAAUUUGGAGAAUCACAUUCUUGUUUUGUAUUAACUAAUUGACCAAUUAUGAUUGUUUUUGGGAUAAUCAUAAUUGUGAAUACAAUAUAUCAUUAUUUAGAAAUAGAUCAAGAGAGAUAUAAAUGUAAUCGAUCGAUCUAGAGUACUGCAUACUAAAUCUACUGAAAAAUGUGAUACCCAUUAUGAGUUACUAUAUAUUCCUAACAGAUGUAUGUCAACGAUCUUUCAAAGUAUGCUGAUCCCACAAAUUAUUCACCGGUAUAAAUGUUGCAGAGAGGUAAAGAGGAUUUUGUUCAGCCAACCAUAUGCGAGUGGGAGAUGAUGGUUUUUUUAAAAAAAUAUUUUUUAUGAGCUUAUUUAAGCCUGUCCACCUAUGUUGAGCCAAAACCUGGCCCGUAAGGGAAUGGCCCAUAGAAGAGAGUAGUUACUGUAAAAUAAAAAAUAAAAAGGGAAAAUUUGGGCAGUUAAUAUAUCUGAUAAGUUGGUUAUUAGAUGAGUUACGUAAUCUGAAGAUAAGUGAGAAUACGUUCUCUCGUUUUCCUACACUCUCCCAGUUUCUCCUCAAGGACAGUACGCUCAUUUGAAAAACAGUAUCGAAAUUCCUCAUCAAACUACAACAACGGUGUUUAAUCUGUGAAAGACGAGGUAUGUUCAACUCUGUAAUGUAUCGGUGUAACAUGUUUCCUGAGCACGUUUUCCACGUUCAUUGUUUUUUGGGGUUCGAUGAGAAGUGUCGGAUCGUUAUUUUUGGGAAUCCGUUUCCUGAUAGAUUAUUUAAAUAUUUUAAGAUUGAUGAUACGCGGACACAUGCCUAGGCCACGGUUUCUGCAUCUGUCGAGGAUCGUUUUGUCGUGAUCUCAAUGUCCUUGCUUCCUCGCAAUUCAACGAUCACGAAAGGGAAUCACGUGAGUGAAGGUGACUGGGCAACAAGGAGACAAAGAUCAGAGUUAACUCCGUGAUUCUAGAACGUGAUUUCGCAUUAUUUAGCACGUUUCCAUUAUGUUCUGGCACAAUUUUGCUUUAGGUCCCAGCAUUUGUUGCAUUUUAAAGUUAGGUUUGUUGGAUGUGUUCUGAUCUUCAUUUUACUGAUAUCUAGAAAGUGGAAAAUCGGAAGAAAGAUGUCGGAUUUUGAAAAUUGGAAAUAAGUGCAGGUUUUUUGAACCGACAUAUUUCUUGGAUGAGGGCUGAGGUCCAAUGAAAAUAGUCCAGCUUGAUAUGCUUUUUACAGUGAAGCUGCUCGAGUUGAAGAAGAGGAGGAAACUGUUUUAGAAACCAUGGUAAUCGAAUGGUUCCCUAUCAAUUUAACGUUCAAGCUUCACCUUUCCCAGUGGAGGAUCUGGGGAGAGAGUGUCUUGUGGAAGGAGAACGUACAACUGGUGGCUUCCUAGAAUAGUACGUUUGCAUCAGUCUUAGGCAGCACCUUCACACUGCAACCUGACUCUCUUGGUAUACCUCGGAUAGGGGUCAGGGCGACUCAGCUUGAUCUGUUGGCACUUGGCAGAGUGAUAUUCCCAGAUUUAGACAAAUUCCCAUCUAAUUAGGCUGUUGGGGAAAAAAAAAAAAAAGAAGGUCCUAGGGCUUUUCCUUACUUAAAUUCUGAUAAAGGGAAAUCCACUUUGAAGCCCAAUGUGAGUCCAAUUUGUGGUUAAACCCCUCUUCGAGCCCAAUUCCUGACAAGAAAUGGGCCCCUCAAAAUUAGCUCGGGGAAAGAACCUGCUGACGUCCGGCUUCAGAAUGGGAAGAAGAAGUGUCGUGAACCAUAUCGUUCCCUUGGCUUCAAAACUUAUGGCUUAGAUGGAUCUGCUAUUUGGAUGCUCCCGCUCUAUUGCAAGAUGAAUUCCGUACUCAGACUCAGGUGGCUAAGCCCUAAUCAGCCACCACAAACACCAUGAUGACUUGGAUUGUCUUUGCUGCUAUCUUCGGCUAAUUUAAUUAAUAUUGUCGUCGGCUGGGAAGGUUAGACUAGGAUUACAUUCAUCUUAGACACCACCGAGAUACCAAGACCGAUUGACCUAUGGAACUAGAUUGGGCACAUCUGUAACAGUAAUUCUUUAUCAUGGGUUUGUACUGAGGACUUCAACGAAAUUCUUCAUGCUUGGCAAAAUGCCUAUAGAACAUUACCAAAUUCACACGUGAUCGAUUGUGCAUUUAUGUAUAUUGAGUUUUUCUUUUUCUUUUUUCUCGAUCGUUCAGUUGUCAACACUAAUCUCUCUCACUUUUGCCUUCCACGAGGAUCAAACACCUGCCCCCACACUCACACGUCCCCAUUCCCCAUAUUCUUUGCUAGUAGCGAAUUGUGAUUUUUUUUUUUUUUUUGGUCGACAAUGGAUAUUGAGUUUUUCAAUUGAAAGAAAAUUUCAUUCAUUUGUCAUAAUCGAACAUGAAAGGAACAUAGAAAGCUUCAAGCAAAAUAAAUCCCAAAAGACUACAAAAAAAACAAAAACAAAAACAAAAACAAAAGUAUAUAACUUGCGGCUAUAAGGAUGCUCUCAUCCCAAAAAACCAAAUUUGUUACAACAUAAAAAAAAUAAAAAAUAGACGGUCAAUCAUCAGAAUCACCAAUGAUAGACACAUGCCAAGGUUUCUACCUCCAUAAAUUAAAGUUUGUGGUGCGCGCUUAAAUUUGGCAUCCUCUAUAUUAUGGCCAUACGGAGACGACAAUAUGUUAAACCACCACAAAUCAAACGUCUCUUAAAAACUCUCAAAUCCAGAUUUAUUAAGAGAGUCUACACUUAAAUAGUGAGAGGAGACCUUCCACCAAAUCUCGAAUAAGUCAUUCAACCAUGUCUCAGGCAUCUUAAUGGCUAGACCGGUGAUAACAUUCUCACAAAAUUUUCAACUACAUAGAGAUUUAUUCGCCACAACGAGUGAAGAAAAAAAACAACAACAAGAAGUGAAAGAAGAUGCCGAGCAAAGUGGGAAAAAAAAACUCUUAGAUUAGAUUGAGAGAAGAAAAAAAAAAACAAAAAAAAAAUCCAAGCUUAGAAAAAGAAAAGUAGAAUAAACCAAGCUCUCAGCUUUCAACUGAAGUUGAGAGCUUGUAGGAUAAGUUUCUUUAUUAUUAUUUUUUUUAGGGGGGGGGGGGGGGGGGGAGAAGGGAGUUACUGACAAAGAGAUUACAACGUGUGAGUUGAAAAUUAAUGAUAUUGAUUUUUUUUUGUCCAUCCUAUUUUAACUCCCAACUCACUUUCAGAUUUUUGCCUUACCUCUUUGUAAAGUUGUUGACACCUAAAUUUUGACAACACAUUUAGUUAUUUAUCGCAUUAAAAAAUUAAGGAUUAAUUUUUAACCCCUAAAAAAUAUUAGAAUUAAAUUGCGUAGCAUAUAAUUUAGGAGCAUUUUUAUUAUUGCAUUUACAUCGGACUGGUGACAGAUGGGUUUAAAUUGGUAGUUCUGAGUUUUAAUUUGACGAGUUAGACUAAGCCCACAAAGAGAGCAAAUUAACCUGAGCCCCCUUUUUUUUUUUGAUCGAAAAUUAUCUUAUGAGAAAUAGAGAUUUGAUAUUUUCGGUGAUAUAACGGUGGAUUUUUCAAUAUUUUUAGAUAGGGCAAGUGUGACAAAGAGAUAUUGCGAACUUAUCUUUGCAAGAUUUGGAAUUAGAGAAAAAUCUCAUUGCAAUCUUGAAUCUUUAGCAAUAUGUGAUAAAAUCGAUGGAGAAUAUUGCAUUUGGGUGGUGAUCUUCAUGGAUGUUGAUUUGAAAAAAAAAACCCUAGUCCACCCACCUAUAAAAGGAUUGCUACACGACAGUUAAGGGGUCUUCUCUUUUGAUCACUUGGCAGAAAGGGCCUUCUUCAUUCCCUUAAAAAAACACAAAAAAAGAAAAAAAAAAGAAAAAAAGAAAAGGCUUUUGAGGAGAAAAGUCAAGGUCAGCUAAAAGGAGGCUGAAGGUACACUAGCAGAGAGAGAGAGAGAGAGAGAGAGAGGGAUGUGUGAAAUGACAGGGUGAUAGGGACAAAAGAAAAAAGGAAAAAAGAAGAAACAAAACAACAUAUUGUUCUUUUUCUUCGCGGACUCUCCCCACCGGUGUUCGCUGUUGCCGCUCUUCGCGCCGGUAGCUGAGCCGCCGACCGCCGCUACUCCGCCGGCGACCCAUGAACCCACUCUACUCCACUAUCGCUCCGCGCUCUCUAAAAUACUGCCUCUGCCGCUCUUGCCGUGCCAUCGCUGGAGCUUCCCCCGCACCUACAAGCUUACGCCACUGCCUCACCCGCGAGCCCAUGCCAACACCACUUCGCCAACAAGCCGCAAGCCCCGCACUAGCCCGUGCUUGCCCGUCAGCUCGAGCGCUGACGCCACAGCUAUGCCAUCCUAAAAUUUCAAUUCUGCUUUCAAUUGAAUAAAUCAGGCAUUUCAUCAACGCGCCUAUAGUGCUAUUCUCUGAGCUGAUCACUCAUGAGAUAAUUAGACUAUUUGGGGAAGUCAUUAAGGAAUUUUAACGCAAUACACUUGAGAGUUCGACUAGGAUUCGACUACUCAACCGUGCUCAUCUGCAAAGAUCAUUAUGGCACAGUAAAGAUCGAUUAGAGAUCAGAGAUAUGUUGAUUCGAUUGAGAUAUAAGACUAAACGUUGGUGAUUCCACCAAAUUGUAAAAGUCUCGUCAAUUAGCACUAGAUUGAUUUUUUUGUCGUUUUAGUACCUUGUGUCCGUAUUUGAAACUUUGAGAUUUUCACAACCAUCAAGAGUUGCCAAUGUGUCAAAGAGGUACAUUGUGGCUCGAAGAAAAUCGACUACCGAUCAAUUGCACUAAAAAUUUCUGAAAACUACCCGGUCACCUAUGUCAAGAAAAAAUCACGCCAGAUCGAAAUUAACCGUGAAUUUGAAUCCGAUUUCAAGUCCUGUCAUGCCACAAGUCAUUUUAGGAAUGUCGACUGAUCCUCCGAAGAUUUUUCUACAAACCGAGAUUUUCGACGAAAUUUCAAAGUGAUGCCGUUUUUGUUCGGAAAAUUCAUGGGAUAAUUUUUUAUCGCACAAUUGGGAUGCAAGUUGGUUCUAUUGGCGUGGAAAAUUGUCAAUUUGAUCGAGGACACCACGGUGGAAUUUAUGGGAGCCGAAUUGUUUUAAUUCAAGUAGGAAUUUGGUUCAAUUUGGAGGGAGACCUUUCAAAAUUCGUAGGCCCCCUUGCUCCACACUUUGGGACCAACUCAAAAGCUUCCUAGGGAAGCUUUAUGGCUGCAAGUUGCUGAGGAAGACAGCCCAUCCAUGGUGGGGCCUCUUCUAAGAGACAAAGAGAUAGGAAGUGAAGCAAGUGGCCCCCUCCAAGCCAAAGUUGUCCCCCCCCUUCUUCUUCUUCCCCAUUCAGUCGACCCCUUCCAUUUCCAGCCAGCUUGGAGUCUCAAAAACCUAGAAAACCUAGCAGAGCAGCUCCUUCCUCUGUCGAGCAGCCCAUUCGAGUUGUCCAGCACCGCCGAAGUCCAACCGCUUCAACGUCGCACCCCGCGACACUCGCUUGCUCGUCCCAUUGUUCUAUGCCUCCAGCCAUUCGUCAUAACCAUCCCGAGCCUCCCCCGUGACCGUUGAAGCUCAGCCGGAGCUCCUUCGUUGCUGUCUAGCCACUGCCUGCCGCCGUGAAACCCUGCCUGGAUUGUUGCAGCCUUCGCUGGCCCUGUCUCGCCGAACUAGCAGCUCAGCCUCCUUCUUAACCCAACGAAUAGAACCGAGAAGCCCUGGGUCUGUAGCUCACUGUUUGGCCCGUUUCUGAGCCCUUUCGGACCUCGAAAGGUGCCCCGUUUUGGAGUUUUUGGCCCGUCUCCUCCUCGCCGUCGUCAUGGUUAAGUCAGAUUGCAAAUCUAGUGAGUUUACUCAUUAAUCUUUGCUUAGAGAGCUAAUGAUGCUUAAUGGUUGAUUAGUUCAGAUUAAGUCUAGUUUAGGUGGUUAGUUAGAACGAAUUAGCGAUUUAGUUAAUCGUUUAUGCAUGUUAGGUGGUUAGAAUUGUGCAAUUAGCAAGUAGAUAGAUCGUAUUAUUUAUCUAGAUAGGUUCGGAAAUUUUAUAGGCCCGUUUCGGUAUUUAAUUAGACUUUUCCGGCCUAAGUGUGCAUUUUUGCUAUUUAAUGGUAAUUAUUUAAUUAAUUUUGGUAAUUAUUUAAUUAUUUAUUAUUUUCCGAAAAUUAGACCGGGAUAGUUGGUGACCGGAAUUUCGUACUGAUUGCAAUGGUGUGUUUGGUUUAUUUAUUUGGGUGCUAAUUUGUGUAAUUUGAGUGUGAUUUGUAAUUUUGGGUAUUUAUCCCAAAAUUUAUUAAUUUCAUUAUUUAAUUAGAAAAUUACCAGGUGUCAGUUUAUAACGCCAAAAAUAUUUUUAUGAACUAUAUAAUUAGUGAGAUUUUGUAAAGUAAAAAUAUUGUAUUUUGGCUAAGGCCGACCGUGUACCCAUACACGAUUAUUUUUAUCGGGUAUGAUAAAACGAUGAAAUUGUUGGGUGACCAGGAUUAUAUACUAUAUCAGCCUGCAGGUUUUGAUAUAUCAGCUUAGAGUGAACAGUAUACCAGUAUACUAUAUCGGCCUGAGGGCUUCGAUAUGUUAGCUUAGCGUGAGCAAUAUACCUUGGUAGCUUCUGGUGAGCAUUAUCAAUAUACUAUAUUAGCCUACGGGUCUUGAUAUGUCAGCUUAGCACAAGUAAUAUGCUUUAUCAGUUUAGAGUGAGCAUUAUCAGUAUACUAAAUCAGCUUGAGGGUCUUGAUUUAUCAGCUUAAAGUAAGAAAUAUACUUGAUCAGUUGUAGUAAGCUAUACUAUCGGUUGUCAACUUAGGGUGAGCAAUGUUCGAUUUAAUCGAAUAGUGUGGAUGGUAUUGAUGACAUGGAGUAGAGUGAAUCGAUUAAUCGCUGUUUGAUGUGAUUUGAAUUGAAGUAAUUGCUUGAUUUUAUGAAUCAUACUGACUUGCAGGAAGGAACGGAGGUGAAGUAAGUCCUCUGACCCAUGCUUGUGUUUAGGCAGCCCUUAGGGCGUAUUUCCUUCCUAGUCGGAGUUUAGGGAAUGAACUUGCUGAGACGUCGUCUUACCUCGUUGUGAGAUGGCAGCUCCUCCCACGCAUUUUGGCCAGCUGAAGAAGGUCACAUAACAGGUAUCUUAUAUUCCGCUGCAUGGGAACCCUAGGGGAUGGGUCUAUGAGCUCGUGAGGUCCAUGGUCUGGAUUGAUACGAGUCUACCCCAUAAGGUACCCCAUCAAUACAGAUCGUGAUAUUGUCAUGAGUGGAAUGGGCAAAGAGAGAGUCUCAUACCGGAAUCUGAGAUACCUAUGUAUGUACUGGAGAUAGCUUUUAGAAAGGGUACGACCGACCCCUCAGGUAGUUCAGUGGUGGACCCAAGUCCGUCGGAUCUAGGGUCCCUAGUGUAUUCGAUAGAUGAUUCAAAUGCUUGAGGACUUGUAGCACUCUGAACCUCCCCUCCCUUUUUGCAAACCUUGUAUAUAGUCGGCUAAUAUUGUAUAAGACUUGGUUUGACAUAUGAAUAUAAGUGUGUUGUGGUUUUUGAAAAUUUGUAGUCCUACUUUUCUAUCACAUCUUGUUGUUGUUUGGGGAUUUAUUAUUCACUUUUGUAUGCAUAUUAAAAUGAAUGGGUCGGCGACGUGUCCUGAGACGUCACUAUUUAAUUGACCGCUAAGGGAUGGACACAUGCUCGAAGGAUUGGGGCAUGACAACAGCUACUCGCCUGUCCACGACUGCCCGGCGCCCGUCUCGUGCAACUCCGUUGCCGACGACCGCCACCCCUGCAGUAGCUCGCCUCUGCCAACACCCAACGCCAGUAGAUUCCGAACCGCUUGCUACCGCACCGGUUGCUACCCCUUCGUGCCCCAUUAUAACCCUUGCAAAUUCGGUUUUACCUACCCACUACUGCCACCUCCGCCUGCUGUCGCCCCUCGUCGGAGCUCCGAACGGCUGCCCUCCACCCUCAACUGUCCACUAGCACGGCAACUUGUCCUUGAGCCACACCGAGCCUCCAUCGUGGGUCCGAGCCGCCGUUUGCUAAACCUCAUUUGGAAGCCCAAAAAUCCCAAUUAGGUAGAUUUUUUUAUUUGUUAUUUUUUAAAAAUAUUUCAUUUCUUUAUUGGUUAUAUAUUCCCGGGUGCAUGAUUGAAAUCCCCGACGUGAUAUUCGUAACUCGAGUAGCCUUUUAAUUUCACAACAUGCAUACGAUUGACAAUCCGAUUUUUGCGUCCGAAAUCUAACUCGCAAUCGCAUGGAAAAAUCGCCAAUCCAAUUUCACGAUCGAGAUUUGAUUCGCAAUUUUGUUUAAAAUUGGCCAAUCCGAUCUCAUGCGCGAGAUAUGAUUUGUCAAUUUAUGAAUAUCAACCUUAUCUUGCCUGAUUUAUUGUUGCAUUAUUUGAAUCGAUUUUGUUUUCGUAAAAGAAAAUCCAAAAAAAAAAAAAAUUGAGUUAGGUUAGGUUCAUGUUUUGCAUGUUUAGAAUAAGAAAUUUAGUUAUUUUGAAUUUUUGAAAUAAAAAUCCCAAAAAAUACAUUAAUUUAGGAUGUUAGAUUUUCUUUUUAUUAAUUUAGAUUGCAUGUUUAAUUAUUGGACAAUUUUAAUUUCGAAUUUUAUAAAAAAGAAAAAAAACUAGAAUUAGGGCAUUCCUUGCACAUCAUUGCAUAUUAUGAUAACAUUGCAUGUUUAAAUUUAUUUUCUAACUAAUUAUAAGUUCGGAUAAUUUUUUUACAUAGAUUACAUUUUAGGAUAGGGAUUACCAAGUUAAGAUAACAUUCUAAUUUAAAUUAAGAUUUGGCCUAACCUAAUUCUUAAUAUAAGUUGGAUAAUGUCUUAAUUUGGAUAGAUAAUUUUUGCGAUUUUCUAAUUUCGAAUUUCAUGGAAAAUACCAAAAAAAUGUCUUUGAAUAAAUUAAUUUCAUUCUUUAGGAUAGGUUGCAUGCUCAUUAAGGAAACACAAAAAUAUUUCACUUAUGUCAUAUAGUUUAGAUCAUAUUGCCAUGUUAUAUGAUUUCAUGUUAGAUUAGUAGCAUGCAUUGCAUAAAACAUGAUUCUCAUUAAAUAAGUGAAAACAAAAAAGUAAUUACGUGUUAAUUAAAAAUCAUAUUUAGGACCAUCGAUGUGAAUUCUGAUCUAAUACUACAGAUGCUUUCGAUGUCAUGAGAUAAGUUUUAUAAUUUAUUCACAGCUUUAUCUGAGUGUUAAAUUGGUGGUUUGCGCACCCACAUGAUAACCUUACAUGUUAGGGAAAUAAAUUAAAAUCAAUUCAAACUGCUUGCCAAACAUGUUUUUUUUUUUCAAAAUAAAAGGGAAAAGUACCGGAAAGGCGUUAGAGAAAUCUAGCGUAAUUAAGUCCCUGAACUCAUAAAUCUCUAGUUCAUAGGAGUAAUGUAAAUCUCCCAUUACUUUAGUUGGGUUUCUAAUCGGCCCACCAAAAAUAGAUUAGUGGCAACUCUUAAUUGAAAAAUUAUUUGCAUGUUAAAAACUUAAACCUAAGUCAUGAAUUGGUAUGGACUUGAGAGAGCUUGAACUAAGUUUAGACUUAGUAAUUCAUUAACCAAAUCCUAAGUGAUUCACCCGAGAUUAGAUCGCGACAAAAGUAUAAAAGAAAAAACUCACCCAUGAAACUAAACAUCCCCACCGUUAGCUCACUUAAACAAGUGGGGAAGACAGUCUCACCUCUUGUCGUGGCCUAUCCCUUGAGGCGGGAAGAUGUUCCUCAAGCAAGUAGAUUUAGGGGCAUUUGCUCAUAAAACAGUCCAAGCAGGUGUCCUCAAAAUAGAUGGCUUCGAGAGCAUCAUCUAGUCGAUGGGCCAUACUUGGUCCAUUAAUUACAAAAUAAAUUCUUUCCCAAUGGCAGGGAAAAAAUUCAAGAAAUCUAUAUUCUUUCUUCAGUAUAGCAUAGCUUAAUAAAAAAAAAUUAGAACGUUCAUUCGAGCCAAAGUAUACGUAUAUGGAAUAUCCAUAAAAUGAUUUUUUUUUGUAUGCAUAAAAAAUAAUUUAUUCAUAUGGAAAUCCACUCAACUCAAUUUAGUUAAAAACAAGUAAAAGUAACAAAUUGAAAUAAAAUAAUAGAUUCAACGUGGGUCCUACCAAACCCACACCUUGCAAUAUGGGAUUCAUUUUAAGUUUUUAGACAACCUAAAAAUGUUAUCUAUGAGUCGCCACGAGACUCUUUGUUGGGAGUUGGCUAGAAACCCAAUUAAGGGUCGAAAGACUUCCCUUGAUUUUCACGAAACUAGAGAUUUCAUGAGUUUAGCGACUUGGAUUACAAUAAAGAUGCUUGUUAAGGCCCUUUCGGUAACUAUGAGUUUAGUUGUUAUCUAAGGUGGUCAAGCAAUCUUUUUACAUUUUCGUGCAAUUUAAAUCCUAAUGUUAAGUGAUCACACAUGAAAGAUACAACACUCUGAACCUAUUUGGAUUAGCACUAAACAGGACCUAGUCAAACCUUUAACCAGACAAAAAAAAAAUCAGAAGAGAAGAGUAGUAUUUCAAAUCUCUUUUGGAAUCGAGUCGAAAAACCUUUUAAUGAAGCUCUAUGCUCUUAUCUAUUUAUAGAGCUUUACAUUCAUGUACAUAAGAGAUAUGUGAAUUUAUAGACGCAUGGGUCCGUUCGGUUCGGGUCGGGUUUCUGGGUUUUCCUUUUCUUUUUUUUUCACCUCCCUUUUCUCUGGGUUAGUUAAACCCAGCUUUUGCUUUAGCGUUCUCUGCCCAAACAAUUCCGUCAAAAUCUUAAUAAUAGUAGGAACACGAGAUCCGGAACCGACGACCUCAAUCAUAUGUACAUUCUCAACUGCAAGACCAGCUUCUGCAAGAGUCUUCUGCAAAGGUCCUUUCACUCGCUCCAAAAUCGGGGCGCUGAUCUGUUCAAACUCAUCCCUCUUGAUAAAUCCCCUGAUAUCCUUUUCAUCCAUCAAGCACUCAAUAUUCAAAGGCACCUCGGGAUUUGCACUGAGAACUUUCUUGAGCUUCUCACAGGCAGCCCUAAGCCGAAGACGAGCUCUAGCAUUUUAGAAGACAUCAAUGUUGUAUUUGCUCCUUAAAUUUCUCAGCAAACUAGUGGAACAAAACCUCAUCAAAAUCUCUGCCACCCAAUGACCGAUCAUAAGAGUGAGCAAGGACUUUCAACUGUCCUUUUUUUGAAGCCUGCAAUGCAGACUUGCACGACCAAUAUCAACAAACGCAACAUUAAGCGGGUCAACUUCAGGCAAAUCAGUCUUGUAGAUACCAUAAGCCAAUGCAGUUGCAGUGGUCUCAUGGAUUAACUGAAGAGGGUGUAAUAAGCCUGCAAUAGUAGCAGCAUCUAGGACUGCUCUUCUCUGGAGGUCUGUAAAGUAAACCCGAAUUCCAAUGCAGUAAUCCACUACUGUUGCAUUUAGAUUCUUCUCAACAAUACUCUCGAGAUUCGAGAACAUCAUACCAAGUACUUGGGCAGGUGUGAAUGUCCUUGCUUCUCCAAGAUACCUCGCAUGUAUCAAAGGAUACCCAAUAGGCCCCUCAGCCACUUGGAAAGGCAAUGACUGCAGAUCCCCCUGGAGUUCAGUAUCUACAAAUUUCUGUCUAAUCAAUCGCUUAAUCUGGGAAAUAGAAUUCUUGGGGUUCAUCAUAGAAGCAGCUCCUGCAGUCCCAAUAAACCGCUGCUUCUCACCAAAGCAAACAAUUGCAGGGUUCUCACAUUAGGACUCGUCAUUGAGCACAACAUCGAUCCCCCUUUGCCGUGCAACAGCGACAAUGCAACUCUCAUUCCCAAAGUCAAAACCAACCACACUCAUCUUUAGCUUGGAAAACCAAUUCAGGAGACAAAUACGCCGAACUGGUGUAGUAAAAAGUGUUGAUCACCUGAUAAAUAAUAACAGAAGUGAAUCAAUCUGUUAAUUAAGUACAAAAUUGAGCAGCAGACCAUCUAAACAAAUAGUGCAGCAUCAAGCAAAACUCGAGCACAAAUAUCGUUCAAGCUCAAACAACUCCACAUAAACAUGCCAAGAGUCGGGAAACAAUCCACUUAAUCGAAUUACACAUUCAACACAAAUGCAAAACAUCUAAAAGCCAAAUCACGCGGGACAAUCAACUGGCGUAAACUUCCCACAGCUUCAACAAUCUCAAUCAUCGCAAAUCUGCAAUACUUUGAUAAACCCACCGAGCCGCCUCACCAAAUCAGAAAGCUACAAAAGUAAAUUCCAACAACGCGGAGCUACCGAAACGCCAAAACAAAAUCAAUUCUUUCCCACAUCCCAUGCAAGCCAACCACGAAUCACGACCGCAUCCCCCCCCCCCCCCCCAACCUACUUAUGUAUUAGCACAAGCAUCACCAGAUUCACCACGACAUCACUUACAUUAAGAAGAGCAUAAAUCGUGUCAGCAACAUCAGAAGCCUCGGCUGUGAUUCGAUACGCAAUGUCCCUAGCAGAAACCCCACCCCGGCCUUCAAAGAACCCCAAAUCCCUCUCGAGAACCCUCUCGAGCACAUCCACGCGAACCCUAUUUUCAUUUGGCUUCCUAAAGAAAUGCGUGCUGCAGGUAGCUCGACACGGCCCAAGCCAGCACCAAAACCCCCAGCGCGAAGCCCUCGCCCCUCAAUUUGAAAACAUCGGCGCCACCAAAGUCGGAGGAGAGUUUGCUGAUCCGGGGGACGAGCUUGGAGAGAGAGAGCGCUCAAAAGGCGCAGUCGUGGACUGGGAGAGAAGGUAGGGCUUGCGGGACCGGAGUGGAAGGGAUUUGGGAGGGGGAAGGGGAGGGGUUUUCGGCGACGGACGGCGACGGCGACGACGAGGCGGAGGCACGUCGAUCGGAGGAGAGGCCGAACUGGCAGUCAUGAGCGUAGGCGACGGAAGCUCCGUUGGAGAUCGACGAGGGCGGGCAGAAUCAACGAGAAGGCGCGGUCGUGGACAGCGGCGGAGUCGACGAGAAGGAGAAGGCACAGUCGUCGGAGAAGAAGGCGGAGCCGAUGAAGGACCGAGGGUAUGCAUUUGACUGUUUGGCCGUGGGUAAAGAUGAGAACAUGUUUGUGUUUGGUAGCUUGUUUUUAAUGUGUUCCGAGUUGAAUAAUGUUUCAACUUGAUUCGAUCCAAAACAUGUUUCUUUACUUAUCUUAUAUCUAUUACUCGAAUAGAAUCAAGACCCGAAAUAUGUAUUUCGGGUCAUGUUCGGAUGGGAUCGGAUCGGGUUUUUUUUUUUAACACCCCUAAUUAUUAAGGCAACUCCCAGUUAUUAGUGAUAUUAAAAUGAAGCAUUGUUAUUUCACUUGGUCAAAUAAGAGAGGUGCUUGUGAAAAAAAAAAGUAAGAGGGGUGCUUUAAAAAAAAAAAUUUAACAAGGAUGGAAAAACAAAAGCCAUAACUGAUUUGACAAGAAGAUUAAAGGGCUAUUUGGUUUGGUUUUGGAAAAUGCAAAUGCCUCAGAGUUGAAGGGUUUUUUGAAAUGCAAAUAAUGUUUAGCUAAUGUAAUUUUAAAGUAUAUUGAAAAAUAAUGUUGACAGAUAGUGUUUGACAAAAUCACGUUUCGAAAAACAUUUCUUUUAAAAAAAAAUGAUAAGACUCGAUGGCUCACGAGAGGGCAGCAAGCCUCUAACAAGGCUAAAUCUGGCUCCCAAUAGCCUCAUUCAAGGUUGCCCGACCUUAGGCGACCAAUAGUUAGGUCGUGCGACCUUAAGCGACCUUGCCUAGGGUUUAACGACCUCAGAUGAGGUUGUUGGUGCCAAAUCCAGCACAUCUGUAGCCAUAUACGGCCUCACCAAUCUCAUCGAUGACAUAACAUUAGGUAGGGACAUUUAUGGAAUUAUGAUAGUUGAAUAAGGGCAAAAUUGGAAGAAGAUAAUUGUAUUUGCAAUCCGAAAAUGCAUCAUUUUAAAUGACCUUCGGACCUGCCUUGGGCAAAAGCCUUAGAGAAUUUUGGAAAUGCAAUCACAUUUCCCUAAAGUCGAGCAAAAAAUGAACAAAACACCAUUUGCAUUUGCCCAGUAGACUUUAGAACCCCUAAAGCUCACCUGCAAUGCUAAACCAAACGAGACUAAGUUCCCAAUGAGAAGGGGUGGGUCAUUCCUGCCUUUGGAUUGGGCUGCAACCCAAUUCUUCUCUCCUUCAGUAAUGUGAACCUGCAACAAAGAUAAUUAUUUCAAUUUGAAGCCUUUUGGGGCAAAGCCCUAUAAUGUACUGGUGUGGCGAAGGAGAGUUCGGAAAAUGAGCAAAUUAGACACAAUGCCUCAGCCUUAAAACUGAAUGAAGCAGCCCCGAAUUUGACAAAUCCUAGCAAAAAUAAAUUCAAACGUCAACGUUUUAGAAUUGACAAGUUAUAGGGCUGGCUCGCUAUUCUUACUCAUGCUGGUCAUAAUCAGGUAUCAGUAUCACGAGGUAAAGAUGUUGAAGCAGCAAAUUCAAGCUCUAUCGAGGCAAGAGAGUUGAUAUGAGAAUGUGGUAUAGGAUUAAGUGGCUGAAGAAUGGCGACCAAAACAUUUGGUCCUUUCAGUGCAACUGUUGGAGAAAUCUUUCCAGAAUAUUUUGAAGCUGACAAAUCGUUUCUAUCAAUCUAGUCUGGAUAAGUACAGACCUUCUGUUUAGAGUAUGAAGACUUUCAGAUCACCAGACUCAAGACACAAGACUCAAGACUCAAGACUAUUCUCAUUGACAGUUUUUCUAAUCUAGUGACAAAGUCAAUCCAGAGCCGAAGUAUUUGGUUAAGGAUUUAGUCCUAUCCUCUGGAGAAGAUCUCUUGGCUGGAUAAAUAUAAUGGAUUCUUUUAUUCGUAAUCAAGAUCGUUUGAAGAUCCGAUGGUCGACGAAAUAUUCUUGGAAGGUUCUAUUCUUGGAAACCAAGAUCCUGAUUGUAUGGGCGAAUAGGAUUGAUGGGCUAUCGUCAGGUUCCUUUAAUAGCUCGAAUGAUCUUCUUGAUUGAUUCCGUCCAACGGGUAGAUUGGAGGAAUUCCUUUGGUAAGUGCCAACGGGUAUGAUGGCAUAAAGGAGUAUAAAAGGAAGACAUUCUAGUUGCUUUAGUGCAUGAUCGAUAGAUAAAUUCCAGAGUCUGAAGCACCUUGAUUAUUAGUCGAUACAUUUUGAGCGAAAUUGUAUACACAAAGAGUGUCUAUACUUAGAGAUACCUUGAUCGAGUGUGGUAGAUCAUCUACACCGAGAAAUCAAGGAAGAACAACGCUGUAACAUCUGUUUGUUCAUACUGAAAUCCAGCCAAUAGGCUGUCAGUGCAGAAGAGUGGACGUAUGCUUGACAUAAGCCGAACCAUUAUAAAACCGCGUGUUCAAUUUUCUCUUCUCUCAGUCUUACUUUGAUUAUUGUUUGUCUCAAAUCUAUCAACUGUCUAGUAUUGUGCAAUUAGAGAGAAAAAUCCUUUAUAUACCUAUUCACCCCCCUCUAGGUACUUAUACUAGCUAUAUCAAUUGGUAUCAGAGCCUGUGUACUCACUUUAUUUGAAGUGUUUUACUUCAGGGAAAAAGAUCCAUGGCUAGUAUGCUAGCACCAGGGCUGAUGGAAGGGCAAAGCAAUAUCAUACCACCCUACUUUGAUGGAAAUGAUUACAACAUCUGGAAGAACAAGAUGAAAGCUUUCCUACGAUCAAAGGAUCCUCUGGAAUGGGACGUUGUAGAAAAAUGAAUUACUCCUACAGCUGCAUCAGUCUCUGAAAGAGGGAAAGAAACUGUUGAAACCAACGGAAUGACUCAGGAAGAGAUAAUUAAGAGACAAGCACUUGAUGCAAAAGCAAUUUACUCUUUAUAUUGUGCUUUGUCACCAACUGAAUAUAACAGAAUAUCUUCUUGUGUUACAGCAAAAUAAGUUUGGGACAGAUUACAUAUCACCUAUGAAGGAAUAGAUCGAGUGAAGGAAACCAGAAUUAACAUUCUCCUCGGUCAAUAUGAAGCCUUCAAAAUGAAACCAGGAGAAUCUAUAACUGACAUGUUUAGCCGUUUUACAGAUAUUGUCAAUGGUCUUGAGAAUCAAGAACAAACAAUUUCUGAUCCCAUGAAGGUAAACAAGCUACUGCGUGGACUCUCCAAGGAUUGGAAUCAUAUAAAGACUUCAAUAAGAGAGACGCAAAGAAUUAUGCCACUAUCUGUCGAUGAGAUGAUUGGAACUCUUCAGUCUUAUGAAGUGGAACCAAUCAAUGAAGAUGAAGAUCCAAAAGGUAAGAAAUCCAUUGCAUUAAAAUCAAAUGAUGAUUAUGAUGAUACAGAUUCUGAAGAUGAUAUGGACGACGAGGAGCUUGCUCUCAUGAUAAGAAGAUUCAGAAAACUGAAUAGAAAAGGAAGAAGGUUCAACUCAAAGAAACAAAGUUUUCAAAGACAGCAAACCAAGUCUGUUGAUGAUGAGGAACCAAACAAAGAUGUAGUCUGCUUUGAAUGUAAGAAAAAGGGACACAUCAGACCCAACUGUCCUCUUCUGAAGAAGAAGAGAGGAAAAGCUGAAAAGUUUCGAAAAGCUCUCAAAGCCAAAACCUGGAGUGAUACAGAGUGUGAAGAAAGUGAUAAUGAAUAUGCCAACCUAUGUCUGAUGGCACAAUCAGACUCAGACUCAGAUUCUGGAUCAGACUCAGACAGUGAAUUCGAGGCAAGUAAUUUGAGUCUUAAGACUUCUCUCAAAAGAAUUUCCGAACUUAAAAAGGAAAACUCAGCUCUAAAACAAAAGGAAAACGUUUUAGAAGAAAGAGUUAAAAGUCUAGACUUGACUGUUUCCACUCUUAAAGAAAAUGAAGAUAAUCUUUUGAAAGAAAAUGCCCUUUUAAAAACUAACUUAUCAAAUAUUUCAAAGAAAUUUUCAAUAGGGUCCGAAAAACUUGAAAAAAUUCUUUCAGCUCAAACACCUUACUUCAAUAAGUCCAGUCUAGGUAUGACAGCAGAAACAAUUCCCUUGAUUGAUUUUCCUAAAGUAAAAGAAAGAAUUAAGGAAAUACCCUCGAGAGAGGCUUACAAAAAUCAUUUCAAUAAAGUUUUUGUAAAGUCUGUAGGUCGAAAUGCCCUCAGGUGUUCAAAGUGCAACAGUCCGGAUCACUUUGAAAAAGAGUGUCCUAUGGUUUGGAAACCUGUUAAGAAAGUAUGGGCUAAUACUGUUUAUCUUAUUAACACCAAAUGACCCAAGAAAGUUUGGGUACCAAAGAAAGCUUGAGACUCUAUUUUAAAUGCAGGUCUCCGUCAAGAAAAAGGUAAAGUGGUAUCUUGACAGUGGUUGCUCAAGACACAUGACAGGAGACUCAAAUUGCUUCAUAAAGCUUGUUCAAGUAAAUGGUGGAAAAGUUUCAUUUGGAGGAAACAGCAAAGGAAGUAUUGUGGGAUUUGGAACUGUGAAAAUUGGAAAUCUUACAAUAAGUAAUGUUUCCCUAGUGGAAUGACUCAAUUACAAUCUUCUCAGCAUUAGUCAAUUGUGUGAUACUGGUUUUAAGAUCUUCUUUCAAGAAGGAACAUGUUCUGGAAUCAGUAAAGACUCUACUCAGUCUUUCAUGGGUCGAAGACAUGGAAAUAUCUAUCUUCUGGAUGUGAAACCAAAUGAAUCGCAAUGCCUUAUCUCAAUUCAAGACGAAGCAAGCUUAUGGCACAAAAGCUUGGUCAUGUCAACAUGAAGCAUUAGCCAAAUCUCAUCAAAGCAGCUUGNNNNNNNNNNNNNNNNNNNNNNNNNNNNNNNNNNNNNNNNNNNNNNNNNNNNNNNNNNNNNNNNNNNNNNNNNNNNNNNNNNNNNNNNNNNNNNNNNNNNGGUCUACCCAAAUUACCAUACCAAAAGACUGAUCCAUGCACUCCAAGUAUUUUGGGAAAGCAGGUAAGAAAUUCAUUUAAGCAAAUAAAUCACGUCUCUACUAAUCAUGUACUACAGUUGCUGCAUAUGGAUAUCUUCGGACCAACCAGAACCCAGAGCAUUGGAGGUAAGAAAUAUUGCCUAGUAAUUGUGGACGAUUACUCCCGUUUUACUUGGGUAUAUUUCCUUGCAAGUAAGUUCGAAACCUUCUCGUAUUUUGAAAAAUUUGCUAAAAAGGUUCAAAAUGAAAAAGGAUGUGUUAUCUCAAGUAUAAGAACAGAUCAUGGAGGUGAAUUUGAAAAUCAAGAUUUUACAAAAUUUUGUGAUGAAUCUGGCUUUAAGCAUGUGUUCUCCUCUCCAUAUACUCCUCAGCAAAAUGGAGUUGUGGAAAGAAAGAAUAGAUCUCUUCAAGAAAUGGCUAGAACUCUUUUAAUUGAAAGUAAGAUUUCUUCACGAUUUUGGGCUGAAGCUAUUUCAACAGCAUGCUAUAUCAUCAAUAGAGUCUUCUUAAGACCUAUUCUAGAGAAAACCCCUUAUGAGUUAUUCAAAGAUAAGAAGCCUAUUGUUUCAUACUUUCAUGUAUUCGGUUGCAAAUGCUUUAUAUUAAAAAAUGCAAAAGAUCGAGUUGGUAAGUUUGAAGAAAGAUCAGAUGAAUGCAUCUUCCUUGGAUAUUCUACAUCAAGCAAAGCCUACAUAGUCUAUAACAAGAAGAGCCAGUCUGUGGAGGAGUCAAUGAAUGUCAAAUUUCAAGACUCAACGCAAGAUGAAUCCAGUUAGACUCAUCAUGAAGAGUCUGAAUCUACUCCAGACCCUCCAAAGCUUACAACUCAAGAAGCAUCUCAGACUCUGGAAGACCAGUAUCAAGCUGUUCGUGAAGAUUCAAAUAAAGAAAGAGAUCAUCAACCAGACAAGUCAACCAGUAACUAGAAGCAUAAGUCCAGUCAUCCCAAAGAUCUCAUUAUCGGCGAAAUUAAUGAAGGAAUUCGCACCAGAUCCAAAAGGCGUGAAGAGUCUAGUGCUGUGGCUCUCGUUUCUGAAAUUGAACCAAAGAGCAUAGAAGAAGCUUUAUCUGAUGAAAGCUGGAUUGAAGCUAUGCAAGAAGAGCUCAGACAGUUCAACAUUAAUGAUGUCUGGGAAUUGACAUCUAAACCAAAAGGUAAAACUGUUAUUGGAGCUAAAUGGGUGUUCAGGAACAAGAUGAAUGAGAAAGGAAGAGUCGUACGAAACAAAGCAAGACUCGUGGCCAAGGGAUAUACGCAAGAAGAAGGAAUAGACUAUGAUGAGACUUACGCACCAGUAGCAAGGUUAGAAGCUAUUCGACUAUUACUUGCGUUUGCUUGUUAUAAAAAUUUCAGGUUAUUCCAAAUGGACGUCAAAAGCGCCUUCCUACAUGGAUUUAUCCAUGAGGAAGUUUAUGUGGAACAACCACCAGGGUUUGAAGACCCAAAGAAGCCAGACUCAGUCUUCAGACUGAAAAAUGCCUUGUAUGGUUUAAAGCAAACACCUCGAGCUUGGUACGACAGACUAAGUAAGUUCUUAAUACAUAAUGGUUUUGUCAAAGGUAAAGUAAAUACUACUUUAUUUAUCAAAAAGGAAAACAAAAUUUUUUUACUAGUUCAAAUAUAUGUGGAUGAUAUUAUUUUUGGAUCCUUUAACGAAAGUCUGUGCAAGAAAUUUUCUAAAUCUAUGCAGGACGAGUUUGAAAUGAGUAUGAUGGGAGAGUUAACAUUCUUUCUUGGUCUUCAAGUAAAACAAUUGAAGGAAGGAACUUUUAUUUAUCAAGAAAAAUAUGCUAAUGAUCUUGUCAAAAGGUUUGGACUGGAAAAGUGCAAAAAGACCGACAUACCGAUGUCAAGUUCUUUGAAGAUAGACAAAGAUGAAGAAGGGAAGAAAGUUGAUCAAAAGCUGUACAGGAGCAUCAUUGGUUCACUUCUUUAUCUUGCUGCUUCUAGACCUGACAUUUUGUUGAGUGUUUGCAUCUGUGCUAGGUUUCAAUCAGAUCCUAGAGAAUCCCAUCUCAGUGCUGCGAAACGUAUUAUUAAAUACGUAGCUUCAUCUUCAAGCAUCGGUCUUUGGUAUCCUAAGAAGGGAGACUUUAAUCUUCUGGGAUAUUCAGACGCAGAUCUGGCCGGUUGCAGAGUUGAUAGAAAAAGCACUUCGGGAACUUGCCAGUUGCUUGGAAGCAUGACAGUGUCUUGGUUUUCAAGGAAACAAAGCACUGUGGCUCUCUCAACAACAUAAGCAGAGUAUGUAGCUCUUGGAAGUUGCUGUUCGCAAAUUCUAUGGAUCAAACAACAGCUACAAGACUUUGGAAUUGAAGACUCAUGCACAGAAAUUAGAUGUGACAACACCAGCGCAAUCAAUCUCACUAAAAAUCCAAUUCUUCACUCAAGAGCAAAGCAUAUAGAAAUUCGACAUCAUUUUAUUAGAGAUCAUGUUCAAAAUGGAGAAAUCUCAAUUCAAUUUGUUGAUUCAAAAAAUCAACUAGCGGAUAUAUUCACAAAGCCUUUGGAGAAAAAUCAAUUCGAUUUUAUCCGUUCCAAACUCAACAUUUUGAAGCUUGAGGAAGUUAAAGUCUAGAGACUCUCCAACCCUCAGACUCAGACAUUCAUGGCUGUAGACUGUAAGUUGUUAUUAUAUUCAAUCUCGAAAAGGUACGAUCAUUAGUUCAGUUAAUUUAUAAUUUCCGUGAAAAACUGAAUCUUGUCUUUUAAAAGGGAUUAACUUCUAUUUGGCAGUUAUUGAUUUUAAAAGAGGCGUCUGUUCAUUUUCUUUUGUGCCGAUUGGUUUUUUCCUUUUUAAAUUGAGUUUUAUAUAUAUACAGUUUUCCUUGUUUAAACUUCAAAACCCUAAAAAGGCAUUCUCCUCCCAAUCCUGUCUCUACUUCGUGUUUAUCUUCAAGAAAGUUGUCAUCUUUUCUUGGGAAAGCGAGUAAAGGAAUCUUUCAACGACAAGAAAGGAUGUCUUCCUCGAGAAAGUCUUCAAGAAUCGCGAACAGGGGACCACAGAGAAUGAGGGAGGGGCCUACCCAUUUCGAUCUCAUCGAAGAGGAAGAUUUACCGAGCCAGCAACAGAGCCCGAUUCACUCUCACCACGUCACUCUUCAUCAUCUACCCCACAAGGUGAGUCAUCAACCGGAGGAAGAAAUAAUCGAGGACGCAGACCCUGUAAGAGUCUAAAAACCCUCUUUUAUUUACAAGCUCUAUCGUGCACUGAAGAGCAUUGGGACUCCGCUGAACUAUAUAGAUGAUUUCCUUAAAGAUAAGAAUUAUGGGAAUGAGUAUAUAUUUUUGCGACGAAUGGAGGAUUUGGGAAUUGCUCCCAAAGGAAAGGCUGAGGAAGCACUUGCGAAUAUUCCAAGUGACCCUCGUGUAUCGGGACUGAAUCCAACUGAUGGGAACGAUGAUGAUAAAAUGUUCAGAGAAUUUCAACCUAGAAUGGGAGUUGCUGCGAAGGUGAAGGGAAAAAGGAUGGACUUGUUUAAAUCGAAGGAACAGGAGAAUCUGUUCUUUAGACUGUUGAAACGAGGGGUGAUAAACCCUAGGAGUGUUGAUUUCGAUUUCUUGGAUGCCAUUAAUGUGAACCUAAGGGAGAAGUUAAAUCUGCUUCAAUGAGCAAUUCUGCUCCGAUACCACAGACGGUUAUGCGCAAUUAACAGCAUACUUCUAUUCGAAUCUUAGCUUUUUAGAUGCGAAUAGAAUAUCCUUCAGUGUUCGAGACCAAGUCUAUGAGGUAGAUGUGGACAUGUUGGCAGACAUAAUUGGAGUUGAAAGAGGACGAUAUAAACCCAUCAAGGUUUCAAUCGCUCGUACCACACUGGAACUUGUCAAAGACAAGAGUACAGAAGGAAGAGUUACCUAUUCGAGAAUGCAUGCCAUCAACAUCUUGCUUCAUAAAAUUGUGAUCAAUUGUAUCAGGCCAAAGUCUACAUCAAAGACUUACGUGUCUAACUCCGAGGCGAAAUUGAUGUAUGCAAUCAAUUCAGGGAAAAAGUUCUCUCUCCCUCACACCAUUCUCUUUCACAUGUACAGAGCAAUGGUGAAGGACAAGGGCCAAUUGCCUUAUCCAGGUCUUGUGACCAAGAUCUUCAGACACUUGAACAUUGAACCUCCACAUACUCUUUGUGUUCGACCAUGCGACAAAAUGGUGGUGGGUUUGAAAAUGCUGACAAAAAUGCGUCUGAAAGAGCUUAAUAAGGCAAUGGAGAAGUUCAAAGUGAAGACUCCAGCAUCUUCUGCAUCAAAGAGAAAAGGGAAGGAGCCCAUGGGUGCUCCAUCCAAAAAGAAAAGAACUCUUAUCUUGGAGGAUGAAGAUGAGGAGGAAGAUCUCACUAUCUCUGCUUUGAAAAGGACCAGACGUUCUGUACCUGAAUCAACAGAACAACAAAAGAAAGGAAAAGAAGCAGAAGAAAAAGAACAGAGAGAAGAAGAGGGACAAGCAAAGAACAGAGAAGCAGAGGAGAAACAAGAGAAAGAGAAAGAAGACGAAGAGAAAGAAGCUGAAGAAGAAGGAGAAGCAGUAAAAGAAAAGUCUGCAGAUGAAGCCGCUGAAGAAGGGAAUCAAGACGCUGAAGAGCAUGACCAUCACUCUUCCCCAAUUGAGGUCCUAGAGACAGGGGGAGAUGGCGAGCAAGGAAGGACUACACCACAUGCUAUCAACAACGAAGUUGUUAGUCGCUCACCAGCAAAUCCAGAAGACUUUCAGGCUUCUCAAAUGGCUGAGGAAGGACAUGAUACGUCAACACCAAAUCUGCUCGAUUACACUGAAGUUCCAUCGUCUGACUUCACUCCAUCCAAAAAAGCAAAUGCAAGCACAUAGACGAACAAUACAACAGAUUUUCGUCGUAUACUUGAUGUUCUUCUGGAAAUGCAGGGUCAAAUCUAUGCUCUGGAAUGUGAACUUCAAGUCAUGAAGAAUGCUGGAAAAGCAUCUUCUGUUACCCUAGCUCAUCUUCGGGAAGACUUGAAGAGGCUGGAAGGCAUCGUCCAAUCGAUGGGAGAUUUCCAGAUUGUGCGCAUUCCCAAGCAGAAGUGACUCUUUCUCACCUUUUUAAUGAUGACAAAAAGGGGGAGAAUUGCAAUUUAAACUCUUUAAACUCUUUAAACUUUGACGUGUUUGAAUAAUUGAGUAUGACUUGGGUGUGAACUUGAAUUUGACCGACUUGUGUGGAUUUUGAUGUUUGACUGUUUGCAUUUAUAUCAAGUGUCGUUGUAUGGUCUUACUCAUGAAAGACUAACCAAUUUUCUGUGGAUGCAGAGUCUAGUUGAUUUAUUAAUCUUUAUGAGAUAGCCAUAUUGCUUGAGUAAUGUUUUGCAGGUCAAAGUUGUUUAAAUCUACAGGAAAGUUUUGUCAUCAUAAAAAAUGGGGAGAUUGUUGGAGAAAUCUUUCCAGAAUAUUUUGAAGCUGACAAAACGUUUCUAUCAGUCUAGUCUGGAUAAGUACAGACCUUCUAUUUAGAGUCUGAAGACUUUCAGAUCACCAGACUCAAGACUCAAGACUAUUCUCAUUGACAGUUUUUCUAAUCCAGUGACGAAGUCAAUCCAGAGCCGAAGUAUUUGGUUAAGGAUUUAGUCCUAUCCUCUGGAGAAGAUCUCUUGGCUGGAUAAAUAUAAUGGAUUCUUUUAUUCGUAAUCAAGAUCGUUUGAAAAUCCGAUGGUCGACGAAAUAUUCUUGGAAGGUUCUAUUCUUGGAAACCAAGAUCUUGAUUGUAUGGGCGAACAUGAUUGAUGGGCUAUCGUCAGGUUCCUUUAAUAGCUCGAAUGAUCUUCUUGAUUGAUUCCGUCCAACGGGUAGAUUGGAGGAAUUCCUUUGGUAAGUGCCAACGGGUAUGAUGGCAUAAAGGAGUAUAAAAGGAAGACAUUCUAGUUGCUUUAGUGCAUGAUCGAUAGAGAAAUUCCAGAGUCUAAAGCACCUUGAUUAUUAGUCGAUACAUUUUGAGCGAAAUUGUAUACACAAAGAGUGUCUAUACUUAGAGAUACCUUGAUCGAGUGUGGUAGAUCAUCUACACCGAGAAAUCAAGGAAGAACAACAUUGUAACAUCUCUUUGUUCAUAGUGAAAUCCAGCCAAUAGGCUGUCAGUGCAGAAAAGUGGACGUAGGCUUGACAUAAGCCGAACCACUAUAAACCGCGUGUUCAAUUUUCUCUUCUCUCAGUCUUACUUUGAUUAUUGUUUGUCUCAAAUCUAUCAACUGUCUAGUAUUGUGCAAUUAGAGAGAAAAAUCCUUUAUAUACCUAUUCACCCCCCCUCUAGGUACUUAUACUAGCUAUAUCAGCAACUUCUACUCAAGGCGACAAAGUAAUCAUUAGGGGUGCGCAUCAGUCUAGGAUUGACCCUGGAUUGACCCUAGACCAGCCCAGCCCUACCGGUCCUAGUCCGGUUCUCAGGGAGAUUAGAUCGGUCCUUGAUUCUAGAAUUCAUUGACCAGUACUGUGCGGGUUGGUCCUCGGUCCUGAGAGUUCCGAGUCGGUCCAACCCGGACCAACCCUGACUAUAUAUAUCUAAUAUAUUACUUAUAAUUUUUUUAUAUAGAGAAAAUCUUAAAAUAAAUGGCGGCAAUAAUAUUAAACAACUCUUUAGUGAGGAGUUCAAGUAAUUUUACAUUGUUCUUUAAUAAUUUAGAUUUUUAAUGUCUUUUACGGCGUCAAUAGUCAUAAUUUACGAAGGAGAAUUUUUUUUUUUUUUUUGUGAGGAGUCCUCACGGCAUCCAAAUAGGCAUAAACAACUCCUUAUGACAUCAUCAUCUAGUAUUCGUUCUCUUCUAUCUUAUUUGUCUUCUUAGUCUUUUAUUUGUCAAAAUCGAAAGAAACAACUUCUCCGCUUACCACUUGACACUCGCCUCGCUCACUUUGGGUCACUCGUGCUGCUCGCCACUCGAUGCUCGCUUGGCUUGUUGCUUCCUGCUCAACAUUCGAUGUUCACCCCAUUUGACCCUCACCACUUGCUUUUUUAGCUAACAUUGCUCAUCAUCGAACCCAUUGGGUCAGUAUGGUCCUCGGUCGGCCUUUUAAGGAAUACAAAAAAUGAAAUAAAAAAUUAUUUGUUGGUCCUGGGUGGACUCUGAAAUCGGACCGAACUCAUUGGGUCAGUUCGGUCCUCAAUCGCUUUUUUAAAGAGUACAAAAAAUGAAAUAAAAAAUUAUUGGUUGGUCCUAGGUUGAUCCUGAAACCGGACCGAACCCAUUAGGUUAGUUCAAUCCUCAAUCACUUUUUAAAGAAUACAAAAAAUGAAAUAAAAAAUUAUCGAUUGGUCCCAGGUUGACCCUGGAACUAGACCGAACCCAUUGGGUCGGUCCAGUCCUUGGUCCCAAGCUCAAUAAGGUCAGUCCUCGGUCCCAAAAAUUGAAGACCAGUAUUGUGCGGGUUGGUCAUAAGGUUAGGGGGUAGACCGGCCCAAUCCGGACUAUGCUCACUCCUAGUAAUCAUAUCUCCUUGCUCCAAAUUGCUGAUAACACCUGGUGCCACGAUCAAGCAGUCAGAUAAGACACAAAAGCUUAAUUUGCAUACCUUAGUAUGGGCAAGAAAUUUUGAACCCACAAUUAGCAAGUGCCCUGUCUUGAUGAGUAAUGAGAUGAGAGAACAGUUUACACAGGAAGAGAUCGCAGUUAGUCUUUGCUAUCGAAAAUACAAAAGCCCUAAACGGCUUAAAUGAUUUAUUAUUAUUAUUAUUAUUAUUAUUUUCGGAAGAAUUGAUUGGGAAUCAGAGGAGUUGUUAUCAAGGAUAUAGAACAGUAGCUUCGAUUUGGUGCUCCUAGUCUUAAACCCAAUCGUUAGCCAUACCCACAUACAACAUGUCCCCAAAACUCCCAACCUAGAAAACUUUCUCACUUCCGGCCUAUUAACCCGUGCAAUUUUUAUUUAUAAAUUAUGUUCCAUAGUUCUGGCCCAUGUAGCAUCGACACGGACAUGCGACACACGACAUGACACGACACGACACACCGACACGUCAUUUCUCAAAAAAUAGAGAAUUCCGACACGUUUCGACACGUUUCGACACGUUAUAUAUUAAAUAUAUAUUUUUAUAUAUAAACGCAAAAAUAUAUAAAUAAUAAUAAAAAGAGCAUAAAAUUAAUUUAUAUUAAAAAUAUUAAUUCAACAUUUGUUAAUAUCAUUGUUUUAAUUUGACAGAGAUUGAACGAGAAAUUCAAAAAUUGCAAACAUAAAAGAGUAAACUUGAAGGAACAUGUCAUGUUUUCUUAUACUUGUCGGAGAUUAGUAAGAUUUCUUAUAGUCAUAGACAGAGUUCGAAGUUCAUGAUAUAAACUAGCUUGGAGCUCCUCUGCAAAACAAGGUUCGAGAAAAAUGAAAAUCCAGGAUAAAAACUCUUGAAGUAUAACCAAAAGAAAAGAAAAUCAUUAAAUUUACCAUGGAAAACGUGAGAGAUAACUCACAAGCCAAUAACAUAGACAAAAAAAGAUAACUUGCAAGCGAUGCUUGUGAGAGGCAGAAAAAAGCAAAAAAAAAUUAUAACAUUAAGUAUGUGGGGGCAACGGAAUGACGCCAACGAGAUGAGGGGCGUUCCAUCGUCACUCACGGGAAGAUCAGAACUUAUAAGUGAAAAACUUGAGAGUAAUAAUUUUCUUCUUUCCUCUUUAUUUUUGUUAUUUUCAUUAUUUUUCAUAAAUUUACAUUUUGACCCCUCAAGUAUUGAAAUUUUUUAAAAUUGAGCAUGUGCGUGUCGGAAUCGCAUGUCAAAAUUUUGGACUCGCGUGUCGGAGCGUGUUGAGAAGAGUUGACCACAUGUCAGAUUUUCCGACACUCGUUGACCGCGUGUCAGAAUGUGUUGGAGUGUGUCAGAGUGUCGGACACGACAUAAAGGCUUCCGAAAAGUGUCGGUGCUUCUUAGGUUCUGACAAUCGAUCGAUCCCUACUGGACAUCAUCAUUUCCCCAAUGCAUAGCCCAUUAGCCCUUUCUUUUCUUAAGGGCUUGAACUUUAAGAAAUUCAAGAUAAUAUCUAUAUUGUGCAAGAUGUGUUCCAUCGGUUGAGGACGCAAAAACAAAAGGAAAUUUUUGAAAAAAUGCUAAAGCUUGACAUGUAGAAAUAUACGAUAAAGCGGAGUAGGACUCCUUAGAGGUGUGCUUGAAACCUAUGGGUUUUCAUGACAAAUGUGUCUCUUGGUAAUGCAAUGAGCUAUGAAAAUCAAGUAAAGCAUUAAAUUCCAUGGGGAACUCCUAAAGGUCUUCCAACCUAGUCGAGGCUUGUGACAAGGUGAUCCAUAUCACUUUAUCUCUUCAUCAUUGUUGCAAAAAUGCUCUCCAUUUUAAUUUUUGAGACUCUUAAUGCCAACUAAAAGGCAUCGAACUAUCACGCGAAUGCCAUCAUAACCACGAUGCCAAAAAAUUCUGAACAUGGACAGCAUUAACCUUGAAUUCCCUCCUGCAACUCGCCAUACAAACGUAUAUGCUUACAUGGUCAAAGUAGCAUCAAAUUUGUAUGAAAUUUAGGUCACAUAAAAACCCUCAAAUCACGGCGAGAAAACCCAGGAUUAUUUUCAACAAAUUCUGGGCAUAUCAACAUGAGCAUUACCUCCAAAUUUAACAUUAAUUGACUGUGGCACUUUCCUACCUAACCAUACAUUCACGUGAUAAAGACUAUAUCAACUCUCAGGCCAAAUUAACAGCAAAUCAGCAAUCAAGAGCUCAAGCAGCCAGCUCAAACAAUCCAUACAUUCAUAAUAAUACUAAGUGGCGAUCGCAGCUAAAAGCCUAGAAUUAAAGCUGAUUAGAUGAAGAAAUUCUUCUCACUUUCUAUCGCACACACCUCACAGCCUGCUCUUCUGCAUUUCUUGCACAUCUCAAAAUGGGCAAUCAGCAUUUUCCUACCGUCAACAACCAUCUUAAGAACACCACUUUAAUUCUCAGCAGAAACCGGGGACAUUACUUUACCAAUUCUCACUAAAAGCUUAUUUUAAAAAGUGUCAUGAACAAAGAUACAAACAAAGCACUCCAUCAUCUCCAUAAACAAGUAUAUUCUUCAAAGUUCCCUCUUAAUGAAAUACAGAACAAUAAGUGCACUUCUACACCGGUUUAAUCUCAGACUCAAUCAACAUCAACAAAGCCGAGACAUCAGAGAAGCAAAAUACAUGCCAACGAUGAUAACCAACAUCUAUCAUUGCAUAGCAAAGGAGAUACUUCUUUAACAUGUGUAUGGUUUCUUUCAGGCACGUGGACAAACAUGUGGUGAUCAAUUCAGACAAAAGAUAUUGCUGCUACAUCGAAGCAACUACUCUGAACCAAGCUAUCCCAACAGCGCCAAAAUGAUUUCAGAUCAUUAAUAAAUCGUUAAGCAGGAACGCUUUUAACAUAAAACUCGAUUGCACUUCUCGGUCUCUAUAGAACAGGGCAUGAGCUCUUGCGGGACAAAGGCGCAAUUACGGCCGCAAUUGGCUAUUGAACUCACAAGUGAAGCUCUGGGACAAGUCAGUGGUGAAGGUCGGCACCAAUGAAAGAAGGUUGGCUGAGAGGGAGAGCGAGAGAGAGGAUCAAAACUGUUGCAGAGGUCCUUCUUCGCGUGAGCAAAAUGACGCUCGAUUCUGCUUCGCUCAUUCUCCUCUGUCUUUUCCAGAACAUUCGCGGAUGAGAAAGGGAGAGACAGAGGGGGGCCGGGGGGGGGGGAGAGAGAGUAGCUAUGCUCUCUCUCGAAUUUGGGCUUUCUUCAUGGCCAUGGCUAGUGAUCCUUCUUAUUUCAAGUCUUUUCUAAAGACUCGAAAUGCUCUUAUUUCAAAUAAGAGUGAAUUUGUUGGAGAAAACUUCCUUGAGUGUUUUGAAGUUGACAAAACGUUUCUAUCAGUCUAGUCUGAAGACUUGCAGACUCUUCCAUCAAAGUCUGAAGACCUCCGGACUGCUAGACUCAAGACUCAAAGUCUAUCCUCAUUGACAGUUUCUAGACCGUUGAAGAAGGCUUAUCCAGAACUGAAUGUUUCGUUAAGGAUUUGAUUCUAUCGACUGAAAAAGAUCUCUUGGCUAGAUACAGCAUGUCGGAAUCCAUUAUUCAAGUUGAGAUUGAUUAAGGAAUUUUGGAUCCAUUGAUUGACAAAGUAUACUUGGAAGAUUCUACUUAUGGAAACCUAGAUCCUGAUUGUAUGGGCGAGCAGGAUUGGUGGGCUAUUGUCAUAUUCCUUAAAUAACUCGAAAUCUUCCUAAUUGAUUCUGUCCAACGGGUAGAUUAGAAGAACUCCUUUGGUAAGUGCCAACGAGUGUGAUGGCAUGAUGGAGUAUAUAAGGAAGACGUUCCAGUUGUUCGAGUGUGUGCACAAUAAAAGAAUUCCAAAGUCUGAAACUCCUUACUCUUAGUUAAUUAAAUUGUUGAGCGAAAUCUUAUACUCAAAAGAGAGUUUAUAUCUUUGUGAGACCUUGAGGAAGUGUAGCAGAGUCUCUACACUGUGGAAUCAAGGAAGAGCUUUACUGUAACAACUCUUUUGAUUCAUAGUGAAAUCCAGCCAGUGGGCUGUCAGUGCGGAAGAGUGGAUGUAGGCUUGGAUUAAGCCAAACCACUAUAAACCCUAUGUUCUUAUUCUCUUCCCAACGCUCUUUUACUUUGAUCGUAAUUCAUUUUGUCUACAAGAGUUUAAUUUUCUUUUCAUAAUCUAUUGUUGAUUAGUGUUGCACACUUCUCUUGGAAAUUUAUUUUUGCAUCUAUUCACCCCCCUCUAGGUGCUCGUACUAGCUUUCACAGAAUUGACCAUGUCAAUUUCAAAAAAGGAUCUAACCUCAACAGCCUCCUCUAGAUCUAGACAAGGUGGCCUUGGCCGUUACUUUCUCCACUAAGGCCGCCCAUGCUUACAUGGUGAGAAAUGAGGCGACCAAUGUCCAAUUGCUUCUGUUGGAUUUGUAGGGACACGGCUUCCCCUAGAAAAGAGAAGCAAGUCCGAAUCUUGUUGCCCAGAGACGACGUCCCGUAGGAGAAGACAAGAUUGAUGGGGUCCCUGCCUCACUUCCUCGAGACGUUAGUGAGGUCACCGUCUAAAGCUUUCAUCACGGCCUUUGAAGGGAGGAAUUUGCUGCUCAGAGACCCGUGUUGUUGUAGGAUCGGCAGAGAGUCCGUGCGGUGGUGGUUUCAGACCGCGGCUACCCACAACCCAACUAGGCAGCUUUGUAUGCGUCCUGAUGGUGUUGAUUGGGUUGAUGAGCUCUGUUUCUCAAUUAGUGAUGGAGAGCAAAGAGAUUGAGAUGGUGAGAGCUAGCAUUGACGGCUACCAGGUGAGGCAAGAUCCAGUCUAAGUCAUUGUCGAGAAAAUGAGGUCACAUGAUGUUCUCAUUUGGAAUUUUCCCAUUUUCUUUUUUUUUCUUCUUUCUUUGUUCUUAGUAAUUAUUAUUUUUAAUGUCCACAUUCGAUUUGCCAGCAAAAAUUCUGGUGUCAACACUAUAAUAUAAGAAGAUAGAUGAUUAUGUGAAUUAGACUUAUGCUUCCGCUUGAAAAGAUCGACACUACAUAAGUCAAGUACACAUCCCUAUGAGCGAGCUGGGACAUCGAGUAAUUCAUUGAGCGAGAGCAGCAAACAUGAAAGUGCUAGUAUGAAUACCUAGAGGGGGUGAAUAGGUGUAAAAACAAAGUCUUCUUUCCUUAAUUACUUAAUUCAGAUCAAGGAUGUAAUCAAACAGCUUAAAAUACGAAAUAAGCAAAGAGAUAAGGAAAGAGAAUUAAAACACGGAGUUUAUAGUGGUUCGGCUUAGACCAAGCCUACGUCCACUCUCCCACGCUGACAGCCCACCGGCUGGAAUUCACUAAGAAUCAAAAGAGAUGUUACAAUCUCACGUCCUCGAUUUCACAGUGCAAAGACUCUACUACACUUCCUCGAGAUCUCACAAAAUUCUCUCUUUUUAGUACAGUUAUAUGCUCAACAAAUGAAUUAGCAAAGAGUAAGGAGCUUUAGACUUUGGAAUUUCUCUAUCUCGCACACACUAGAAUAACUAGAGCGUCUUCCUUUUAUACUCCUCUAUGCCUACAUAACCGUUGGCACAUUCAAAAGAGUUCUUUUAAUCUACCCAUUGGACAGAAUCAAUUAGGGAGAUCUUGCUUUAUUUAAGGAAUAUGAAGAUAGCCCACCAAUCCUAUUCGCCCAUACAAUCACAAUCUAGGUUUCCAUAAGUAGAACCUUCCAAGUAUAUUUUGUCAAUCAACGAUCUGUCUUACUUGAUUUACUUGUCAUACAAAUAAUAGAUCUUUGUAUGCUUUCUCCAAUCGUGAGACAAUCUUCAACCAAUCGAAUCAAAUCCUUAAGGAUAACCUUGUAUUUGGAUAAGACUUCUUCGACGAUCUAGAAACUGUCAACGAGGGCAGACUUUAAAUCUUGAGUUUGGUGAUCUUCAGUCUGAAAGUCUUUAGACUUUGAUAGAAGAGUCUAGAAAUCUUCAGACUUAGGAAACAUUUUGUCAACUUCAAAAUACAGAACGAAGAUUUCUCCAACAAUCUCCUCUUUUUUUAUGGUGACAAAACUUUCCUGCAGAUUUAGACACUUUGACCUGAAAAACAACACUCAAGCAAACCAAGAUUUUCUUGUUCAAAUAUUAUUAAAGAUAAGAAAAAGAUAGUAGCGAAUCUGUGAAUCUGCAAUCACAGAGAACAUGUUAGUCCUGAAAACACAACUAUCUUUAGCAUAAUCAGUAAUAGCUUAAGUUACUUAGCAAGCCUCAGUAGUCCAAACUAGUCCAAAACAAAAUCACACCAAACAAGCAUAAAGUCCAAACCAAACAAAGAUAACGUUAACACAAAUCUGCAUAAACUUCUCCCCCUUUUUGUCAACAACAAAAAGUGGAGAUCAAACAAAAAGAGAUGGUUGAAAAAGAUCAAGAGUUAAGGCUGCUUGGGCAAGCGAACAAGCUCGUAUUCUCCCAUUGAGUGCACUGUCUUUUCAAGCUUGUCAAAACUUUGCUUCAGCGCCUGGAAUUAUUCACCUUGCACAUUAGACUGAACUUGAUUCUUUAAGGCAUUUAAAUAUUCAUGAAGAGACACUGAAGAGACACUGAAGUGGCCUUAACAGCGUUCUUGAGAUCCAGCAUCUCAAAACUCAUAGCAUAUUGCUAAUUCCGCACAUCCAAUAGAAUUUCCAGCAGUCUUGAAAAGUCUGCUAUUUGAGCAGUUGUAUCACUUGGACCAGCAGAGUGAAACUCGAGGAAUUUGAGAAAUGAUGGAGCCUCAGUGGAUGGUCCACCAUGACUAUCUUCUGGAUAAUGCGAGGCAUACACUUCUUCUAGGUUUGCUGCAGAAUGACUUACAUCACUAGCAAAUAAGGGUGAAAAAGUACCUUUUUGUCCAUCAGCUCCCCCAGUUUUGAUGCCCUCAGGUGGAGUAGGCAAAGCUUCCUCAGCCUCAGAGUGAUGCGCUCCAGCAGAUUCUUCUCCUCUUAUCUCAGAAUGACUAGAUAGAGAGAUAGCUAAGGUUGGCUUAAAAGAGUCUUUUGCACCCUGAUCUCCUUCUCUCUCUUCUUCUUCUGCUUCUUCUUCCCCUUCUUCCACUUCUUCUUCUGCUUCUUCCACUUCUUCUUCUGCUUCCUCCUCUUCUUCUUCCUCUUCUUCCUCUGCUUCUGCUUCUUCUUCUCUUCUUUCCUCUGUUUCCCUCUGUUCUUCUUUCUUCUCCGAUUCUUCUUUCUCUUUUUCUCUUUCUUCUUCUAACUCUUCUCUUAUCUCACGAAAGCUGACAAAAGUCUUUAAAUUUCUCAAGGCAGAUAUAGUAAGCUCACCCUCAUCUUCUUCAUCUUCCAGAAUGAGAGCUCUUUUCUUCUUUACAAGAGCAACCAUGGGCUCCUUGCCUUUUCUUUUAGCCGCAGCAGAGUCUUGCUUUGCCUUGAGAGGAGAUUUCUCCUUCAUACGCUCCAGCACUUUAAGCGCAUCUUUAUCACCAUUUUGAAACCAAUUACCAUGGGAGCAAUGGCUUUCAAGCUUAAUGGUGUAGAGAUGUGAAUUUUAAAGUGCCUAAAGAGUCUUGUGAUAAGAGCAGAAUAAGGAAGCUGUCCCUUAUCCUUCGUCACAGUUCGAUAAUGUGGAACAGUAUGGUGUGAGGCAGAGAGAACUUAAAACUAGUAUUGAUUGCACACAUCAAUUUGGCUUCAGAUCGAGAAACAUUAGUCUUGGAUGUUGAUUUAGGACGAAUGUAAUGUAUCACAAUUUUGUGCAGCAAAAUGUUAGAGGCACUCAUCCUUAAAUAAUAAAGCUUUCCUUCAACAUCCCUGUCUCUCACCAAGGACAGAAUAACAUGAGCAAUGGACACACUAAUUGGUUGGAAACUCGUUCUUUCCACCCCAAUUAUGUUAGCUAAAGUGUCUGUGUUCACCAAAAAUUCCCUAUCCUUCACAGUGAAGAUAAAACUUUGUGCAUCCAAGAAAGAUAGAUUCGAACAAAAGUAAGCAGUAAGCUUUGGAAAUGCAGCAGUGAAUUCAGAACAGAACUUUUCCAAUUGCAAUAAAGCAAACUUUUCCCUCAAAUUAACUUUUAUCGGAUCCAGGAAAUCGAAGUCAACAGUCUUAGGGUUCAUCACCCCUCUCUUCAAAAGACUUGCAUAAACCUUUUUAUAAUUCUUGGAUCUAAAAAGGUUCGAACCAUCAGUAAUGUUAGCGGCCACCCCAGAUCUAGGUUGAAAGUGAGAAUACAACCUUUCAUCAUCAUCCAGAGUUUGCGGUUGAUUCACAGUGCCAUAUUGUGGGUCACUUGGAAUAUUCGCAAAUGCUUUCUCAGCCGAUCCUUUCUCCACAACUCCUAGCCUCUCCAACUCUCUCAAAAACAGGGUUUCAUUCUUGAAUUCUCUAUCUUUUAAGAACUCAUCAAUUAAAGACAAUGGCGUUCCUCCUUUCUUCAAAUUCGAGUAGAGUUUGAAAACAUUCUUUGGAGUUAGAGUUCUUACAAGUUCAACCUCUUCUAUGACUUCAUCGGCUGAUAGAUUCAGGGAAGGUUGACGCUACUUAGAAGGUUGUUGCUGACUUGGACGCAUUGGAGGAGAAUCUUCUUCUUCGGUUAAGUCAAAGUGGGUAGGAUCCUCAGGCAUGCGACGUGGUCCCCUACUUGCAAUCCUUAAUGACUUUCUUGAAGACAUUGACACUCCAAUGGAGAGAAUCACCAACUUGUUCGAAAAAAGGUGAAAACUUUCGAACGUAUCAACAAAGAAGGUGAAAGAAAAUAGGAAUUUUGUAUUCUAGGGUUUCGGAGUAAAAUGAAGAAGACAAAACUCAGCGGUAUAUAAAGUAAGUGAAGUGAGGUAAACGAAGCGUCAUAAAAGGAAAUAAAAAUAUGUCUUUUCAAAAACAAUAACUUCCCUUUUUGAAAAUAACUGAAUUAUUUAAAAAUCAAUAACUGCCUUUUUGAAGUUAGGAAUAAAUUAAGAAAGAUAAUUCCAAACGACUCUCAGUCAAUAGAUAAUUGUACCUUUUCAAAUUAAAAUUAGAAACAACUUACAGUCAUACCUUGAGGUCUUAUGAGUCUAAUCAUUUAAAGACUUCUAUCUUUGAGUCUUGAGAGUAUCCAGACUUUGCUGAGUAAGAGAUUAUAUUAAGUCUGGUACGAAAAGACUCAAAUAGAUUUUUCUUCAGUGGCUUUGUAAAUAUGUCAACCAGUUGAUUCUUAGAGUCAAUGAACUGGAUAAUUACUUUUCCAUUUUGAACACGAUCUCUAAUAAAAUGAUGUUGAAUCUCUAUAUGCUUUGCUCUUGAAUGAAUAAUAGGGUUCUUGGUAAGAUUAAUCGCGCUGGUGUUGUCACAUUUGAUCUUGGUGCAAGAAUCUUUGACUCCAAAGUUUCUUAGUUGUUGUUUUAUCCAUAAAAUUUGUGAACAACAACUUUCAAGAGCCACAUAUUCUGCUUUUGCUGUUGAAAGGGCUACCGUAUUUUGCUUCUUUGAAAACCAGGAUACUGUCCUAUUGCCGAGUAAUUGACAAGUACCGGAAGCACUCUUCCUUUCAACUCUGCAGCCUGCUAGAUCUGCGUCUGAAUGUCCAAGGAGGGUAAAGUCUACUUCUUUGGGAUACCAUAGACCUAACUUUGAAAUUGUUGCAACGUAUUUGAUGAUGCAUUUCGCAGCACUUAGAUGAGAUUCUUUUGGAUCUUAUUGAAAUUUGGCAUAAAUACAAACACUAAACAGAAUGUCAGGUCUAAAAGCGGUAAGAUAAAUAAGUGAACCAAUAAUACUCCUGUAAAGUUUCUAGUCAACUUUCUUUCCUCCUUCAUCUUUAUCCAGCUUCAAAGAACUAGACACUGGAAUUUCAACCUUUUUGCAAUUAUCUAAACCAAACUUUUUAACAAGUUCAUUUGCAUAUUUUUCUUGGUGAACGAAAAUUCCUUCCUUCAAUUGUUUUACUUGUAAUCCGAGAAAGAAAGAUAAUUCACCCAUCAUGUUCAUCUCAAAUUCAUUCUGCAUAGGCUUAGAGAAUUUCUUAUAAAGACUUUCGUUAGGAGAGCCAAAAAUUAUAUCAACACAAAUUUGAACAAGCAAAAAAAAUUUUCCUUCCCUUUUGAUAAACAAAGUUGUAUCCACUUUACCAUUGGCAAAACCAUUUUGGGUUAAGAACUUUACUUAACAUGUUGUACCAAGCUCGAAGUGAUUGCUUUAAACCAUAUAGAGCCUUUUUCAGUCUGAAUACUGAAUCUGGCUUCUUUGGGUUUUCGAAACCGAGAAGUUGUUCCACAUAAACUUCUUCUUGGAUAAAUCCAUUCAGGAAUGCGCUUUUGACGUCCAUUUGGAAUAACUUGAAAUUCUUAUAACAAGCAAAAGCAAGUAAUAAUCUAUUUGCUUCUAACCUUACUACUAGUGCGUAAGUCUCAUCAUAGUAUAUCCCUUCUUCUUGCAUAUAUCCUUUGGCCACGAGUCUUGCUUUGUUCCUUACAACUUUUCCUUUUUUUGUCCAUCUUGUUCCUGAAAACCCAUUUUGCUCCAAUAACAGAUUUUCCUUUUGGUUUAGGAGUUAAUUCCCAAACAUCAUUAACACUUAACUGUUUGAGCUCUUCUUGCAUGGCUUCAAUCCAGCUUUCAUCAGACAAAGCUUCUUCUAUACUUUUGGGUUCUAUUUCAGAAAUAAAAGCCACAGCACUGGACUCUUCAUGCCUUUUGGAUCUUGUACGAAUUUCUUCAUCAAUGUUACCAAUGAUGAGUUCUUUGGGAUGACUAGACUUGUGCUUCCAGUUGCUGGUUGGUCUGACAAAUUGUUGAUCUUCUUUUUCAGUUGAUUCUUCAGCAAUCAUUUGUUGGUGUCCUUCUAUGGUCUAAGCUGCUUCAGGGGAUGUAGACUUUGUAGAGUCUGGAGUAGGUUCAGAUUCUUCAAGUUGAGUCUGGACUGAUUGAUUUUGCAUAAAGUCUUGAAAUUUGACAUUUAUUGAUUUUUCCACAGAUUGAGUCUUCUUGUUGUAUACUCUGUAUGCUUUGCUAGAAGUUGAAUAUCCAAGGAAGAUUCCUUCGUCUGACAUUUCUUCAAACUUACCAAUUUGAUCAUUUACAUUUUUCAAAAUAAAACAUUUGCAACCAAACACAUGAAUGUAAAAAACAAUUGGCUUCUUUCCUUUGAAUAACUCAUAGGGAGUUUUCUCCAGAAUUGGCCUUAAGACAACUCUGUUAAUAAUAUAACAAGCUGUAGAAACAGCUUCAGCCCAAAAACAAAAAGAAAUAUUGCUUUCAAAUAAAAGAGUUCUAGUCAUUUCUUGCAAAGAUCUAUUCUUCCUUUCAACAACUCCAUUUUGUUUAGGAGUGUACGGAGAAGAGAACAUAUGAUGAAAACCAGAUUUUUAACAAAAUAUGGUAAAGUCUUGAUUUUCAAACUCAUCUCCAUGGUCUGUCUGAAUGCUUGAAAUAGCAUACCCUUUCUCAUUCUAAAUUUUCUUGGCAAACUUUGAGAAGUAGGAGAAAGUUUCAGACUUACUUGCCAAAAAGUAAACCCAAGUAAAUCGUAAAUAAACAUCCACUAUUAUUAGGCAAAAUUUCUUUCCACCAAUGCUUUGAGUUCCCGUUGGUCCAAAUAGAUCCAUAUGCAGGAGCUGCAGUACACGAUUAGUGGAAACUUGAUUUAUUGGUUUAAAGGAAUUUCUAACCUAUUUUCCCAAUACAUAAGGUGUGCAUAAGUCAAAUUUUUGAUACUUCAGGUUGGGAAGUCCACGAACAAGCUUCUUUGAAGAGAUCUUGGCAAUUUGCUUCAAUUUGAUAUAACCAAGCUUUCAAUGCUAGAUUUUUGCUUCAUCUUGGAUUGAGAUUAGACAUUAAAAUCUUUCUGGAUUGAUAUUCAAAAGAUAGAUAUUCCCAUGUCUUCGCCCAGUAAAGGACUGUGAAAGAUCUUUACUAGUGCCUGAACAAAUUCCUUCUUGAAAAUUGAUCUUGAAUUCAGUGUCGCACAAUUGGCUAAUGCUGAGCAAGUUGUAGUUAAGUCCUUCCACUAAGGAGACGUUGAUUAUGAGACUUCCAAUUUUUACAAUUCCACAUCCAACAAUUCUUCCUUUGAUGUUUCCGCCAAAAGAAACUUUUCCACCUGUUACUUGUGUAAGUUUGAUAAAAUAAUUUGAAUCUCCAGUCAUAUGUCUUGAGCAGCCACCAUCCAAAUACCAUUUGACCUUUCUCUUGAUAGUAACCUGCAAUUAAAAAGGAAACUCAAGCUUUCUUUGGUACCCACACUUUCUUGGGUCCAAUAGAGUUAGUGUAAUAAAAAGUCUUUGCCCAAUCCUUCUUAACAGGCUUCCAAACCAUAGGACAUUCUUUCUCAAAAUGUUCUGAACUAUUACACUUAGAACAUCUAAGAGCAUUUCGGCUAACAUGUUUUACAAAGACUUUUUGAAAAUGAUUCUUGUAAAAGGUUUUUGUAGGUCUUUGUUUGAUUCUUUCCUUUACUUUUGGAAAAUCAAUUAAAGGAAUGGUUUCGAGGGUCAUUCCCAAUCUUGAUUUGUUAUAGUAAGGUCUUUGUACUGAAAGAAUAUUUUCUAAUUUCUCAGAUCCCAUAGAAAACCUUUUUGAAAUGCUUGAAAUAUCAUUUUUCAAGAGUGUGUUUUCUUUUGAAAGAGAAUAUGCAUUUUCUUUUAAAGUAACAAAACUUUUAUCAAGUUUUUCAAGCUUUUCUUUCUAUAAAAUUUCAUGUUGCUUCAGUGUAAUGUUUUCCCUUUUCAGUUUGGAAAUUCUCUUAAGAGAUACUUUGAGACUAAGACAUAGUUCAUCAAUGUACUUUGAGACUUUAAUAGGAAUCUUUGAAUUACUUACCUCGAUUUUACUAUCCGAAUCUGAGUCUGUAUCAAUUUUAGAGUCUAAGUCUGAUUUUGCCAUUAAACAAAUAUUGGCAUAAUCAUCAUCACUCUCUUCACAUUCAGUAUCACUCCAAGUUUCUGCUUUAAGUGCCUUUUUGUAUUUCUCGACUUUUCUUCUCUUUUUCUUUAGCAAGGGACAGUUGAGUCUGAUGUGUCCAUUUUUCUUGCAUUCAAAACAAAUCACAUCUUUAUUUGAAUCAUGAUCCUCAGCUGGUUUGUUUUGAAAUAUUUGAGAGCUUUGUUUCUUCCAAUUGAAUAUUCUUUCCUUUUUAUUCAGUUUCCUAAACCUUCUUAUUAUGAGAGCAAGUUCUUCAUCAUCCAUAUCAUCUUCGGAGUCUAUAACAUCAGAAUCUUCGUUAGAUUUUAAAGCAAUAGACUUCUUACCUUUGGGAUCUUCUUCUUCAUUGAUUUGCUCUACUUCAUAGGAUUGAAGUGUUCCAACCAAUUCGUCAACGGAGAGUGGUAUGAUCCUUUGUGUUUCCAUUAUUGGAGUCUUUAUGUGAUUCAACUCUUUGGAAAGUCCACGCAGCAAUUUGUUAACCUUUAUAGAUCCUAAGAUUGGUUGACCUUGAUAUUCAAGACCAUUCACAAUUUCUGUAAAACGGCUAAACAUGUCAGUAAUAGAUUCUGCUAGCUUCAUUUUGAAGGCUUCAUAUUGACCGAGCAAAAUAUUGAUUUUGGUUUCUUUUACUCAAUCUAUUCCUUCAUAAGUAAUGUGCAGUCUAUCCCAGACUUCUUUAGCUGUUUCAUAGGAAGAUAUUCUGUUAUAUUCAACAGGAGAUAAUGCACAAUAUAAGGAGUAAAUUGCUUUUGCAUCAGGAGUUUGUCUCUUGGUUAUCUCUUCUUGAGUGAUGUCACUAGCUUCUGCAACUUCUUUCCCUCUUUCUAAGAUUAUAACUUUAGGAAUGAUUCCUUUGUCUACCACAUCCCAUUCCAGAGGAUCUUUCGAUCUUAGGAAUGCCUUCAUCUUGUUUUUCCAUAUGUUGUAUUCAUUUACAUCGAAAUAAGGCGGUCUUGUGUUGCUUUGACCUUCAACCAACCCUGGAGCCAACAUACUAGCCAUGGAUCUUUAACUCUGAAGUAAAAACACUUCAAAUAAAUGAGUACACAGGCUCUGAUACCAAGCCUACGUCCACUCUCCCACGCUGACAGCCCAGCGGCUGGAAUUCACUAAGAAUAAAAAAAGAUGUUACAAUCUCACGUCCUCGAUUCCACAGUGUAGAGACUCUACUACACUUCCUCUAGGUCUCACAGAAUUCUCUCUUUUGAGUACACUUGUAUGCUCAAAAAAUGAAUUAGCAAAGAGUAAGGAGCUUUAGACUUUGGAAUUUCUCUAUCUCGCACACACUCGAAUAACUAGAGUGUCUUCCUUUUAUACUCCUCAAUGCCUACAUAACCGUUGGCACAUUCCAAAGGAGUUCUUCUAAUCUACCCAUUGGACAUAAUCAAUUAGGGAGAUCUCGCGUUAUUUAAGGAAUAUGAAGAUAGCCCACUAAUCAUGUUCGCCCAUACAAUCAGGAUCUAGGUUUCCAUAAGUAGAACCUUCCAAGUAUACUUCGUCAAUCAACGAUCUGUCUUACUCGAUUUACUUGUCAUACGGAUAAUAGAUCUUUGUAUGCUUUCUCCAACCGUGAGACAAUUUUCAACCAAUCGAAUCAAAUCCUUAAGGAUAACCUUGUAUUUGGAUAAGACUUCUUCGACGAUCUAGAAACUAUCAACGAGGGCAGACUUUAAAUCUUGAGUCUGGUGAUCUUCAGCCUGGAAGUCUUCAGACUUUGAUAGACGAGUUUAGAAAUCUUCAGACUUAGGAAACGUUUUGUCAACUUCAAAAUAUAGAAGGAAGAUUUCUCCAACAAAACAGAUGUUUAGUCGUUUAUCCACUGGUUUUUCCUUUCUUUUCUUUUCUUUUUCCCUGUUUAUAGGUGUCCUAGUAGCCAACAAAUAUCUGAGAGUGGCCCUAAAGAAAUUGCUUCAAUUGACACUUGAAUGCAUGACCAGAGUGACCUCAUUUGUGUGCUAAACAUACAAAUAUGCUUAUUGUGUGUGUGAUGUAAUGUUCUUUUAAUAAUAAAAAAAAAAUGUUCAUUUUUUAAGUUGAACUAUCAACUUGAUUCUCAAUAAUAAAAAAAGGUCAAUGGUAGGGUUUGCCAAAUCCAAGUUAUAAGUAAAACUUGAUUACUACACUGACCAACCAGACUCAUCACAAAAGCAGCACUAGUUUACCCUGCUUGAUUAUCAAGUUAGCUCCGUUUCUCAUUAUUAUUGGGAAUUCAUGCUCAAGGAAACAAUAAGAAACUUUAUAGGGUUUUCAAUCAUCGUGGAGAAUCCAAAGGUAUUUGUUUUAAUUGGGAUAUCUGCCAUUACUCAAAUUUGACAUGUACAAGAGCUGAGAAAAGGAAUUCAAAAUGUCCGGAUGUUGCUAAUUAUGUAAAUCCCCAAUUGAUCAAUGGAUUGAUCUCAAUGACCAACAAGAUUGAGCACUCAGUUACUCAGUUUCUCCAACUUCCUCAGAGAACUAGUUGCUGCAUAUACAAAGGAGAAUAAGCAAUCAAAAAAUGAGUUAAUGGAAAUAUUUUAUAAUUGUUGCCUUGGCCCCUAUACAAAUGAGAUGAGGCACAAAGUUUCAAGGGUCAUGAAGGAAGCUCCAAGAUAUAUUUAAGUAGAUCGAGUCCAUGAAAUGUUAAGUUCUUCCAUGUGGUUUAGGCGAGAAAACUGUGGCAACUUGGGACUUUGAAAAGAGAGCUCCAAAUGUGUUAAGUCGGAAGGAAGCUCUGGCAGCGAUCGGAGUUCUUUACCGCCUCUUUGGUUGAGGUGUUGGAGAGAAGAAAGAUUCUUGAUACUUUCUGGCAAAACAGAUAUAGUAGUUCCACUAAUGUUUAGAUGUUGCAAAUUAGGUAAAUCCCCCACUGAGCCAGGGAUUUCUGUCAAUGACCAACAAGACCGGACACUUAGUUUCUCCAACUUCUCCAUAGAACCAAUUGACGUAGGAAUCUCUUUGAUCCCAGAAUAAUCUAAAAUAAGUUCUUUUAGUUCUCUCAAUGUGCCCAUUGAGCCAGGGAUUUCUGUCAAUGACUGACAAGACCGGACACUUAGUUUCUCCAACUUCUCCAUAGAACCAAUUGACGUAGGAAUCUCUUUGAUACCAGAAUAAUCUAAAAUAAGUUCUUUUAGUUCUCUCAAUGUGCCCACUUCUCCGGGUAGCUCCUUAAGACUCUGACAGCCACUCAAGUUCAAGGAAAGAAGGCUCUUGACUUUGCCAAUAGAAGGGUGAACUUGCUUGAGUCCGGAACAUUCUUUUAAGCUGAGAAUCUCCAACUUUGUGAAAGCCGAGAGCUCAGGAGUACAUCUUAAAUGUUUGCAACAUGUAAGUUCGAGAACCUUCAGUCGCUUUGGCACCUACACAAAUGAGAAUGAGCCGUCAAAAAAUGAAUUGAUGGACAAAUCAAAAUGAACAGAAACUCAAAGAGGAUGUCUCUUUUGUGUCUUACCACAAUCGAACUCCAUCCUCCCCAAUGCUCUGUGAUCUGGCUGCUGGACAACGAUAGCACCACUAAUUUCGGUAGAAGCAAAUUGGUUGCCGCAAAAGACGGAUUGGGUUCAAGGUUAAACCAUUGAAGCCAUCUUAAUUCAGAAAACAAUUCGUUAAAGUCUCCAUUCAAAGCCGCCCACUUCAGUUGAAGGAACCUUAACCUCGGUAACUUUUUAAACUGUUCAUCGGUGUAUGCCUGUUGAUGGUCUCUAUUGUACCAGUCCCGGGACCAGUUGAGACGAAUUGCGUGGAUCAUUUCAGUUCCCUAUAUAUCAAAUCAAUCAAAUGAGUGUUUGAAUUGACUUAUAAUUUGUAGUUUUUGCUUUCUUAAAUCUUGGACUCGCUAAUUUGUCAUCUUUUUGCCCUCACUGUAUAUAAAUGUUGACAUGUAAACUCACAUUUAAAUUUUUUAUGAUCUUUUCGAAUUUGAAUAAUAUAUUAAAAUUUUGACAUGAAAAUACAAAGAAAAAUACUUAUUUGCCUAAAAAAUUUUAAGACAAACACAUCUCAUUGUUUUACCUUUUGCUUUUCUUAAAUUCUGUAGCGUGUGCACUUUAACUUUUAUCCGAGGCGAAAUGCAAGAAACGUGUUGAAACAUACGUAUGUUGACUUGUAGAUUUUUAUACAAAUUUUUCAUAAAUUUUUAAAAGAUUUUGCCAAAGAAUGCCCAUGGAUCACCUGUUAAGUAGCUAAGGAAGCACCCCCUUUUCAAUUCAUUUACUACUCUCGUGAAGUGUUUAAACAUUGGUUCGAAAACAGAAACUCGCAAGAAUGUUUAAAGAGUAACGUGAUGACAUUCGUUAGCAAUGCAAAUUUUAGAAUUUGAUUAAUUUUUAUAUUAAUCAAAUAUUAAUCUCACAAUCUCACGAUCAUUCAAUUUUUUCCUAAAUUAAUAGGCAUAUUUCAACAUUGAUCUCUGUUCAAACAGAUUUGAUUUUUAUUUUUUUCAUUCUAUUUAACAACAAAGCUUGAUAUUGAAUCAUGUAAACGAACUAUCACAAAUUAAAUCAAGAAGAUAAAGCUUUUUCCUUUGCCAAACACCUAUUAGUUAAUUGGUAGAGGUUAAUUCCUCGCCAUUGUUCAGUCAUGAACCUAUGAGGCUUCCCUAAUAAAAUAAAAUGAAAUGACAUGAACGUUGACAAUUUAAGUAAAAAAUUAUCCCAGUUAAAAGAUUUGAUUCAUGCUGAAAAUUAUGAAUGAUAAUUGAAAAGGUAUCUGUAAAAUAAUAAGCACGGCAUCUCCUCUAAAUAGUCGAGUUUGUGGAGCCGUUCUUAGCACAAAAGGACAUUGUCCCAAAAACUACAAAUAAUAUAAAACAACCUGAAGUAGAAAGAAAUGUUCUUAAGAAAAGUGACAAGGAAAAGACAACAGCAAUGAAAUAAACAAACAAACAAAAAUAAGAAAAGCCGCUCUUUAUCAUAACAUCUAACCUAAUCCAUGAGAUGAACAAGGUUAACGUAAUAGAACCUUAAAAAAAUAGUAAGAUUAUACUAAUAUAAUUCAUCAGAAGAUUUUUGCUAUCGUAUCUACUAAGAGAAAAGAAGAACGAGAAAGAAUAGAUAUAACUAGUAGAAGGGCGGGUAUCUACAAAAUCAAAAUGGAGAAAAAAACAUAUCAAACAUUGGUUUAUAAAUUAUAGGAGCACCACAAUACCUUCAACUGUACUUGAAAGCAAGCACACGUGAUAAGCGUAAGAUCUUUUUUUUUUUUUUUUAAAUGUCACUGUUGUGCUUAAUUAUUAGUCAUUAUAAUCAGCACGCAUUAUCUAUUUAUUAUUGCGGUCUUAAAGAUUGUCGAUAUUUUCAACUAGAUAUGAAAGCUACAUGCUUUUAGUGAACGGGUUUUUCCUGUAGAAUCGUAGUAAAUUAUUUGUAAAUUAAACUUUGACGGAUGUAAUUUAUGUCAAUGAACUUGAACUAAAUAAUGUAACUCCUUAAUCAUUGGAGUGCUUAUAGUCCUAUUAGCUGUUCCAAUUAAUAUACGAUGGACACGAAUGGAUGUUUAAUUAUAUUUUUUCCAAAAAAAAAAAAAAAUAGGAGCAUGUAUUCAUACUAGUUAAAAAAAUUUGAAUAAUCAUGUUAAAUGUAAGAAAAUAUGAGGGAGAGGAAAGAAAAAGGAGUCGCAGACGGUACCUUUUCUUUCUCUAGUACCUCGGAGGCUUCCUCUCUCACCCAUAGUCUACUACGUUUCUCAAGCGAUGGUUCUUGGCGAAUAAUGCUCCUUCCAAGAUCUCUCAGUUGAUCAUGCAUGCUUAAAGUACCAUCAUCUUCAAUUUUUAUUAAGCACCUCGACUUCAACUCGUCAAUUCCUUGACUUGGAUAAAACUCACAAUCGUCCCACAUGUACAUGGCAAAUUCAAUCUUUUCACCAAUAAAGAAACAGGCAAUAUCAAGGAAAACCUCUUUAUGUUCGUUGUCUAAUGCAUCAUAACUUAUCUUCAAUAUCUUUUGGACAUCUUUAUGUGGUUGUUUUUUUAAUUGUUUCAGUACAUCAUCCCAAACCUUAGGAUAUGUUUUUUUAUACAAGUAUGAACCUAUAACCUUAAGUGCCAAGGGAAGCCCACCCAUAGUGGAUAUGAUCUGACGAGAUAUAAUUGCAAAGUCACUUGAAGGAUGUUCCAUUCGAAAUGCAUGUCUAUUAAAUAAAAUGAAAGAAUGUGCCUCAUUUAUCCCACUCAUUUCAUGCUCGUAGUCUACCUCGAAUUCAGAUUGAUCAAGAACAUCUUUAUUUCUAGUUGUAACAAUUAUAAUACUUCCUGAAGCAAACCAGUAACCUCCUCCAGCCAAAGCAUCUAGCUGAUCCUUGCAAUCUAUAUCAUCCAAAAGAAUGAGAACCUUUUUCCUUGUGAAUCUAGAUUUGAUUAAGUUAAUUCCUAAAUCAACUGUAGACACUUCAUUUUUUUCUUGUAGUAUCUCAGAUAUUAGUUGACUCUGUAGAUACUUAAUACCAUGGUGCUUGGUCGUUUCUCGAAUAUCUGGAAGGAAGCAGACAUGAUCAAAUUUAUUCAAGAGUUGAUUGUAGAUGCACUUGGCAAGAGUUGUCUUGCCUAUCCCACCCAUGCCAUAAAUUCCAAUCAUUCGAGCAUUGAUGGAAGGACUACCUAUGCGACUUAUAAUCUUCUUCAGUUGAUCAUCAAGUCCAACUAGUUCCUUUGGAACAAGUAGAGGAAAAUCUUUUCGUAACUCUCCCAGAACAGUUUCGACAACACGUUCAAUCAAUUCUCCCUCAUGCCUGUCAAGCAACAAAAACAAUGAGAGACUAUGAACCUGGAGAUGGUCCAAGCAAAUCUGAUCCUUAUCAACUCAGCCAAUCCCCGUUGGAGGUUUUAUUCGGUGGCGUUCAAGAUCUAGAAGAUUAAGCAUUGAUAUCGUUUGUCGGUGUAGUUUUUUUUAGUGAUCGAUAGUAUUGGCCAGACGGGUUGUCCUUUCUUUGUCUGCGGGGGAGACAAUUGUAAAAUUAUAAGGCGCCAUGGGAUAUUUGGUUUUAGCAGUUGCUGAUUUAGCUUCCGGGGGACAUUUUGGGGGAGUACUAGUUUUUGUUGUGUUCGGGCAUACUAUGGUUGUCCAUCGGGAUAUUUUGAGGGUUUCCUUGUGAGCAUAUAGUGGAAGUAGUUCUCCAUAUUUCAUCGCUAUUGCAUGAAUAAGAAAACUUACUCAUCAAAAAAAUAAUAAUAAUAAAGUGGGAGAGAAGUACCCGCUAGCAAAUUCAUCGGAUUUCCAUCCAUGUAAGUUACUCACAUCUUUAAGUGCUUGUCGCCCUUCCUCAAUAUCUUUCUCAUCAAAACGAUGCUAUGCGAAUGGAAAGGCCUCCCCAAAAUUUCUUUUCAGAUGCCGCACAUCCGAUGGGUCCACUUUGUAAAAAAUGGGCAAAACUUUAUGUGAAUUGCUCUUCUUGCAAUCCAUGAUGUGUGAUAAGCUCCACGAAGGGCACCCCGACCGUUUAGGAUUGUCCAGAGAUAAUAGGGAUAGAAAUCUUAGAAUUUGUGAUGGCAUUGAAAAGCACUGGACUAAAUUCCUCACCAAUUCGGAUGCUAUUACAGUCCCUAAACACGCGGAUUCCUGCAAUGUCUAGUCUGUGAUAAAGGUGAUCAGUAAAUUCUUUUCGGGUAUCUGAGCCAUUAAAGCUCAAGAAUACAUCGUAUUCAUUGCUAUCUCCUUCAGAGAUUUUCGGAGGGAAGGAUGAAGGAGAGGAUGCUCCCCCAGUGCUCUCUUUUUCUUCCGCAACAAGCAUUGCUUUGUUUGCCUUGCUCAGGCUUUGCCCUUUCUCCAUGGAAGUCUGAUAAGCAAAAGUGAAGGGAGAAUACCUUCCUGCUGCACAAAAUGAUCAAGACAAACAAAUGAAAAGGGUCGGAUGGAGAGCAUAUGCUUUUUGGGUGGAGAGAGCAUUUGCUUUAUGAACGAUUCCGAAUACAAAACGUUUAACGAUCAAGUUUACCUAAGCGGGUGUCUAUUGAUUAAUUUAAUAUUAAAAGUUAUUGACUUGGAGCAGUGCGUUGCACGUUUUCUUAUUCCAAUGGGCCUCAGCUUUUAGAUACGUGCACUUUUCUAAUUGGAUAAAUUUUCCAACAAUCGUGUCUUUGACCAGUAAAUCACAAAUUAUAGACAAUUGUCAUAUAUAAAAUUAAGUAAAGUGAAAAUAAUGAUGCCUAUAUUUUAUGAGACAUUAUUGAAUGCAUAUUGGUCAAAAUAAGCAUACCUUUGAUCGUUGAAUGCAUAAUUUAUACGAUGUGAGAUCCAUUAAUAUCAAAGAUUUAAAUACGUUUGGCUCAGAUGUAACUAGAUGAUAUAAAAAUUUCUAUAUAUUUACAUCAAUCAUACCUUUGAUUAGUGAUUCAAUAUAAGCAUCUAUUUGAAAUUAUUGUUAAUAUUCAUAAAAUCUGGUGCCAAAAUAUACACGAUCAAUCCAAAGAAAUAAAAUUUAAUAGAAACGACAAUUAAAUUUGUAUGCAGUUAAUUAGAAACAUGAGAGAUGAAAAGGUAAACUCUCUCUCUGGAAGCAUUUUCGCCAGUUCGCUCUCCCUCAACUAGAGUUAGCUCUACCCUAACCGUGGUAACCGACUAAGAACAUCCUCGACGAAAUGUGUCACCACCCAUGUCUCUUUCUUGGCUCCGACCAAAAACAAAAACGUCUCUUUUCUGGCCCCAUUGCUGAUCGUGAAAGGCAGAAAAACCCUUCUUGGUUGGUCCUUGUCACUUCGAGCUCCCCAUCCUUGACCGAAUCUUCUGCAAUUUUCAUUAUCUUCGUCAUCGCUCUUUUGCUUUUUAUCUUCUCUAAAUCUGAACGGCGGUGAUCUUCUUGCUUUUUGAAAACUCACCGAAUUGCUUUUCGGUUUGCGCACGCGAGAAUCUUCUCCUAUUCCGAUUUUAAGUUUUGUCGGGCGAUUCUGAUCUUUUUCCCCUUGUUCGUCGAUCCUCCGUGUGUUCUUUUUGUGUGCCCGUGAAUUCCAACCCGCCAACCACUAAGAUUUGCUCUGCUAACCAUCAUUUUAAUAUGGAGGAGAGAGCGGGGGAUUCGAAUUUUCAUAUUCUCAUAGGUUAAAAUGGAAUGAUUUGAUUUUAAAUGUGAAUUUUAAUUCACACGCUGUACAAUGAGAUAGGGCAAAAAUCCGCGUUAUAAUAAGAAUAGAGUAGAACAAAUUAACAAAAAGGAAAAAAACUCCAACCCAUGUGCUUGGAUGAGAAUGGGAGAUAGGAGAGACCCAUCUGCAUGCACGGGAGAUGAGAGGUAGGUUAAAUUAGAUACGUGAGAUUAAGAUGAGAUAGAGAUAAUCUUAUUCCAAUUAGUCUUCCUUUUCUCGACAAAUCUUUGAUCGAAUGCUGUACCUCGGUCAAUCUUGGUCAAAGCCAAACGGCAUCUUAAUUGGCAUUAAUUUUUGAAUUAAAAUUGGUUUUUCUUCUGCAAUAAGCACUGCUUUGUUUGCCUGGCUCAGACUUUGCCCUUUCUCCUUGGUAGUUUGAUAGGCAAAACUGAAGAGAGGAUACCUUCUUGCUGCAAAAUUAGAUUAAGAUAAACAAAUGAAAGGGUCGAGUCUUUCUAGGCGGGUGUCUAUUGAUUAAUCUAAUAGUAAAUGUGUAAUGACUUGGAUCAGUGCUAUGCACAUUAUUCUCUUUCCAUGAUGACUUGCCUUGUGCACUUUCUUAAUUCGAUGAAAUAAAAUUAAGUUAAAAUGGUGAUAUUCAUAUUUUAUGAGAUAUUCCCAAAUUAAUAUGAAUCUAAUGCAUCCAAACUUAGAUUAUGUGAACCUGACGUGAGACUGAUCAAUAUCAAGGCUUCAAAUGAUUGGACUUACACGUACCUAAAUCAUCUAAGAAUUUCUCCAUUUGCUCCAAUUGUGCCUUUGAUCAUUGGUUCAAUAUAAGCAUCGAUAUGAAACUGCAUGCAUAUACCUUAUUUCUGCUUUCAUCGAGCUUGGAUUACUGUUAUUCAUAAAAUCUAGUACCAAAUAUCUGUACUCAAUCAACAAGAAGAAAAAUUAAUGGAAACAGCAGGUAAAUUUGUAAGUCAUUACAUAUAAAAUUUCGAUAAAGAAAUUAGAAACAUGAGAGACGAAAAUGUAAACUCACUCUCUCUCCCUCUGUCAGUCCCCCAAUUCGCUCACUCUCAGCGAGAGUUAGCUCUCCCCUAACCGUGGUAACCGACUAAGAACAUCCUCGAUAAAUGUGUCGCCCAUGUCUCUUUCCUGGCUCCGACCAAAAACAAAAACGUCUCUUUCCUGGCCCCAUUGCUGAUCGUGAAGGGCAGAAAAACCCUUCAUGGUUGGUCCUUGUCACUUGCAGCUCCCCAUCUUUGACCGAAUCUUCCGUAAUUCCCAUUAUCUUCCUCAUCGCUCUUUUGCUUUUUACCUCCUCUAAAUCUGAACGGUAGUGAAAUUCUUGCUUUUGCUGACCCAAAAAAAAAAAAAAAAGAUCUUCUUGCUUUUUGAAGACUCACCGAAUUCCUUUUCGGUUUGAGCACGGGAGAAUCUUCUCCUAUUCCGAUUUUAACUUUUGUCGAGCGGUUCUGAUCUUUCUUCCCCUUGUUCAUUGAUCCUCCGUGUGUUCUUUCUGUGUGCCCGUGAACUCCAACCCGCGUGUGCGUGGGUGAGAAUGUGAGAUAAGAGUGAUCCGUGUGCAUGUACGGGAGAUGAGAGAUGAGAGGUAGAUUGGAUUAGAGGAUGCCUUCUUGCUGCACAAAAGGGUUAAAGAUAAACAAAUGAAAGGGUUGAUUGGAGAGCAUAUGCUUUCUGAACAAUUCCAAGUGCGAAGUUUUUUUUAAUGAACAAGUCUUUCCAGGUGGGUGUCUAUUGAUUAAUCUAAUAUUAAAAGUAAUGACUUGGAGCGGUGCUAUGCACAUUAUUAUCUUUCCAAGGGACUUGCCUUUUGGAUGUGUGCACUUUCUUGAUUGGAUGAAACUUUCACCUGCAUUUGUAAAAUUAACUUAAGUUAAAAUGGUGAUAUCCAUAUGUUUCCUAAAUGCAUAUGAAUCCAGUGCAUUCCCACCUUAGAUGAUGCGGACUAGAUGUGAGAUCCAUCAACAUCAAUGUUUCAAAUGCUUGAACUUGCAUGUACCUAAAUCAUUUAAGAAUUUCUCCAUAUUUGCUCCAACCAUUCAUUUAAUCCGAGGUUCAAUGUAAACAUAUACUAAAAAGCAUAUGCAUAUACCUUAUUUUUAUCUUCAUCGAGCGUUAAUUAUUGAUAUUCAUAAAAUCUCGUACCAAAUAUCUGUAAUCAAUCAAAAAGAAAAAAAAUAUAGAAACGACGGGUAAUUUUGUAAGUCGUUAAAUAAAGAAAAUUCUAGUUAGAAAUUAGAAAAAUGAGAGACGAAAAUGUAAAUUCUCUUGCUCUCUCGGUCCAUCAAUUCGUUCUCUCUCAACGAGAGUUAGCUCUACCCUAACCAUGGUAACCGACCAGGAACAUCCUCCGACCAAAAACAAGAACGUCUCUUUUUUGGCCCCAUUGCUGAUCGUGAAAGGCAGAAAAACCCUGCCUGGUUGGUCCUUGUCACUUCAAUCUCCCCAUAUUCGACCGAAUCUUCUGCAAUUUUAUUAUCUUCCUCAUCGCUCUUUUGUUUUUUAUCUUCUCUAAAUCUGAAUGGUGGUGAUCUUCUUGCUUUUUGAAAACUCACCGAAUUGCUUUUCGGUUUGAGCACGCCAGAAUCUUCUCCUAUUCCGAUUUUAACUUUUGUCGAGCGAUUCUGAUCUCUUUCCCAUUGUUCAUUGAUCCUGCGAUUUUUUUUUUUGUGCCCGUGAACUCCAACCCACGGGAUUGUGUGAUAAGAGUGAUCCGUGUGCAUGUAUACGAGAUGAGAGAUGAGAGCCAGAUUGGAUUAGAUGCAUGAGAUUAGGAUGAGAUAGAGACGAUCCAAUUUCAACUAGGAUCCUUUAUCUUGAUCAAUUUUGAUCAUAUCUUGGAUUGCAGUAAAUCUUGAUCACCUUAGCCAAUCUUGGUCAAUUUUGCUCAACCUAGAUCAACAUGGGGCAACCUUGGUCAAGAUAGGUCAAAGUGAGGCCAAAUCACUUCACAAAAGGUUGAGACAUAAAAGUAGUGUGAAAAACCAUGAAUUUAGCGGACAACUGUAAUACUCCCAUGACGAUCGCAAGUACCAUUCAUCUUUCCUUUUUUUUUUUUCCUUUUUCUCUUGAAUCGGUAGUCAAUCUUCGAGUUCUUUUUUAUGUUAUAAACUGAUAUUAAGUAUUCACUAUAGAUCAAACUUAGGAUCCUCAAUAAAAUCCUCAAUCUAAUGCACGUCUAUUCCAACAAAACAGAACAGAUUCGCCAUGAUUUGCUUUUUGAACUAGUGAAACUCAAUAGACUAAAGCAAUAAUCUCGAGUAACCUCAAUUACUAUCGAUACAGCACAUGAAAUUUUGAAACACUUCAAAAAACCAACACAAACAAGUUGGUCUAAACCCAAAAUAGACUUAGUCUCAGUGCAUAAUAUAACGCACCAAAGAAGACCAGCUGCACAAGCUUGGUAAAGAAAGGCCUCAGACUUGAAUACGCUCUGCCGGGGACAACUAGCCAACGUCACGGAAAUCGUAAUGAUAACACUUGGGAACAAAAGAAAAUGCAUCAUGGAAGACUGGCGUACUCGCAGCGUCUCCAGUGGGCUUUACUCCAAGUGCCAUUCUCCUCCUUUGCUUUUUGCUUCUGGUUUUCUUUUUCUUUUUUUGGAGACCAACCAACUGGACAAGCUGCUCCGACCGAUUCCCUGUGGCUUUCUUUUCAGACUAGCGGGAGUCCAGGUCCGCGACACAUCCCCACAAGUCGCAAAACAAGCUCGAUGAAAUUGAUGAAGUGCGGACUCGCGACCGAUAGUAUGAGCGCGAUGGCCAUCAAAGCGUCUCCGCUGUGCACCUUGGAAUGUAGAAGUAAGCCCAAGCCCAAGCCUGAGCACCACGAAUUAGAGGCUUGUUACUUGCCCGAGUUAUUACUUAUAGAAUAUUCAAAUUAAACUGUGCAUUUAUUUAAUAACUUGAAUUUUUUAGAAUAAUGGAUAGUAAUCCUAUAAAAUCUUACAUCCUAUACAAUAAUAACUCUUGAGUUCAAACUAAAUAUGUUCACGUUUAGUAGCAAGUAAGAAAGGUUAAACUAAGCAUGAAGAGUAAAAGAAAAUAUUGUCAUUGUGGUUUUUACUUCUUCUCGCAAAAUAAAGAAGGAGAAGAAGAGAGACUUUACUGAAACAAUUGUGGUUUUUACUUCUUUUCGUAUAAUAAUAAUAAUAAAUGUCAUGAUUAUCAUCAAAAUAUUAUUAUUAUUAUUAUUAUUAUUAUUAUUAUUAUUAUUAUUAUUAUUAUUAUUAUUAUUAUUAUUAUUAUUAAAAGAAUAAAUGUCAUGAUUGCACGGGAAUUGAUUGGUUUCGAUGGAAAUGAAAGAAUGAAAGGAAUGACGCAGCACUUCUCCGUCCUCUUUUAAGCAGAAGGGAUGAAUCACUCGCUGGCAAAUUGUUUUUACUUCUUAUCGCAAAAAAUAAAAUAAAAUAAUAAAAGAGUAAAUGUCAUGAUUGUUGGGCCGGUUAUUCGCAUUGCAUGCGCUUAUUAGCUUUUGAAAGAGUUUCAGUGUUACACCUUUGGUUAGGACUAUUUUACAAAUGAAUCAAUAGAAUAAAAUGAAAUUAAAAAACAACAAUAAAAGUAGACCAUGAUCCCCAAAAAUUUUGUGGAAAAAAAUACGUGCUUAGGUUUUGCUUUGCCAAGGAUGAUGAAUAUAUGGAUUAUUUAUUCACAUCUGAUAAUUCUAAUUAAGUUUAUUGAUGAUAAUUAAGAUUUCAUGUAUUCUUUCUAAAAUUUGUUGGGCCAUGCAUCUUACUUGUUUCAGUUGGAAAUUCAGUAGAUGAGUGGUAAUAAACGAAAAGGCCGCGCGGACUUCAAAAGAAGAAGAAGACAAUCUGACGAAGAGGAUACCUCAGUGUAUGUCCGCAACAUGUUUGGAUCUACAGUGCAAUUUGGUUGUUAUUCAAGUUUCAGGUUGUGUUACUGAAAACAGACAUUGAUAUUAUCUCCAUGUUCAAAAGAAAAAAUAGGUUUUGCAGAUUGAUCCAACCAAAAUUAUAGGUUUUGCAAUAUGACUUCACUGUUACGUUUUGUGAGUCAAUUUGGUUGUUAUUUAAGUUUCUGGUCGUGUUACUGAAAACAGCCAUUGAUAUUAUCUCCAUGGCAAAAGGAAAAAUAGGUUUCGCAGAUUGAUCCAAACAGGGAACGCAACAACUUCGUUACUUUGAAUAUCCCUGACAUCAACGAGAUGAACGGAAGGGUGUACAUUUUUGGUUCGAUCUUUUUCAUUGGUUCUUUUGUUGACAUGGUCAAGUUUUGGCUUGAGACUUCUAAUGGAUGGUUGAAUGGGGCCAAUGGUGUGAAGACUAGAGGAGCUGGAUCAAGUUUUAGUGAUGAGAGGGACGGAGGUAGAGAGCAAAAACAGGUUCCAAUGGCUAUCGCUGCGAAAGGGCUUGCUGUAGAGAGCAAGACAGGUUUGGAGAUGAUGAUCCAAGCAGGGAAAGCGGCUCUGCCCAUUCGGGUGAUGAGGAUAACUCGAGCAAUCAAUUUGUGGACUGUGAUCAAGAUUUAGAUGACAAUGAGCCGGAGUACAACAGCAAGAACCAAGACAACUGUGCAAGGAAGCUGGGUCUUAGCCAUCUUAGGCCUACAUAAUGCAGGCCAAGCAAAUGGCUGGACAAGGUAAAUAUUUAUAAGAUCGGUUUUAUUCGUUUGCUUUUUGUACUGUCCUCUUUGUAUUUCUUUUAUUCUUUUUAUAUAUGUUGAAGUAAACAUGGUAUGAGAAAAGAAAAAAUUUCUAUUCUACCGGUUCUUGUAACUACAUAAUUUUGUUCAUGCAAUUUACUGAUUCAUUCACAUUACAAGUUUGUCGUGGAAAACAAUUGUCUUAUGAUUAUGUGGAACUUUUCUUGAGAAACUUCUGAUCUUAGCUAUUUGUGCAGGAUUCAUAAGAGCCAUUAAGGAGAUAGUUCUAGCUUGUGCCGUUUAUGCAAACGGGUUCUUUGUUGUAGCAAAGAUGGCAUUCUAGAACCACAUAUGUUGAAUCAAGAACGCCUUGACACCCUUUCAUGUGUGUUGCGAAAGGUCAUACGCUUAUAUAUUCUUUAGGGUAGUCGAUAUUUUGACCUUCAGGAGAGCUCAAAAUUGGACUGGGAGCUAAUGUUCGGUGAUCGUAUUGAUGUGCCAAGUGCUCAUUUUAGAAGCACGUCAAGACAGUCAAUUUUGAGGCUCCAAACAACUUUUUUGUCUGGAACGACAUUCAAAGUGCACUUCUAAAUCUUUUUUCCUAAUAAAUACAAUUCAUGAACUUGUCACUUAAAAGACAUUUAUCUGUAAUUUAUAAUUAUGGACUGCUCAUGUUUUCAAUUGAAAUUAGAUCAAUUGCAUAUUCUAGACGUGAUAAUGAGCUGUGGCAGCAACGAAAAGAACAUGAUAAAACGUAAGCAAAGUAAUGUGUGAUCAAUACAUAUCAUAGAGGUACGAAGAUACAUGGAAACAAACAUAAACAAAUAGAAUCCCAAGAGACAUCUCAUAAUAAACAAACGUUCUGAUAAAUUCUAAUUAAAGAUACGUUGAGACAAACGAUAGAUCAAUGGUACUAAAAUCUUCAGGGGCUUGUGGCUGGAGGUGGGGUGAGGAAAGGAAUAGAGGGGAUUUUAGGGAGAGAAGUAGGGAUGCUUGGCAUCGGCGGCAAGUUGGUCGGCAUGGCCGGUAAGCUCGGAAGUGGUGGCAAAGUAGUCUUGGGCAAUGUUGGCUGGGUUGCAGGCAGCGUCGGCAAUGUGGGUUGAGGUAGGGUCGUUGGGAUGGUGGGCAUGGGCGGCAUGGUGACUUUGGGCAAUGUUGCCAUGGCAGGCAAAGGAGGUAGAGACCCUGGUUUUGGUAUAGUUGGUAUGGUGGGAAGAGUCGGUAUAGAUGGAAUGGUUGCUUGUAGCAGAUGACGAGCUCCGAAGCUCAUAUUCAUGCUAGAGAAAAUUACGGCAAUGAAGAGGACAAAGCUUUUUGAGGAAUGAGCCAUAUUGGUAAAGUGGGCAAUGGAUGUUAUGUUGUGAUAAGCUCAGGGACUUGAAAUUGAUGAGCUGAGAGGAAGGGGAUUGGAGUUUAUAUAGCAAGAAAUGUCGGGUAGAAUUAGGGUUGUGAUGAUAAGUUGGUGACUUGCCGUUGGGCACGGUUGGGAAAUAAUUAGAAGAUGAUGUCUUGAUUGGUUCUUUAGUUAGUUCACCUCCUCAUGUCAAUCUUCCACCGGCAUAAAGAAAGGUCAAACCUGCUUGUUGCUGUUUGACCUGCCAGAUGGCAUUUUGUUCAUGAAGUCAAGCUUCAUUCGAAUCUUUGUCUUAAUGGAAGGUGACUAAAUAAACAACUUACUUUUCAAGAGUAAUCAUGUAAAUAACUUGCUUCCUCCUAAGUAGGGCGGUUAUUGCCGUACCAACUCGCUUCUUGAUUUUUGAACAUAUGGAGCUAGCGAUUCCAUGCGUUGUGUUGUGUGCUCCACCGCACUUUGUAGAUUACAUUUGACUUAAUAUUUUUUACUCUUGUUAGUUUCUAUCCGUUGAAUUAUAGCCUUUCAUGGGGAUGACCUUGGGAUGCAAGUCUCACUAUUGCGACCUCCCUUUCGACACCCUCUUACAUGCAGGGCGCAUGGAGGCUAAUGGCUCAUCAAGUGUUAGGCUUAACUUGGACUCUCCCAAGCCACCAAUUCAUGACUUAUGAUUUAACUUUUUAAUCUGCAAGUCAAUUUUAAAUCAGAUUAGCCAUUAAUCAAUUUGAGACGAGUUAAUUAGAAAUUCAAGUAAAAUAUUAUGAGAAAUAUCUCAUUUUUACACGAUCAGAAAAGAAACUAUGAUCAGAGACUUGAUUAUACUAAUUAAUCACUAAUGUCUUUCCGACACCUAACUUUGUUUAGACAUCAAGUAAAACAUUUAUAUAGCAUUUUAUACUAAUAAUGAGUUUUAGGAUUUUAUUAAUUACAGGAAUAUGGAUUUCCAUGCAUUAUAAGGAAUAGAAAUCCAUGCAUCAUAAUGACGCAAUUGGAAUAAAUCGAUAUUUGCUUAGAAGAAUUUAAACAUGAUUUUUUUUUCUUUUAUGCAUUUUCACACAUUUUUUUAAAAACACUAAAAAGACCUUUUUUAUUUUUUAUUUUUUUCGGAAGAUAAAAGUUAUUUCUGGGAUUUUCCGAUUUUUCUGAAAAUAUAAAUAUUUUUUAUUUUUCUGAUUUUUUAUUUUUUAUUAUAAAAAUAACAUAUUAUUAAAUUAUAAAAAGGGAACGGGGUCGGAUCUUCGCAUCCGACCCGGGUUGAAGCCAGCCCGGGCCCUCUUGGUCCAGGCGCAAGAAGCCGGACUGAGCUCAGCGAGUGGGCCCAGUCCGAUUAUAUUUUUUAAUAAAAAGAACCCAGCCCGUAGUCCAUGCACCAAAUUAAACCUAAAACCUAGACCAAGCCGGCCCACGAACGUCCCGCCCAAACCGACCGGAACCCUACCCGGCUAAGCCCCGCACCCGACCCGAUCGACAGCUCCGCAAAGCCAACUGAGGCGAGCGGCACCGGUCGCCGCGGCUGCGCACGACGGAUCUGCAGCAGCUCGCGUUGAGGGACCGGCGGAUGCGAUGGCGAGGCGGCAGCAACAGUAGGGAUGGCGGCGGGUCGGCGAAGCGGCGAGCAGCGGUGGACUGCGUGGCUUGUCUGGGGCGCCACGGCAGCGAAGGGCGGCAUCGUUGCGGCCGGAGCUUGUGCGCCGGACGACCGCGAGCUCCGGCCUGGCCCGACCAAAGCGAGGCACAAAAAAGGACCGAGGCCUGCCGGAGCUUCGGCGCUUGAAACCAGGCGCGGCCGUGGUUUCAGCCAUCCUCUGCUUGGAUCUGGCCCCGACCUCUCUCUGCUCUCCGGCUUGCUCGCACUCCGGACGCCCCACUGGUCUCUCGGUGGGGUCUUCUGAGCUUGCUGGCCUACUCCCUCUGGCGGGCUCGCGGACGCCCUUUUUAUAGGCCGAGGAGGCCGGUCGACGGAGGCUUCGGCCGCCGGUCCUUGGCGCGCCGACCGUGCCUCAUCUCCGCCGAACCGGUAUGCUCUCGGCCGUCCAUUCCGCAGCAGGAUUAGCCCUGCUCUGCUUCUUAGCUCGACGGCAUUGAUGACGCCUGCGAGCUGUCCCAUCCGUCACGCGCCUACUCCGCCGUAAGUCGUCCUCGUGCGCGUCGUCAUCUUCGCGCGAGUUGCAGAGGCGGAGGGGGAAGGAGGAAGGAAGAAGAAGAAGAAAGGAGGAGAGAGGUGGGCCGGGCCGGAAAGGGCUUGGCCCUGGGCCUGCGCAUAAAAGGAAAAGGGACUAGGGUCAGGCCCAGCCCCAAGUCAUUUCUCUCCUUUAAAAAAAAUUAUUUAUCCGAAAAUAUGGUAAAACAAGGGAAAAGAAAAUAGAAAAUUCAACUUCAUAGAUGCAAAUGAUAUUAAUAUCUAGGUAAUGUGAAAAAUCUUUUUUUUUGUUAGGGCUAGAUUGGUUCCUAAUUUUUAUGUAAUUUUAAUCCUAAAUAUUUAAUCAAAAUUUAAGUGUCAACACUCACAACACAGCAUCCCUAUUAGCUUCAGAUUGGCGAGUGCGUGGCGGAUCGCAGAAUAGAGAUAACAUUUUAUGGUGAUAUUCAAUUUAAAAUAAAUAUAAUAUAUGUUACAUUAUUUGAUUUCAUGUAUGAGAUAAUAUGAAAUGAAUAGAAUAAGAAUACCUAAAAUGUUAUUGAAGUGAAAAUUACAUGAAAUAAAGUGAAUAUCGAUUAAAGCAUAGAACUAUUCAUUUGGCAUUGUUUAAUAAACUUGAUAAAUUGUGGUUUUGUUCUAGACGAACUUACGCGGUUUUGUCUUAAUUUAAAACAUGUCCCACCUACCACUAAGUCAUUUUCAUUUUUUUGGAAAAUUAUCAAUUGCAUGUGCAUAUACACCCAAUGCACACAAUCCACCUAUUUGAUCGUGUGGAAUUCACUUGAGACUCACAUGAUUCAACGGGUCACAUGCAUUAAUCCAGUAUUUUCAAAGAUUAAAUAAAUCGGUAAUUAUUAAGAUUACUUGUAAUUAGUAGGGGGUGGAAUGAGCGGGUGUAACUGGGGCUGGCGCCUGGCGCCCCACUCUAGUGGUGUAAAUCCGCCCCAAAUGAUGCGGGGCCCCACCGAUCAUGGAGAAUCCGCACCCUAUGCCAUCCUCAGCUUGUGUCACCGCUCAUACAUUUAUAUUUAUCUAAACCAGACGAACGUGAACCAAGUGAAAUUCAACGAAAAGUAUUGCUUAAGAUGCAACUACCUAACCGAGACUAGCAUUUUCCAACUAUUUUUGCUCUUUAUUUUGAUAUUUAUAUUCAUCAUGCAUCCUUGUAAACUAAUUUUCAGGUGAAAUUCCAUUGCUCAAAUUUUAUAUUUCAUAGUCAUGGUACAAUUGGCAAUGCAUACCUCCCUCUGCAAAGCCUCAUCGAGUUCAAGAGUGAAACCAUUAGUACGCAAUUGCAUCAAUCAACUCUGCAUUGGGGCAACAUACAGAAGAAAAAAAUCAGCACGUUCAUAUUUCAAAAACAGAGAUGUAGGAUCUAAUGAGCAUACAAAAAGCAUAUUCAAUUGAAAAAAUUACAUUUACAAUCGUUCAAGUCUGUUCUCUUGAGACCAGAUCAAGUGUUUGGAUCGUCAAAGCAUCAAAACUUGUCAGGAAUGCCAGUUGGCCCACGAGCCUCUUCAAAGUUGGCACGCCAGAUGUGCCUAAGCCGUUGCCAAUUCUUCCUUUGCAAAAUCCCUUGUCUUCAUUUUGACAGGUCUCUAUAAUGGAAUUUGAAGUUCGUCUGCAAAGUUAGCCGCACCCAGAUAAAUCAUGUGAUAGUAUUAUGCCAUGGCCACAAUAGGAUCAAACGGGAUGGAAAUUAAGGGCGCGUUUGGUAACGAUUCUGUUCCCGGAAACUAAUUCUGAUCAGAAAUGAUUAUUUCUGAUUCUGUUUCCGGAAACUGAUUCUGAGUAAAAAAACACGUUUGGUAACGAAUAAAAUUUCUGAUUCUGGAAUAGAAAAAGAAUAGAAACGCGUUUGGUAACUAUAUAAAAUUUCUAUUCUGAUUCUUUUUUAAUUACAUUUUUAGAUUAAUAUAAAUUUGAUAUUGAAUUUUCAUAAACCAUUCACUGAUUAAUUAUAUUUUUAUACUAAGUAAUAAAAAUAUUAACUAAUCAAUUUUUAUUAUAUAGUAAAUAAUAAACCAUAGUAUAAACUAUACUAAUAUCCCUACAAUAUGUAAUAAAUAUAAAUACUAAAUUAUAAUAUAAAAUUAAAUAUGUAUUCUAUAUACAAAAAAUAUAUAUUUCAUAAUAGGAAGUAAUAAAAAUAAAAUAUAGAAAUAAAAAAUUAGAUAAAAUAAAAACAAAAAUUGUUGGUAUUUUAAAUUUGGUUUUCUUAUUAGAAUUUCAAUAUUAUUUAUAUUUAAAUAAGAGUUUUUUUUUAUCGGGGGCGAUUUCUCAUUUUCAAUUAAUAUUUACUUUUAUAUGAUUAAAUAUCUAAUCCAUUUUGAAUUUAAUAUGAAUGAAUGUUAAUUUUAAUUUAGCCAAGAUACUUCUCUCUCUCUCUCUAUAUAUAUAUUCCCUUCCCCAAAACCGAACAUCCAACGUUUAAGAAGAUAAAAGUCUUCAAACCAACAUGACUCUUUGAAAGAGAGAAAAGGCUUUGAUGAGAAACUCAACACUACAACUUAUCCAUAAAUGAAUAAUGAAGUAACAUAAUCCAUUGUUCAACUUUGAAUAUCGACUUUGAUAAGUCAAUAAUUAAUAACAAUAUUACAAAAGUCGUAAACAUAAAGUUAUUGAAUCUCCGGCAUAUUGUAAUCCAUUGCCAUUUGAUUUGCAAUACUUCAAUGAAUAUGAAGUUUGCCUUCGGAUGGGUGCUCGAAACCGGAGUCCACAGUAGCACGAAGCAACUCUGGCUUCAAAAGGAAGUCUUGACGUAACCCUGCACGACAUCGAAACAAGAAUAAGCUCUCCGCGCAAAGAAUCGGCAAUAGUGGUAUGCAGGAACUCAAGAUCAAAAUGAAUCCACGUGAAACAAGGAAACCAUUCUAUUUCACUCCAACUUCCAUGCGUAAAAGACCAUCAACCAUUUUCGCGUUCAUUAACUUCUGUUUCAUCAUACUGCCUCACCUCUACAAAGCUAGAGCCCAAAUUUGACUCUCCAACAAACACAUAAACUCUAUAAAACCAAAUCUACUCUCGUCCUAAUCAAAUUGGGAUCUGAUCACCAAGAACAACCCUUUGUGAACCCGAGUGGCAAUGCAAUGCCCAGUUUUUGUCCGGAUCGAGGAGAUAAACUCAGUCUGGGGCGCGAAAAAUAAUCAAGAUAAUAGACACGGCUCCUACGCAACCUUAAAAGACAAGGACUACCUGACCUCCACUUCGCUUACAUGAUACAUCCAUACACCUAAUCGUUAGCAUCAUUCCGGAUCUAAGAUUUGCACUAUAAGUCAAAGAUCACAAUUUCCAGAUUCAAAUUCGACCAAGCACAGCACACAAAAUUACAGAUCCAGCACAAUACAAAAAAAGGCCAGCGACCCCUCGGCCAGCUCGCCGUCGCUCGCCCUCGGCCAGCUCGCCGAGGGCGCCCGCCGAGUCGGCCCCAAGGGUCGGAUGGCGAGCAACCCCUCGGCCAGCUCGACGAGGGCAAGCGAAGCCGAAUUGGCCCCAGGGGUCGGACGGCGAGCGGCCCCUCGGCCAGCUCGCCGUCGCUCGCCCUCGGCCAGCUCGGCGAGGGCGAGAGAAGCCCGAAUCGGCCCCAGGGGUCGGACGGCGAGCGACCCCUCGGCCAGCUCGGCGAGGGCAAGCGACGCCGAGUCGGCCCCAGGGGUCGCUUGCCCAAGGUUUGCUCGCCGAGCGACCCUUGGGCUUGAAUCGGCGGGCGCCCUCGCCGAUCUGGCCGAGGGGUCGCUCACCGAGCGAGCGCCACCCGUCGCAGACGCCGAACCAACCAUAGAAGGGAACUCACCUUGAACGACGCCCUUCAAUGAUGAAGAAGCAGCAGUCGCCGUCGCCGUUCUUGCGGAGAGAGGAGCAGCCGUCGCCGUUCUUGAGGAGGGAGGAGUAGCCGUCGCCUUUCUUGAGGAGGGAGAGAAUGAGACUAACGAGCAGAGUCGAGAUGAGAGGACGAGAGAGAGUAGAGAGGAGAUAAGGCUCGGCACUUUUGAUUCUCUUUUUUGAUUCUCGGAUGGAGAAUCAUAAUUUUUUUGAUUAUGAAUUCUUGUCCAAAAUUGAUUCUAGGAGUAAAUUUGUUCCUAGAAUCAGUUUUGGACAGAAAUUUACCAAACGCGAUUCUGUUCCCAAACUAAUUCUGGGAACAAAAAAUCAGAAUCAGGCACUGUUUGGAUGGUUACCAAACAGGGCCUAAUUAGUAAAUUCUUGAGCACUGUUCUUAGAUUUUGUUGAAGGCGACGAUGCCACAACUCUGAACGUAUUCAUUGAUAGGCUCAGCUUGAAGAUGCUCCUCGAUGAGGGUGUCCAUUGAGACAAGGUCAUCCACAAUGGUCAUCAUGAUCUACAACUUCUUAAUCCCGUAACCCACCGGAACCAUUUUUGCUGCAAGGAAGAAAGCAAAAGAAGAAAUCCUCAUAAGGGGAUAAACAUGACAUUCAAUGACAAAGCAUUAUGGUCAUACCGGCAAUAUAGUGAGACAGUCAAAACUUACAAGCUCCCAGAAGAGCCCAGACAUCUCCACACUCCUAACAGCCUCUUCCAGCUUCUUCAUGUCUGUCUCAUUGUCCCAAGGUUUCACAUCCCAGAGGACAAAUGACUUUUCACCUAUAACAGGAACCAGAUACACACACAAGCCAAGAUAUUGAAAUCACUUAUGAGAAUUUUAUCCGAAAGAGAAACAAGUUGAGGCUAGCAAGCAGCCUAAUCAACGCGAUAAAUAAGUUUCUAAGAAUUAGGUUAACACCUUCAAGCAGGCAAGCUGUAUACAUCUAUCUAUCUUGUGCUUUCUUUAUUGCAGAGCAUACUUCACUUACUGAUCAUAUCAAAAACGNNNNNNNNNNNNNNNNNNNNNNNNNNNNNNNNNNNNNNNNNNNNNNNNNNNNNNNNNNNNNNNNNNNNNNNNNNNNNNNNNNNNNNNNNNNNNNNNNNNNNNNNNNNNNNNNNNNNNNNNNNNNNNNNNNNNNNNNNNNNNNNNNNNNNNNNNNNNNNNNNNNNNNNNNNNNNNNNNNNNNNNNNNNNNNNNNNNNNNNNNNNNNNNNNNNNNNNNNNNNNNNNNNNNNNNNNNNNNNNNNNNNNNNNNNNNNNNNNNNNNNNNNNNNNNNNNNNNNNNNNNNNNNNNNNNNNNNNNNNNNNNNNNNNNNNNNNNNNNNNNNNNNNNNNNNNNNNNNNNNNNNNNNNNNNNNNNNNNNNNNNNNNNNNNNNNNNNNNNNNNNNNNNNNNNNNNNNNNNNNNNNNNNNNNNNNNNNNNNNNNNNNNNNNNNNNNNNNNNNNNNNNNNNNNNNNNNNNNNNNNNNNNNNNNNNNNNNNNNNNNNNNNNNNNNNNNNNNNNNNNNNNNNNNNNNNNNNNNNNNNNNNNNNNNNNNNNNNNNNNNNNNNNNNNNNNNNNNNNNNNNNNNNNNNNNNNNNNNNNNNNNNNNNNNNNNNNNNNNNNNNNNNNNNNNNNNNNNNNNNNNNNNNNNNNNNNNNNNNNNNNNNNNNNNNNNNNNNNNNNNNNNNNNNNNNNNNNNNNNNNNNNNNNNNNNNNNNNNNNNNNNNNNNNNNNNNNNNNNNNNNNNNNNNNNNNNNNNNNNNNNNNNNNNNNNNNNNNNNNNNNNNNNNNNNNNNNNNNNNNNNNNNNNNNNNNNNNNNNNNNNNNNNNNNNNNNNNNNNNNNNNNNNNNNNNNNNNNNNNNNNNNNNNNNNNNNNNNNNNNNNNNNNNNNNNNNNNNNNNNNNNNNNNNNNNNNNNNNNNNNNNNNNNNNNNNNNNNNNNNNNNNNNNNNNNNNNNNNNNNNNNNNNNNNNNNNNNNNNNNNNNNNNNNNNNNNNNNNNNNNNNNNNNNNNNNNNNNNNNNNNNNNNNNNNNNNNNNNNNNNNNNNNNNNNNNNNNNNNNNNNNNNNNNNNNNNNNNNNNNNNNNNNNNNNNNNNNNNNNNNNNNNNNNNNNNNNNNNNNNNNNNNNNNNNNNNNNNNNNNNNNNNNNNNNNNNNNNNNNNNNNNNNNNNNNNNNNNNNNNNNNNNNNNNNNNNNNNNNNNNNNNNNNNNNNNNNNNNNNNNNNNNNNNNNNNNNNNNNNNNNNNNNNNNNNNNNNNNNNNNNNNNNNNNNNNNNNNNNNNNNNNNNNNNNNNNNNNNNNNNNNNNNNNNNNNNNNNNNNNNNNNNNNNNNNNNNNNNNNNNNNNNNNNNNNNNNNNNNNNNNNNNNNNNNNNNNNNNNNNNNNNNNNNNNNNNNNNNNNNNNNNNNNNNNNNNNNNNNNNNNNNNNNNNNNNNNNNNNNNNNNNNNNNNNNNNNNNNNNNNNNNNNNNNNNNNNNNNNNNNNNNNNNNNNNNNNNNNNNNNNNNNNNNNNNNNNNNNNNNNNNNNNNNNNNNNNNNNNNNNNNNNNNNNNNNNNNNNNNNNNNNNNNNNNNNNNNNNNNNNNNNNNNNNNNNNNNNNNNNNNNNNNNNNNNNNNNNNNNNNNNNNNNNNNNNNNNNNNNNNNNNNNNNNNNNNNNNNNNNNNNNNNNNNNNNNNNNNNNNNNNNNNNNNNNNNNNNNNNNNNNNNNNNNNNNNNNNNNNNNNNNNNNNNNNNNNNNNNNNNNNNNNNNNNNNNNNNNNNNNNNNNNNNNNNNNNNNNNNNNNNNNNNNNNNNNNNNNNNNNNNNNNNNNNNNNNNNNNNNNNNNNNNNNNNNNNNNNNNNNNNNNNNNNNNNNNNNNNNNNNNNNNNNNNNNNNNNNNNNNNNNNNNNNNNNNNNNNNNNNNNNNNNNNNNNNNNNNNNNNNNNNNNNNNNNNNNNNNNNNNNNNNNNNNNNNNNNNNNNNNNNNNNNNNNNNNNNNNNNNNNNNNNNNNNNNNNNNNNNNNNNNNNNNNNNNNNNNNNNNNNNNNNNNNNNNNNNNNNNNNNNNNNNNNNNNNNNNNNNNNNNNNNNNNNNNNNNNNNNNNNNNNNNNNNNNNNNNNNNNNNNNNNNNNNNNNNNNNNNNNNNNNNNNNNNNNNNNNNNNNNNNNNNNNNNNNNNNNNNNNNNNNNNNNNNNNNNNNNNNNNNNNNNNNNNNNNNNNNNNNNNNNNNNNNNNNNNNNNNNNNNNNNNNNNNNNNNNNNNNNNNNNNNNNNNNNNNNNNNNNNNNNNNNNNNNNNNNNNNNNNNNNNNNNNNNNNNNNNNNNNNNNNNNNNNNNNNNNNNNNNNNNNNNNNNNNNNNNNNNNNNNNNNNNNNNNNNNNNNNACGUCAUGAUGACAUCAGCUGGCACAUGCCGCGCACGCUCCGCGCAUGCCCCCUGCACGCAUGCGGUUACCAUGCACGUGCGUUGCACGCGCUUGCGGUUUCCCCUGCUUCGCAUGUGCCAGCAAAUUAUGUGUGCUCAACAAGUGGCCUCCCCUGUCAAUCCCCAAGGAGGGCAGUUGCUGCUCACCCUUUGCUUCCUUACAUAACUGAUUACCAACCAUACAAACGAGACUAAGCUAUCAAAAAAUGAGUUGAUCAAUAGGUACCUUAUAAUUGCCACUUUGUCGCCUCUACAAAUUAGUUGAGGCAACACGAAGUUUCAAGGUCUUAAGCGAAGCUUCGAGAGGUAUUCAAGUGGAUGACUUCCAUAAUAGAUCAAGUUUUUCUAGGUGGAUUAGGUAAGAAAUCUCUGGCAACGUGAGCCCUCGAUAAGAAGCCCCCAGAUAUUUUAAGCUUCAAGGAAGUUUUGGCAGCAAUAUGAGAUUACAAUUCCAGAGUUCAAGGUGUCGGAGAGAAGAAAGAUUUUGGAUGGUUUCUGGUAGGCUGGAUAUCAUGGACCAACUAAUUUCUAGAUGUUGCAAAUACGGUAAAUCCCCGAUUGAGCUAGGGAUUUCUCUUAACGAUGGACAAUUGCAAACACUCAAUUUUUCCAGCUUCCGCAUAGAGCCAAUUGAUGUAGGAAUCUCUAUAAUUCCAGAAUAAUCUAAAAUAAGUUCUUUUAGUUCUUCUAAUUCACCCACUUCUCUUGGUAGAUUCUUGAGACUCUCACGGUGGCUCAAAUCCAAGUGAAUGAGGCUCUUCACUUUGCCAAUAGGAAGGGGGAUUUGCUUUAGUUUUUGACAUAAACUCAAGUUGAGAAUCUCUAACUUUGUAAAGGCUGAGAGAUUAGGUUUUUCCAACCAUAUAAUAACAUUGGGCAACUUUUGAAUUGGAGACUUCGUAAUGUAUAGACGUUGCAUAUUCUGUAAAUCCCAAAUUGAGUUAGGGAUUUCUCUCAAUGACUGACAACGAUGAGAACUCAGCUUCUCCAACUUCCUCAGAGAACCGAUUGACGUAGGAAUCUCUGUAAUUCCAGAAUAAUCUAAAAUAAGUUCUUUUAGUUCUUCUAAUUCGCCCAUUUCUCUUGGUAGAUUCUUGAGACUUUGACAGCGGCUCAAAUCCAAGUGAAUGAGGCUCUUCACUUUGCCAAUACAAGGGGGAUUUGCUUUAGUUGUUGACAUAAACUCAAGUUGAGAAUCUCCAACUUUGUAAAGGCAGAGAGAUUAGGUUUUUCCAACCUUAUAAUAACAUUGGGCAACUUUUCAAUUAGAGAAUCCAUAAUGUAUAGACAUUGCAAAUUCUGUAAAUCCAAAAUUGAGUUAGGGAUUUCUCUCAAUGACUGACAAUGACGAGCACUCAGCUUCUCUAACUUUCUCAGAGAACCAAUUAACUUAGGAAUCUCUAUAUUCCAAAAGAAUCUAGAGUAAGUUACUUUAAUUCUCCUAAUUUCCCCAUUUCUCUUGGUAGCUCCUUGAGACUUCCACAGCCACUCAAGUCCAAGUGAACGAGGCUCUUGACUUCGCCAAUAGAAGGGUGGACCUGCUUUAGGUCUUUACUAUUUUUGAAGAUUAGAAUCUCCAAUUCUGUGAAAGUCGAGAGAUUAAGAGUACAUCUUAAAGAAUCAAAAUAUUCAAGUUGCAGAACUUUUAGCCGCUUUGCUACCUAUACAAAAGGGAAUAAGCUGUUAACAAAUGAGUUCAUCGACAAAACAAGAUAAACAAAAAAUCAUAGAGGGUAUCUUUUGUGAAUCUUACCAUGAUUGAAUUCCAUCCUCUCCAAUCCUCCGUGAUUGAGCUGUAUGACAACUGCAGCAGCACUAAGUUUGGUAGAUGCAAAUUGGUUGCCCAAAAAGACAAAUUGGGUUCAAUGUGAGGCCACCGAAGCCACCUUACUUGGGAAAAGAAUUCAUUUAAGUCUCCACUUGCAGUUGCGUUCCUCAAUCGAAGGAACUUUAGCCUCGGUGACAUUAUAAAUUGCCCACAUGUGUAUGUCAACAGAUGUUCAACGGUCAACGGUCUGUGAUUGCAUCAUUGAUCAUAAUCACUGCAUCAUCCCGUAUGUCAAUGACUUGAUGAGGCACGACGUUGUACCCCUUGGCCUCCUUCAACUCGCAUUCCUCUACAAUUGAAAAAAGAAACACAUUUUUUUUAACGGUCAACGGUCAACGAGUCACCAAAGACGGGUUGGGUUGGGCCGAACCAACCAACUCGGCACAUGGCUAGCGUGCGCGGGCAACUACUGGUUGACGUCAUCGUGACGUUAGGUGGCACGUGCCGUGCACGCGCUGCGCACGCGUCCUGCACACAUGCGUGCGGUUACCGUGCACGUAUGUUGCACGCGCCUGUGGUCUCCCCUGCUCGCACGUGCUAGCAAAUUAUGUGUGCUCAACACAUGGCCUCCCCUGUUGAUCCACAAGCAGGGCAGUUGCUGCUCACCCUUCUAAUUUGCCCAUUUCUCUUGGUAGCUCCUUGAGACUUCCACGGCCACUCAAGUCCAAGUGAACGAGGCUCUUGACUUCGCCGAUAGAAUGGUGGACCUGCUUUAGUUCUUUACAAUUUUUGAAGAUGAGAAUCUCCAAUUCUGUGAAAGUCGAGAGAUUAAGAGUACAUCUUAAAGAAUCAAAAUAUUCGAGUUGCGGAACUUUUAGCCGCUUUGCUACCUAUACAAAAGGGAAUAAGCUAUUAACAAAUGAGUUCAUCAACAAAAUAAGAUAAACAAAAAAUCAUAGAGGGUAUCUUUUGUCGAUCUUACCAUGAUUGAAUUCCAUCAUCUCCAAUCCUCCGUGAUUGAACUGUAUGACAACUGCAGCACCAGUUUGGUAGAUGCAAAUUGGUUGCCCAAAAAGACAGAUUGGGUUCAAUGUGAGGCCACCGAAGCCACCUUACUUGGGAAAAGAAUUCAUUUGAGUCUCCACUUGCAGUCGCGUUCCUCAAUCGAAGGAACUUUAGCCUCGGUGACAUUAUAAAUUGCCCACAUGUGUAUGUCAACAGAUGUUCAACGGUCAACGGUCCGCGAUUACAUCAUUCAUCAUAAUCACUGCAUCAUCCCAUAUGUCUAUGACUUGAUGAGGCACGACGCUAUACCCUUUGGCCUCCUUCAACUCGCAUUCCUCCACAAUUGAAAAAAGAAUCACAUUUUCUUUUAAAUGGUCAACGGUUAACAUGUCACCGAAGACGGGUUGGGUCGGGCCGUACCAACCGACCCGGCAAGUACCUGGCGCAUGUGCGGGUAACCGCUGACGUUAGCUGGCACGUGCCGCGCAUGCGCCAGCGGUUGCCGCACGCGUGCAAUUACCGUGCACGUACAUUGCACGCGCCUGCGGUUUCCCCUGCUCAUGCGUGCUAGCAAAUUAUGUGUGCUCAACACGUGGCCUCCCAUGUCGAUCCACAAGGAGGGCAGUUGCUGCUCACCCUUCGCUUCCUUACCUGUGAUCAUCUCAAGAAUUAGUUCCCUCAUAUAGCUUGUCAUGUCCUCGCGACCGUGGUAGAGAAACUUCACCCCCAUCUCGUCAACGUGCAAUAGCUUAAGGAAUUUCAACUAGCAGAAGUCAUUUUCUUUGAAGGAGCACCUCAUUAGGCUGAAUUGGCCGAUGGAAUUGAACCACUUACGCCUUUUAGACAGCGGUUUGAUUUGGUUGACAAAAUUGAACACAGCUGAUUGCUGGUUCUUUAUGAGCCAACAGACGAAUUGGUCGGAGAAAAGGAUAUGAGACAAUGCGUACAAGGCUACUCUAACACCAGCAGCUUUGCUAGGGAAGCUAAACAAUUGAACAAAAGUAGGAGACAUUAGGAAGCAUUCGACUCUAAAAUUAAAUUAAAAUACUAUAACAAGAUGAGAUGCAACAAUGCCGAAAAUUUCUCAACUUCAACAAUUUCAAAGUACAUGACGCGGGCAUGCACUGAUCUUUUCUACAAACCAUACCAAGAAAAUUAGGCAAUCGAUAUUGUUGACCUUCAAUUGAAGAUAAGGGCCUCCGAACAUGCUUUCAUGCAAGUCUAUAAAUACAAUAGGCACUCGUAAACACAGAAAAAUCCUCGCUUUUCAUGACCCUUCUCGCAAAAAUAAAUGAUGAUGAUGAUGAUGAUGAUGAAUGUCAUGAUUGUUGGGCCGGUUAUUCGCAUUGCAUGCGCUUAUUAGCUUUUGAAAGAGUUUCAGUGUUACACCUUUGGUUAGGACUAUUUUACAAAUGAAUCAAUAGAAUAAAAUGAAAUUAAAAAACAACAAUAAAAGUAGACCAUAAUCCCCAAAAUUUUUGUGGGAAAAAAUACGUGCUUAGGUUUUUCUUCGCCAAGGAAAAUGAAUGUAUGAAUAUUUAUUCACAUCUGAUAAUUCUAAUUAAAUUUAUUGAUGAUAAUUAAGAUUUAAUGUAUUCUUUCUAAAAUUUGUUGGGCCAUGCAUCUUACUUGUUUCAGUUGGAAAUCCAGUAGAUGAUUGGUAAUAAACGAAAAGGCCGCGCCGACUUCAAGGUAGGACUUCAGCCAGUGUCCUGGUGAACACUAAUUUUAAACUUUUGAAAAUUGGAACAGGUCUCCGAUUAAACAACCCGAUCUUGGAUCCAGGUUCCAAAUCCGAUGUAUAUUGUAACUAUUUUUGUUUCUCUGAGGGCACUGCAAGGGAUACAUAGAACAAAAGAAGAAGAAGACAAUCUGACGAAGAGGAUACCUCAGUGUAUGUCCGCAACAUGUUUGGAUCUACAGUGCAAUUUGGUUGUUAUUUAAGUUUCACGUUGUGUUACUGAAAACAGCCAUCUCCGUGUGCAAAAGAAAAAAUAGGUUUUGCAGAUUGAUCCAACCAAAAUUAUAGGUUUUGCAAUAUGACUUCACUGUUACGUUUUGUGAGUCAAUUUGGUUGUUAUUAAGUUUCAGGUCGUGCUACUGAAAACAGCCAUUGAUAUUAUCUCCAUGGCAAAAGGAAAAAGAGGUUUCGCAGAUUGAUCCAAACAGGGAACGCAACAACUUCGUUACUUUGAAUAUCCCUGACAUCAACGAGAUGAAUGGAAGGGUGUACAUUUUUGGUUCCAUCUUUUUCAUUGGUUCUUUUGUUGACAUUGUCAAGUUUUGGCUUGAGACUUCUAAUGGAUGGUUGAUUGGGGCCGAUGGUGUGAAGACUAGAGGAGCUGGAUCAAGUGUUAGUGAUGAGAGGGACGGAGGUAGAGAGCAAAAACAGGUUGCAACGGCUAUCGCUACAAAAGGGAUUGCUGUAGAGAGCAAGACAGGUUUGGAGAUGAUGAGCGGCUCUGCCCAUUCGGGUGAUGAGGAUACCUCGAGCAAUCAUUUUGUGGACUGUGAUGAAGAUUUAGAUGACAAUGAGCAGGAGCACAACAGCAAGAACCACGACAACUGGGCAAGGAAGCUGGGUCUUAGCCUACUAUAAUGCAGGUCAAGCAAAUGGCUGGACAAGGUAAAUAAUUUAUAAGAUCGAUUUUAUUUGUUUGCUUUUCGUACUGUCCUCUUUGUAUUUCUUUUUAUCUUUUUAUAUAUGUUGAAGUAAACAUGGUAUGAGAAAAGAAAAAUUUUCUAUUCUACCGGUUCUUGUAACUAUAUAAUUUUGUUCAUCAAAUUUACUGAUUCAUUCGCAUUACAAGUUUGUCGUGGAAAACAAUUGUUUUAUGAUUAUGUGGAACUUUUCUUGAGAAAUUUCUGAUCUUAGCUAUUUGUGCAGGAUUCAUAAGAGCCAUUAAGGAGAUAGUUCUAGCUUGUGCCGUUUAUGCAAACGGGUUCUUUGUUGUGGCAAAGAUGGCAUUCUAAAAUCACAUAUGUUGAAUCAAGAAUGCCUUGACACCCUUUCAUGUGUGUUGCGAAAAGUGAUACGCUUAUAUAUUGUUUAGGCUAGUCGAUAUUUUGACCUUCAGGAGAGCUCGAAACUGGACUGGGAGCUAAUGUCCGGCAAUCAUAUUGACGUGCCAAGUGCUCAUUUUAGAAGCACGUCGCUACAGUCAAUUUUGGAGACUCCAAACAAUUUUAUUUCUUUCUGGAACGACAUUCAAAGUGCAAUUCAAAGUGCACUUCUAUCUGAAUCUUUUUUCCUAAUGAAUACAAUUCAUGAACUUGUCGCUUAAAGAGAUUUGUUUGUAAUUUAUAAUUAUGGACCACUUGUGUUUUCAAUUGAAAUUAGAUCGAUUGCAUAUACUGGACGUGAUAAUGAGCUGUGGCAGCAACGAAAAGAAUAUAAUAAAACAUAAGCAAAGUAAUGUGUGAUCAAUACAUAUCAUAGAGGUACGAAGAUACAUGGCAACAAACAUAAACAAACGGAAUCCCAAGAGACAUCUCAUAAUAAACAAACGUUCUAAUAAAUUCUAANNNNNNNNNNNNNNNNNNNNNNNNNNNNNNNNNNNNNNNNNNNNNNNNNNNNNNNNNNNNNNNNNNNNNNNNNNNNNNNNNNNNNNNNNNNNNNNNNNNNCAUUGGUACUAAAAUCUUCAGGGGCUUGUGGCUGGAGGUGGGGUGAGGAAAGGAUAGAGGGGAUUUUAGGGAGAGAAGUAGGGAUGCUUGGCAUCGGUGGCAAGCUGGUCGGCAUGGUCGGCAAGCUCGGAAGUGGCGGCAAAGUAGUCUUGGGCAAUGUUGGCUGGGUUGCAGGCAGGGUUGGCAAUGUGGGUUGAGGCAAGGUCGUUGGGAUGGUGGGCAUGGGCGGCAUGGCGACUUUGGGCAAUGUUGGCAUUGCAGGCAAAGGAGGCAGAGACCCUGGUUUUGGUAUAGUUGGUAUGGAUGGAAUGGUUGCUUGUAGCAGAUGACGAGUUCCGAAGCUCAUAUUCAUGCUAGAGAAAAUUACGGCAAUGAAGAGGACAAAGCUUUUUGAGGAAGGAGCCAUAUUGGUAAAGUCGGCAAUAGAUGUUAUGUUGUGAUAAGCUCAGGGACUUGAAAUU